Molecule: long non-coding RNA, 99344 nt
Filed under: Capsicum annuum
Lineage: Eukaryota; Viridiplantae; Streptophyta; Magnoliopsida; Solanales; Solanaceae
Description: long non-coding RNA (CANN_LNC009158)
Rfam family: tRNA (bases 80184-80257)
Source: RNAcentral
AUUUGACAGUCUUUUUAGCCUGCGUAGUUCAUAUACAAUACUGAUACAAUAUUCAACUUGGACAAUUUGGUCCUUUUAAAAAUAUUUCAAUUUUUUUUGCUAUAAAUUUUUUAACUGAUCAAAUAUUUUUUUUUUUAACUAUUUAGACAUAAUCAUUAAAUUAUAUAAAAACGAUAGAAUUGUUAAAUAGAAUAUGUAUUUAUAUAAGAUAUAUGUAUAGAAACUGUAUAAUUCUAUCAAAUAUGUAUAUGUAUAAAAUAUAUAUAAAAAAUAUAUAGAAAGUGUAUGAAAAUUAUAUACUAAUUGUUAUAUAAAACGCGUAAAAAAAAGUACAGUUGUUGUAUAAAUUGUGUAUCAAAAUUGUAUAAUUUUCGUAUGGAAUAUUUAUAUGUAUAAGAUAUGUAUAGAAAUUGUAUAGAAUGUGUGUAGAAACGACAUAGAACACACCAGUAAAUUAAAAAGGCUAGUAAGUGAAAUUUAAAUUUCAUGGUCAUUCUUAUGAAAAAUAGUUUAAUUUGAAGUGUUGUUUCUGUCAUUUCCCCAACUUUAAAUUGAUGUGAAUUGUUUGCAAUCACAAAUAAAAUAGAAAAAAUUGAAAUAUAAAUUUAUUGAUGAACAUCUGUGAGUACAACUCUUUUUAUCUCUCCUAAAUAUUGUCCAUGAUUCAGUGAUUUUUAAGUAAUGUCUUCCUCGGACGUAGGAUGAUAUCUAUGGACCCCCUUGCGAUAUGUUUAAUCGUCAAAAAUGUCAAACAACAUAUCUGAGAAAGAGAAUAUUUGAUGUUAUGAUCUCUUUAUGAAUAUUCCUAAGUCUUAUGAAACUUUGAGAGACAAUAGAUAAAUCUAUUUAUGAGUACUCGGAAUGUGGUGGGAUAUUUAAGAUGUCUCUUUAAUGAUAUAUGCAUCCCGUGUUAUAAACGUGAGAUAAGGUCCAAAAUAAAGUAAUUUUCGAGAAAUUCUAAUGAAUCUUAGAAUCUGAAGAUAGAUUAGAUUCGUCUUGUGGAGUCAUAAUUUAAAUCUAAUAAUACUUUAAUGUCUAUAUAUGACCCUUAUUCAACGGUUGUGGAGUAUAGACUUUUUGAAACUCAAAAAAUAGGACUUGAAGUACCCAUAAAAUGGAUCCUUCGUAUCUUUACGAUUUUAUAACUCUAAAUUUUACAAUUUUGACUAUGAAAUAAGAGAUGAAGAGCAAAUUUGAUAGAUAGUGUGUGUCGAUUUAUUUGCAUCAGAUUUUAAAGUGAUGAUAAUUAAUCGCAAUCACAAAUAAAAUAUGAUGAAAUAGAGAAUUUAGUUUCUUGAAGAAUAUUUGUAAUUACAACUUUGUUUAUCCCUUAAUCAACCAUUAUCACUGAUCAUUUUAUUUACCAUUGCCACUAAUUACUACCCACGACCAUCAUCUCUCGACACCCAAAGUUAGGAGUGGAUAUUACAUGGAGGAAAUCAAAUAUCACAUUGAAAUGACAUAAUACUUAAACAUGACCUUUAAAUUGAUCACAAAUCACAACUAUAACCUCUAACUUUGGGUGUGUACAAGUAGAUACUUGAACUUAUAUAAAGUUGAACAAGUCGACACAUGUGUCCUAUGAGACAUAAUAAAUGUAGGACACUAUUCAUGAUAAGAAUCGGCCUCGUAGGGCGUCACAUAAGACAUAUGUGUCUACUUGUUUAACUUUAUACAAGUUUAAGUGAUUACUUGUGCACCCCUGAGUUGGAGGUUAGAAAUGUGAUUUGUCAAGUUAAAGGACAUGUUUAUGUAUUGUGCCUAAUGAAAUUUUGACAAUAAUAGUUUUGAUAUUAUGAUAUUUAAUAUUCCUUUUGUUUUUUUUUUCAGAAGUUGUCAUUCAAUAUUUAUAAAAAGAAUGCUGAAAUACGAAACACUCGACUAUUCUAUCUUGAUUGAAAUAUAUAUUUUUUAUUUAAUUAACGAAGAAAAUUGCAUGCUUGCACUUUCUUAUAAAUAAUUUUUACAUGUGUAAGGUGUUAGUAUAAUAUAAAUUGAGACGUUUUCUUGAAAAGCCGAAAUCAUAUUUUUUUUAUCCUUUAAGCAUAUAUAAAUCAAAAUUGAACAAACUACAGUGAUGACCGCGCCAUAAAAUAUCAAAAACAAACUUUAAAAUAUCAAACCAAGUUAACUUGAUAUAAUUCUACAACUUCAAUGUUGUACUAUUUUUUUUUAAAAGUUAUUUUUCUAUUCAAAUCUUAAUAUAACAUUUUAAUAUUCAGAUGUAUAAUUUGUAUCAUCUUAAUAUUCAAUUAUAUAUUUAAAUGCACGCAUCUCGUCUUAAUAAAUCAAUAAGAACUAAGUGAAUAAUUUUAGAAUUUAAAUUCUUGACAUGUUUUUUAAGUAGUCAUACUAACAAGUAACAACCACCCCCCCCCCCCCCCCCCCAAAAAAAAAAGUAACAACCAAGGUAAGUUCUACAUGGUUAAUAAAUUAUUAUUAUUUCCCUUAAAAAGAAAAUGAUGGUCAUAGACCAUCUGUUUUCCCGAGUAACGAGUAAAUAGUUAUCCAAAAAUUUUUGUUAAGGCAGAUUAGAUCCUCGUAACCCCCUCUUUUUCUCUCACUGAAAAAGCACAAUCCGCGUCACCAGAAAAUGAUCCAUUCUACACCGUAGAUCUCACUUCCAAUCAACGGGUGAUGCUCAUUUUCCCACUUUCACGCGGAUUGAUAUUCCUAUCCGUCGAUUAACAAGUAAAUUCCCAAAUUUUAAACGGCUACGAUUCAUCCCCCGCCACAUUUUACCGCCCACGAAAUCCACGCCCCUCCAAAUCCCCCUUGUAUAAAUACCCUCUCCCAACCCCUCGUUUCUCAUUGACUUCAAAUUCCAAACCCUAGAUUCUUCUUUUUCUUCUUCUUCAAAUUCCCGUGUUUGAAAAAUGUCUGGUCGUGGAAAGGGAGGCAAGGGAUUGGGAAAGGGAGGAGCAAAGAGGCACAGAAAGGUUCUGAGAGACAACAUCCAGGGAAUUACCAAGCCAGCUAUUCGUAGGCUUGCUCGUAGAGGUGGUGUGAAGCGUAUCUCUGGUCUGAUCUAUGAGGAGACUCGUGGAGUUCUCAAGAUCUUUUUGGAGAAUGUGAUUCGUGAUUCAGUUACCUACACUGAGCAUGCCAGGAGGAAGACUGUUACUGCGAUGGAUGUUGUUUAUGCUCUUAAGAGGCAGGGAAGGACUCUGUACGGAUUUGGUGGUUAGAUUUGGGGUUUUUAGCUCUGGGGAAAUGGGUGGUAGGUAGUAACUGUAGCAUUUAGUUUAUGAUGCUUUUGUGGUUGCGUUGGUUGGUUCUGUUUAGUGUUCUUAUGGUCUAGACGCAUGUAAUAUCUGGUUACAUUAUCUAUGAACAAAGUUAUGUUUCUAGUAAUUCUAUUGUUCGGCUGCCAGUUGAUUUAUUUUGUUAUUUGAUAUAUCUGAAUGUUUUAUUAUCUGUUCAGUUCUUUGGAAAUUCUGUUUGUUUUUGGGUAUUAUAGACGUAGUGUAUUUCUUCUUGGCAUUGAUGUUCAAUACAUUCUCUUGGUUUCUAUCAAUGAUUCACUGUCUAAUUUUGGAAGAACUGAUGCAAAUUAACUAACAGUCAUGUGCUCUUGAUUUCAUUUGAUUCUAUGUCUGUUCACUUUCCUGAUGGUGUGUAAUCUUCACUUGUUGGAUUCUAAGUUUAUCCUUUGUUUUUGAGCUGUUAAAUCACUCUGUUAUUUAUUGAUUACCUGUCUUAAGAACAAUGGAAAAUUGUUGGAUGCUUGAAAGUGGAAUGCUCAACCCAAUUUUAAUAAGAUCUGUUCCACCCUAGUUUAACCAUUCAGCCAAAUUGAUUUCACCACUCACAUUGUAGCGUUUAGUUUCAGUAUCAAGUUGCCUCGCUCCGACCCAGAUUGUUGUAAAAUAAUAAGUAUUAAACACGAGAUUGAUGUGGAAACCAAUAUGAGAUAGUAUUAAGUUGUUUACCAUUUUUAUCAAUUUGUCAUUGCCAAAUGAUUACAUUCUAGUAAGCUUAUCUACAUUCUGAUCAGCAUUAUCAAUGAGCUGUCAAUGUCUGUAUUUUCAUCAGUAAUCGGUUCAUUGGUCUGGAACCCGUUCAUUAGCAGCUCCAUCUUGAUCAUCAUUUUGCUCAUUAGCAGCUCCUCCUUGUUCAUUAGGAACCUGUCCAUUAGCACCUCAUUAGCAGCUCCUUCUUGAUCAUUAGGAACCUGUCCAUUAGCACCUUCAUCUUGAUAAACAUUUUGCUCAUUAGCGCCUAUAUCUUGUUCAUUAGGAGGUUGUUCAUUAACGUCUCCAUCUUGUUCAUUAGGAACCUGUUCAUCAGCGUCUCCAUCUUGAUCAGCAUUCUGCACAUUAACGUCUACAUGUUGUUCCAUAGGAACCUGUUCAUUAGCGCCUCCAUCUUGAUUGUUAGGACCUUGUUCAUCAUCAUUCCAGUGAACAAGCUUUUCCCUGCCACAAAAUACUCAUUUGUAAUAACAUCUUACAGGUCAUACCGCAUAUGUGUACAGUCAAUCUGCACAUUCGUAGUUAGAAACUUACCAUUUCAUAUAGAUUUUCCUUCUCUAAUAUACAUGUAUGGUUGGUUGACUGCAAUCUGCAGAAAUCAAAAUUUCAGUAAUUUUUAUUUUUAAAAAGCAAGAUCGAAAUCAACCUGUUAAUGAAAAUGAAACACUCUUUAAUAUUAGUAUCUUACAACUUUCCACCCAAGCAGCAUUCCGCAUUUAACACAGUAUCUGCUAGUGUUUUGCCAGAUUUUACUUGAUGAUAUCUCACGCCGUUUGGUACUUCAACAUUAAACCUGCAUACAGCAUAUACACACAUGUAUAAAGUUUUGUAACGAAUGCAUAUAUGCCUCAGAUCGCAGAAAAACUUGAGGCGAAUAACAAAAUCACAAGAUGGUGAAAUCGUCUGUAAAAGCCCAAUUCCAAACAUGAAAUCACGACUCACACUUUAUUAAAGAUCCCUACAUCCAAGGAUUCCUGCAAAAUAUACAAUACAAGAAAAUAAGCAUAAUAAGUUUGUGUCAAGAAAUAUAUCAGCGUGCUGAAUAAAUUGCACUUCAUGACAGAAUAGCAGUUGAAGUUUAUGAAAUCAGUAGCAAUUUCAUUAGAUGAUACAACAUAGUUUUUCCUAGACGACUAGUUAAGUUUAUAACUAUACGCUGGAAAUUAAUACAUUUACUUUGGAGUAUCAAAGAAAAUGUCUGCAGCCCACAGAUAAUGGUUUGAUUUGUUCACAAAUAAGUUGAUAACAUAUUGCAAAAUAUGAUCAUUCAGAGAGAUUUGAGUGAUAAUCUGUUAAGAAUUCGUGCCCUACUGAUUUUCUUAUUUUCGCCUAACUUUUGCGUAAUGAUGGAACGUGUUGCCUGACGUGUUCCACUAACCUGUUUCAAGGAAGCAGUAAACAGAAAAUAAAGAACACAAUGAUUUUUACGUGGAAAACACCUGACUCAAAAGGUGUAAAAAGCACGACCUGCAUCUCUACAGAAUUUAACUCCAACUUCACUAAAAAACUCUUGACUGAUUACAAAACUCUUGUAACCAACAAAUAAGAAUUAUAAACUCUAAUCCCUAUGACUCAACAACUAGGAAUCGUAAACUCUAAUCCCUAUAACUCAAUAACUAGGAAUUAUAAACUCUAAUUCCUAACUAUACAUACAUCUCCCAAGGUAUGUGUUCCCAAAGUCUCUGAGUUUUCCCAACUCGAAGACUAGCUUCUAAUUCAGUUUAUAACACACUGAAACUAAUAUUACAUGAAUAGCUUAAAAUGGCCCUUUAGGCAAAACUUUUGGGCAUUUCCACUCAUCUUUAAGACCAAGGAGCCUUAAAAUUGUAUGCCAACCCUAAUUAAUUCUUAAUGCAACUUAGAAGCUUAACGCUAAAACUCUUAGCUGGAUUCUGUACUGAGGACCAGGUUCUUCAACGUGUUUUUUCAGUGAUUGAGUAGCACUUCGUGAAGUCAAUCUAUCGAUUGAGUUUUUCUGUUUUUUUAAGUGCGUGAAUUAUUCUGGCGGCUGCAUCUUCUAUUUAAGCACAACUCUCCAAAGAGUCGUUCUUUAUUUCAAACUCCUACUUCCAACUCUUGUCUCUUUAGUGUUGUAGUAAAACUCCAACUCUUUUAAAUUCUUCAAUUUUCAGAAUCUUUCUUCUUCCACACAUUGGACUCUUAAGGAUAUGCUUAGAAGUAAAACUUCUUUUCACAUAGGACUUCUUUUUCAACUCAACUUGCUUUCCCUUAUCAUCAAGUGAUUGAAUCAAAUUCAACUUGUUUCAUUCAUAUUGUCAUUCAUCAAAACUUCAAGGUUCCAACAGAAUCCAUACCAAAUUAUCAGUGAAAUCCUCGAUGAAUGCAAUUCGAGUUCCGCAAAUACCACAGUGGAUGCAAUCACGAGAAGGGGCUCCAUCAUAUCCAACUAAAAAGAGUCUUCCUAUUUUGUUGAAUCAAGAAGCAACUCCUAAUAGAUACCUGCAAAUUCACUUCAACAAUGAACAAAGUGGAAGAGCGAUAUAUCACACAUGCACUGCUGAAAAGUUAGUGGGAUAAAGACUAACUGAUUAUGAAUGUGAAAUGAAGAGAGCUGGUGGAAAAUGAGAAUUCAAGAAAGUAAAAUAAUGGCUGGUGAUUAAUACUCUGAUAGAGUAGAUAUAUAUGCCUACUUCUGAAAUGACGAGACUAAAUUGAUAUAGAAAAAUCACUUCUUGAUUCUUGAAUGGAUCAGUUGAGAAGACUUAUAUCUUGACCGUUAACUCAGAUAGGAGGCAAAUUUGUAUUUCAGUUAUGUUUCCCUUUCUUUUCCUCCUUUAAAAAAAAAAAAAAAAAGAGAAAUACAGUGUUUCUUUUUCUAAGUGUAUUAUUGUACUAUAUGAUGUUUCAUCUCCAAAACCAGAAAAAUGGUAUGUUUGAGUGCGUUAAGGGCGUUCGAUCAAGUUUCUACUUCCUAUUCUCGUUAGCUUUAACAUUAAUAUGGAGUACAAAUCCUCAAAUAUGAUUGAUUGGUCCAAGUGUAAGAAGAGAAAAUGUAUCUACAGUUGAGAGAAUCCAAGUCAUACUCAUGAAUAUUUCUUCGUUCUCUAGUAGCUAAUUACCAUGAUGUUGAUCGAUUGUCUAAACAGAUAUCUCGUGAAAUGGCAAAUCAGUAGAGUUAGCACCAUAAUGCCUCACACAGACCCAAAUAUGAUGUAAAACAGCAAGUAAAUAGAGUGUCAAAUGUCAUUCAGUAGGUUACCUUUCCCCCCUUUAUUCCUAAUUUUUGAAGCUAGAUCUUCGCAGUAUUGCUUUAAGUCUUCAUCACGGUUUCAGUCCUUCAAAACAAAUUAUAAGAAAAAAACAAAAAAAAUUAUUGGUAAACUCAGGCUUUAUCUUUUCUGUUUCUGGGUUGUCAAAAUGCUGCUUGGCUAGAAUCUUGACCCUAUUCUUGGUUUACUAUACACAAGCGUAAAUGGUUUCUCUUCUACCAUCAGACUUGAUCUCAACAGAAGUUACACACCAUUACACCGGGGUAUUACAAAAGCCUUGAUCUUUGAAAAUAUCAGGAGAAUCCAUAUAGCUAUUGGACUGUUAAGGCGAACCGAAAGCUGUCUGCUUGAAGGUAUAGCAAAGCAAAUUGUUUGCUAUACCAAUAUGAGAUUUAAAUGUAUUCAGUUGUAUAUACAAAAUGAUAGUUUAGCCCACAGCAAGAACAGGAACAUUAAGUUACAUAGAUUCACUAUCAAACAUCUGUUCAACUUUAUAGUUUUCGAGGGUUACACAUUUCCGAUACAUUAGACAACUGAACAACAGAAAGCAGAAUCCCAGAUUUCUAUGACAUGGGCGCACUAGAACUCGAGUUAGCAUGUGAUAGAGUCAUUAUUAAAACAGUUUUGUUGCAACCAUAUUCAGGUGACAGAACUCAAAAACCUGUAGGAGUAAAGGCCAUUGGAUCCACAAUUCUAAGCAUAUCAGUUUAGAUAAACUAAGCAUAUAGAGAAUGGUUGUACCAAGGCUCAAAUAGGUAAAAUAUUCGGUGUCAAUUGCUUUGUUGCAACCUGAAGUAAUAACAUGUACUGUGAUCCUAGAAUCGAAAGAGAACAAAGAAUAUCACGCAAUUAUGAAUUAGCAUUUUGUAUAGUUUGAACUCUAAUCAGAAUCUGUGUUAUCUUUCUGCAUUUUGAACAGCAUGAGUAGACUAUCAAUUUUCAUCAUUAUUAUCUGUUCCAUCAGACAGUUGAUCUACAUCUUCAUUCGUUUCAUUGGCGCACCCCCAUCUUCAUUAGGAUCCUGUUCAUUAACUCCCCCAUCUUGAUCAUUAGCACCUCCAACUUGAUCAUUAGCGCCUCCAUCUUGUUCAUUAGGAACCUGUUCAUUAACAACUUGAUCAGCAUUAUGCUCAUUAGGAGCCUGUUCAUUUGCACCUCCAACUUGAUUAUUAGCGCCCCCAUCUUGGACAGCGUUAUCAGGUACAACUUGAUCAGCAUUUUGCUCAUUAGGAGCCUGUGCAUUUGCACCUCCAACUUGAUUAUUAGCGCCUCCAUCAUGCUCAGCAUUAGAAGGUACAACUUGAUCAGCAUUUUGCUCAUUCGGAGCCUGUGCAUUUGCACCCCCAACUUGAUCAUUAGGAUCCUGUACAUUAACAUCUCCAAAGAGAAACUCAUGCAACGUUUCACCAUUCUGGUACCUAAGCAGGUGUCUGCCGCAAAAUACUCAAUUGAAUUAACACGUUACAAGUCAUACCGCUUAUAUAUGUGUGAAGUCUGUUUGCAGAUUUAUUAUUAGAAACUUACAAUCUUACAAAGUAUCUUCCUACUACAAAAUACUCGGACGGUUGGGCAACUGCAAUCUGAAGAAAUCAUAAAUUCUGUAUUUUUAGAAAAAUAGAGCAACAAAAUCGUCUUACUCAUGGAAUCAAAUUCUCUUUAAAAUUAGUAUCUUACUAGUUCCCAUGCGAUCACGACAAGACAAGUCAUACAGGAAAUAAUGGCUAAGGUAUCUCCAUCUACUACACUAUGAUGAUUCUCGUUGUUUUCUACAAUAACGUCAAACCUGCAUAUAAUAAACAUAUGCUUCAGACCUCGUAAAAACACUUAGGCAAUUUUUGAAAUCAUGAGACUUACAUUCUAUUAAUGUAUCCUCCAUAUAUUGCGUCCUGCGCCUGGACAGGAAAACAAACAUAAUUUGUUCUGUUCUUAGUCAAGAAAUAAGACUGAAAAAGAGCUGUCAAAAUUAAGGGAUUGGAAUCUUCUUUAUGAAAUGAGUGGCAAUUUCAUCUAAAUAUACGUACAAUAUAGUGCAGUUCUUCCUAGACAAAUGAUUUAAGCACAAAUUUAUUCCUAAAUUUGGGUAUCAAAGAAAACUUUUUGGUGUGCUCACAAGAAAUGACACAGAGAAAGAAUCCUUACAUUAGGAACGUAAUCCUCGAUGAAUGCAACUUGAUUACCGCAAAUACAGCAAACGAUGUAACCCGGCUCAUCGAGUAGAGCCUGUGCAUCUGCACCUCCAUCUUGAUUAUUUGCGCCUCCAUCAUGCUCAGCAUUAGCAGGUACAACUUGAUCAGCAUUUUGCUCAUUAGGAUCCUGUGCAUCUGCACCUCCAUCUUGAUUAUUUGCGCCUCCAUCAUGCUCAGCAUUAGCAGGUACAACUUGAUCAGCAUUUUGUUCAUCUCCAACUUGAUCAACAUUAGCUCCAUCUUGAUUAUUUGCGCCUCCAUCAUGCUCAGCAUUAGCAGGUACAACUUGAUCAGCGUUUUGCUCAUUAGGAGCCUGUGCAUUUGCACCUCCAUCUUGAUCAGCAUUAGCACCUCCGACUUGAUCAGCAUUUUGCUCAUUAGGAGCCUGUGCAUUUGCACCUCCAACUUGAUCAACAUUAGCACCUCCUACAUCAUCAGCAUUUUGCUCAUUAGGAGCCUGUCCAUCUGCACCUCCUCCAACUUGAUUAUUAGCGCCUCCAUCUUGGUCAGUGUUAACACCUCCAACUUGAUUAUUAGGAGCCCCUAAAUUAGCACCUCCAAAGAGAUAUUGACGCAACGUCACAUGAUUCUGGAACAUAAGCUGGUCCCUGCCACAAAAUACUCAUUUGAAUUAACACCUUACAAGUCAUACCGGGUAUGGGUGCAGUUUCAAUUUGCGAAUUUGUAAUGAGAAACUUACAUUAUGACAAAGAAUCUUCCUGGUACGAAAUACUGGUGCAGUUGGGAUUCUUCAGCCUGAAGAAAUCAUAAAUUCUGUAUUUUAAGAAAAAAAGAGUAACAAAAUUGUCUUGUUCAUGAAAAUCAAAUGCUCUUUCGUAUCUGUAUCUUACAAUUUGCCACCCAAGCAGCUCAUUACAUUGCAUACAGCAAGUAUCGAAUCUCACUACUUGGGUAUAUCCAUGUUCAUGAGUAUUCGGUUGUUCUCCUAUAUUAACGUUUCUCCUGCAUAUAUAAUAAACAGACCUCAGAAAGAAAAAAAAUCUUAGGCAAAUAUUCGAAAUUGCAUGAGACUUACAUAUUAUAAAAGUAGCCUCCAAGAUCUCUGUCUUGCGGCUGGACAAGAAAAUGAUCAUAAUAAGUUGUUCUGUGCUUAGCGUCAAGAAAUAUAACAGAAAAAGCAAGAGGGCAAACAGCUGGGGAUUGAAUCCUCUUUGUGAAAUAGCAAUUUCAUCAAAAUAUACUUUUUAUUAAACCAAUGACUGAUUACGAAUUUAUUCUUACAUGAUGAUUGAAAUCAUUGAGACGUGCAAUUUGAUUCCCGCAAGAACUGCAAUAGAGAUCAUAUACUGAGUUUCCUUGCAUUGUUGAUCAAGAAGCAACGACUCCUGUUGAAGAACAAAAUUUCUUCAAAAAAGAACAAAGUGGAAGAGAAAUAUGAACUUCUGAAAGAAUCAAUGGGAAAAAAAGAAGGACAAACUUGGAAAAUGAAGAUAUAAGAAUUCGAAAACAUGCAGAACGACUGAAUUUAAUGAGAAUGAGAAAAGAAUGUUAGUAAUAUAGAAAAGCCACUUCUUGAUUCUUGAAUCCAAGCUCUGUCUUGACGGUUAAUUCAAAAGGGAGGGAAAUUCAACUGUAUUUUAAUUUUUUAUUUUUACUUACUAGUAUAACAAAGAUUUUACAAUUUGCCCCUCCAAAAUCUGAAACUAGUCAUAUUGACAUUUAAUUUACCCCUUAACUAUACGCGUAGACUUAUGUGUAAAGAAUAAACGGAAAAGCCUCAAAAAUACUCUUGAACUAUCUAAAAUAGCUCAAAAAUGCACCACAUUAGCUUUUUGGCUCAAAAAUACCCCUCCCUUUAACAAAAUUUGGAAAAGAAUCAAAAAUACCCCUGAACUAUCUGAAAUGACUCAAAAAUAUCCCUCUGUUAAAUAUUUGGCUAAAAAAUACCCAUCUCUUUAAUGAAAUUCCACCAAGCAUGCCACCUAGAUAAUAAAAAAGGUAAACAACAUAAAUCCCAACACUUUGCUACCUAAUUACACUCUCUCCCAAUUUUUAUAUUAAUUGCUUAAUAUCCCGGAUAUAAUACAUAAGUUUGGUCCGGAUACAUAACCAACAGAUACAUAACUACCAAACUAAUUGACUGUAAAAAAGAAAAAUAAUAAUAAAAGAGAGAAUAAUGGAGCAAUUAAUACGAUUCUAAUUGAGCAAUUAUAUCUCUUUAAUUCUUCCAUCACAAGCCUUUUAUCCUUCUAUUUAUACUGCAAAGCUUCCUCCUUUAAUUCUUCAAUAGCUGUAACAAUAAUUAAAAACGAUAAAUAAAUAAUUAACUUCCUAAAAUAAUUCAGAAAAUUGAAAAAACAGAAGAAAAAAAUUGAGCAUCUUCGAUUUUUUCGAGUUCUUCUAAAGUAACAAUAAAUUGAUUGAGCUUUGUUAAUUUGUUGGAGAUGUUAUCCAUGGCAGAAACUUCAAUUAAAACAUCUGAAAUUAUUUUUGAGACAUAAAUAAAGUUCAAAUAAAGCUGAAUGUAUCAGAUGAAAAAAAACAAUACAAAUCAACUUCAACAUUUACUAUGUAUCAGAAGUAAUGGAUAUAUCUCAUACUUAUGUAUCAUACUCCUAAUGUUUAAUGUUUAAUGGAUAUAUCUCAUACUUAUGUAUCUUAUUAGUUUACUAAGACUCUUUUGUUGGAUUUCACACUUUUAAACCUAUUAACAGGAAAAAACUUAUUUUUUAGAUGAUCAAAGAAAUUUGAUAAUAGCGAUGUUACAUUUAAUAAUUUUUUUUUUAAAAAAAGUAUUAUGUAACUACCGUUUGUCUACUUUGAUUAAAAAUUAAAAAGUCGUGUAAGUUUUGCCCGUUUCACUGACGUUUUUAAAUAAAAUUAAAAAUAAAGAAGAAAGGAAUGUCAUAUAAUUAAAAAAUACUAACAUUUUACAUGUGGAUAGUAAUGUGGCAUAGUCACGUAGUUUUUUUUUUAUCUAGGUGGCAUGUUUGGGGGAAUUUCGUUAAGGGGAGGGGUGUUUUUGAGCCAAAUAUUUAACAGAUGGAUAUUUUUGAGCUAUUUCAGAUAGUUCAGGGGCAUUUUUGAACCUUUUCCGAAUUCUGUUAGAGGGAGGGGUAUUUUUGAAUCUAAUAUUUAACGGAGGGGUAUUUUUGAGCCAAAAAUCUAAUGAGGGGCAUUUUUGAGCUAUUUCAGAUAGUUCAGGGGUAUUUUUAAGCCUUUUCCGAAGAAUAAAAUUAUGAGACAGACAUUUGUGAAGCUUUAGUUAAUUGUGUAAAUUUCAUAAAUCUCAACAUUUUAGAAGUAAUUACAUCCCAUCAAAUUUUUUUAAUUAGUUUAAUCUCUCUCCCGUUUAGUAUACAUUCUGUAAAAGACAUAUACAUAACAAGUAAUGUAUAUUGUAAUCUGUUAGAGUCCUAGAAAACAGGGAGUAACAGAUAUUCAGCAUUCAUUGACGUAAAUGGCGCAACUAAUUUAAUACGUCGAUUAUUGCAUCCCAUAAAUCAUGUUUCAUGAACGGAAUUUCAAAUUUUAAAAAUCACAAAUACCUAAAAAUGCAAAUCUGAAGCAACAACAUAAAUCAAAAAUCAAAUUUCAUCUCUAUUUUUGUUGUUUACUGAACAAAGCAAAUUAUUUUCAAUUAUUGAAGAUGAAUAUUGCUAUUCUUGUAAGGUACUCGGGUAAAUGGAGAUCUCAAAUAGAAUAUGUGGAUUAUAAAAGUGAAGGGAUUGUUGUUGCUGAAUCAGUAAAUUAUAUGAGGUUGAUUUCAUCGAUUGCUGAUGAAAUAAACAUUGACGAAACUCGAAAAAAUAUUGAUGUACGUUAUGUUGUUGACGGGAAUGAUUCACCUUUUCAUAUCCGUAACGAUAAUAAUGUACGAUUGUAUGUUGAGUUGAAAAAAUCUCAACCGGCGUUCAUGAUGUAUCCGUUAUGUAUUUCAACAACAGAAAAAUGUGAAGAUGACAAAUUGUUCAAUAGGGAAAUAAGAGUUGUGGUUUGCCUGGAAGGUGUUGAAUCUGAUGCUUUGGCUUUAUUUAUUGCUGAGACACAAAAUGAGUAUGCUUUGUAUGUACCAGAGGUUGAAGAUAACUUGAUAUGCGAUAGCAAGAGUAUUGAUGUAAUGGUGAAAUAGUGUAUAGGGAUAAAAAUACGCUUGUUUCAGUGAUGUCGAAAUAUAAAGUGACUAAUGGAUUCAAUGUUAGAGCAAAACGAUCAGACAAAAAAAGGUGAAAUCAUAUCUUUUUUAUACUAAGCAGUAUGAUAUAUGAAGUCAUUGAAUGUUUUAUAUUAUUUGUUUUUAAUUAAAAUGUUAUAUAUAGUUGCAUGAACAUGUGUAUUUUUUUGUGCUAAAACUAAAAUCGAAAUACAAAUUAUCAUUGUGACCUUUGCAAUAUCUGUUUGUUAGUAUGUUGAAGUUAUGUAUGUCUAUGUGAGGUAAUGAAUUUCAAUUUACAAUUUUUUUUAUUUUCUGAAAAGCCAUUGGAUACAUACAACAAAACUGGUUACCAUUUUCUUCGUUAUUAACAUUUCUGAGGUGCUUGGUUUAAUAUACAUAUAAGUUGCUAUGUCUAUGAUUUUAAUUCUUUAUAUUAUCAGUUUUGGUAAGGGAAAACUGUUAUGUAUAUUAAAACAUAUACAUAAAUAGUUAUGUAUGUGUAAACAAAUACAUAACUGGUAACAUGUCAGCAGAUAUGUUAUUUAAUCCAUAAUCUGCAUACUUCGUUUUUAAAGUUUAUUAUGUGAGUUAUUAGAUUGUAUAUAGCUUUCUUUGAUGAAAUAUUAUGCAUGUCUAUGCUGUAUUAUGAUGGAUUUGUAACAAUUAAAUCGUUAAAACUUAUGAAAUGAUGCAAAAUAUAAUCAUUUGAAUAGUAUUUUUUAUAUUUCAGCUAUGUACUCCUUUGUUACAAUGAGAAAUAUACGUGAAAGUUGGAAGAAUCUAGUUACAAAAAAAUAGAUGUUUUUAUGAUACGAAAAUUUAAUCCAAAACAUACAUGCAAUUUGAGGGAUAGGGUACUGCAAAAUAUUUUGGCGACAACUUCUUUUGUAUGUGAAUUCACAGCUCCAAAACUAGUUAACUAUAAGAGAAGGCACACACUGGGGGACAUCAUUGAAGAAAUGAAAGUUGUAUAUGGUGUGGAUAUAAAUUAUAUGAAAGCAUGGCGUGCGAAGGAGUGUGCCAUCGCUUUGCUGAGGGGCGGACCUGCGGAUGGUUAUAGGCAGAUGCUGAGAUACAUUUAUAUGUUAAAAAAUGUAUAUCCUAAUUCGUACGUUGCAAUGCACAAAUCAUGGGAUAAUCGGUUCAUGUAUUUAUUUAUAGCAUUGCAUCCCAUGAUAAGGGAUUUUGAGUAUUGUAGGCCUGUUGUUAUUGUUGAUGGUGUACAUUUAAGUGGACUAUAUCAAGACACUUUUGUCUCAGCAAGUACUCCUGAUGGUGCAGGUAUGUGAAAAAUCAUAAAUCCCUGAUUUUUGUAAAACAUUCAUUGUAUUUCAUAUUUUUUUUUAAUUUAUUGAAAAAAAAUUGUUAACUUUUUUUUUUUGUAUUUAAAAAAAAACCAGAAAAAAUUGUAUUUAUUAUCACGUACGUAUUUAUGUAUAUUCUAAUAUACAUAUGUUAAACUAUGUAUAUGUUAACAUAUACAUAAAAAUUUUGUCCAGUAGACUUUCAAAAAAUCUUAGUGUUCUUCUACUAAUACAGUUUUUACUUAAUUUAGGAUGCAUAUUAUCACUUGCGUAUGGGAUUGUGGAUACUGAGAAUGAUAAUUCAUGGACAUGAUUUUUCAAUCAGUUCAAAGCUGCAUUUGGUGAACGUGAAAACAUGUGUGUUGUAUCUGAUAGGAACAAAAGUAUUAUAAAGCUGUCAGUGUCGUAUAUCCAAAUGUCCCACAUCUUGCGUGUAUAUGGUAUCUUUGGAAAAAUGUUUGUAGUUACUUUCAUAAGAGCAAAGAAAGUAUCAGUGAUUUGUUUUAUUCAAUGGCUAAAGCUUAUAGGAAAGAUGAUUUUGAAUAUUUAAUGACAAAGAUUGAAAAAGCUAAUCCGAAAGUGAAAAAAUAUUUACAAGAAGCUGGUUAUAAAAAGUGGAGUAGAUAUCAUUCACCGGUAAAUAGAGGUCGGAUGAUGACCUCGAAUAUUGCUGACUGUAUUAACGGUUGUUUGGUAGAGACCCGACGAUUGCCAAUAUAUGAAUUCUUAGAAGAAGUUUGAAUAUUAUUUGGUUCUUGGAACUAUAAGAACAGUGAAAUAGCUUCUUAUACAAGUAUCACUUUGGGGCGUCGAUUUGAAGAAAUUCUUACUCUCAACGGUGUGAAAGUUUUGAGAAUGAAGGUAUGUAUAAGCUUUAACUUUUUAAAAUGUGCAUUUAUAUGUAGUAUUUGUUUGACUGAAAAUAAGUGUAUUUAAAUUUUUAUUUCCAGUAAAAAAUAAUUGGUUGGAAUUUUGUUAUUUAUUGUUUAGGUGAAGGCUUCUUCAACAUAUAUAUAUUCAGUUUAUGAAUCUGGGAGAAGAUACAUUGUUGAUUUAGAAAAUGGCUCAUGCAACUGUGCAAGGUUUCAAAUAGAUCAAAUUCCUUGUGCUCACGCUAUAGCUGUAUUGAAGUCUAAACAUGUAAAUGAAAUUGGAGAUUACUGUUCAGAAUACUACAAGCCAAACACAUUGGUCAAGACAUAUGAGGUUCCAAUCGUUCCAAUGCCAGACAAGAAAGACUGGGAUGUGUCCAGCAGUGUAGAUGAAGAAGAAGUGUUGCCACCCUUAUACAAAAGACUUUCAGGUAGACCGAAAAAGGGGAGAAAGAAGAAAUCAAGUGAAACACUUUCUGAAAUCAAGUGAAACACUUUCUUCAAGCACAAAUCGUUGUGGACGAUGCGGCCAUGAAGCCCACAAUAGGCGUUUAUGUAGUUUUUUUUCAAAGAAGAACUAGUUUAUUGUUUUGUUAUACUCUUGAAGAGUACUAACUUAUUUAUUUUCGUGUUUUGUUUUCUUUUAAAUAAAUUAUUAUUUAUUUUGAUUUUAAUUUUAGUGUUAAUUUAUUUUUAUUAUUUGUGAUUUUUAUGUAUAAGCUGGUGUAUUUUCAUAAAACGUACAUAGCUCCAAUGUAAAAACUGUGAUAUGUAUGUUUAAUUUUUUUAAAAACUAAAUUUUGAAAAUCAACUGUCAUGUAUUUUCUUUAUAAUGUUGAAUUAACUUAUUGUUUUGCUAUAUUUAUGAAGAGAAAUGAAAUAACCUUGGAAACCAGUGGUACAGUUAUGUAUAUUAUAUAACAUACAUAAAUUGUAUUUAUAGCCUUUAACUCAUAUAUAUAUUUUAUAUAUAUUAUAUAUUAAUUAAUGUAGAUCAUUUAAUCUACAUAGCUCUAUUAUUUAACGUUUGAGUUGUAAAUGUAAACGUAUAGCUGUAAACAAAAAAUUUAAAAAACAAAUGUUAUGAGUUUUACAUACAGCGUUUAGUUAACUUAUUUCUUUAAUAUAGUUUCUGUUUCAAUUAAAUGUAUACUUAGGUAUAUUUUUCAACAUUUAUUAGUUAGUUAUAUAAUGUAAUAUGUAUAUUAUAAUAUAUACACAGAUUAAAAUUAGGAGGUCUUGUGUAUAUGAAAACCUAUACAGACAUUACAUUUAUGUAUAUUUAACAUUAUACAGUAUUAACCGUGAUGUAUAUUAAAAAAAUAAAUGUUAUGAGUUUUACAUAUAGCGUUGAAUUAACUUACUUCUUUAAUAUAUUUUUUUUUCAAUUAAAUGUAUACUAAUGUAUAUUUUUCAACAUUUAUUAGUUAGUUAUAUAAUGUAAUAUGUACAUUAUAAUAUAUACACAGAUUAAAUUUAGGAGGUUUUGUGUAUAUUAAAACAUAUACACACAUUACAUUUAUGUAUAUUUUACAAUAUACAGUAUUAACUUUUAUUGUUUACAAUCUAUAUGAAAACAUAUACACACAUAACAUCCACAAAUAUAUGUAAAUGUUGUCAUAUGCAACAUUCAUCAAAAACUGCAUUCAUCAUUGCAAAAAAAUACAUAUGUCAAAUAAAAACUUCAUCAUAUUCAUUAAAAAAAAAUUGUACUCUGCCUUACAAAACAACUAAAAUAAUUAAAACUUUGAAAAUUCCAAACAAAUUUCAGCAGAAUACAUUAAAAAUCUUAACAAUAUUCUUCAGUAAGACUACUCAAUGCAAACUAUUGCAUUAUCAUCUGAAAUUUGAAUAAUUCUCGACUUUGAUCUUGGAGGGUCAUCAGUUUCACUAACAUAACUUUUCUUUACUUUUUGAAUACCAUAUUUUCGAAGUAGUGUGGCGUAACACAUUCUAUGGUAUUCUUCUUCAAAACCAUCAGAAGGCACGUUCAUUUCUUCACUUAGGUAUUUUGCAUAACCAGCAACCUGUCAGACAUACAAAAAAUAAUAGAAGUUAUUAAGUAAUACUUACUAGCAAUGAAAAAUACAAAUACAUUAAUACAUGUACAGUAAUAUUGCAAAUAAAAAGAAUAUAUAAGUAUACUUACACAGUGUCGCAUUCUUGUUGCAUAAUAUGUUGAACAUACUCAACAUCAAAGAGAUGUUCAUUCAAAAUUUGUGUCGUUUGAGUAAUCUUAUCCCUAUAUGUUUCACGAUUAUGCCAAUCUGUACGAGAUAUUUCAUCAUAAAAUUUGCUGUCGGAGAGGUAAGUUGACAGCAUCUUAGCCAACUUUUGAAUCUCAGUAAUUGAUUCCGUAUUCCUUCGUCUGGACAGCGAAUCGUAGAUGCGUAUGCAUCUAUCCUUCAAGGCAAUAACAGCUAACACCCAGUGAAAAUUCUCAUUGCAGUUGAUAGGAACAUACACCUCAUCAACUUGGUGCCAUGGAAAAUCAGAUGGCGUGCAAUAUCCUUUGAUUAUAUGUGUUAUUGCCUCUUCAAUUAGAGCAACGCGAACAGAUUCAGCAUAAUUUUGUUAUGUAGUUAGGACUUUAUCUGUAUCAUCUUCAUAGUAUCUGGAGUAUGUCUUGUCAAUGUAGUUCUUAGGAAAACGGUUGUUGUGAACCUGUAAUCUUGAUCAUUCCUUAAUUUUGAUUUCUUCCGCAAAUGAUAGAAAAUAACAUCAAUAUGCUACAAAAGAGGAGAAAAAAUGAAACGAAUUAUGUGUUGUGUAAUAAAAAUUACAUACUUCUAGGAAGUGUUUGUAGACAUACAUCUAGAUAAUACAUGCAUAUACAUAAAAUAUGAUGAAACCUGAGUAUGCAAGAAAGUUCAUAACUACAUACAUUCAGUGAUGUAUAUUAAAUAUACAUACUGAUUAUCAAUUAUUAACAUACACUUUCAUUAGCAAUCUAAUACAUAUAUUAAGGUAGACAUAUACAUAUGUUGUUGUGUUAUAAUUGAGUUAACAUAUAGGUUAUAAUAUACAUAGAUGAUGUCCAUCUAUUUUAGUAGUGAUGAAAUUGUUAACAUAUACAUAAACUUUUUUUGUGUGACCUGAGGAUACUAGAACAAACAUGACACAAAAAUCAACAGUGAUGUAUAUUAUAAAGUAUAUGUAGGUGUUGUCAAAUGUCUAAACUGGUCAUAUAAAAAAUGAACACAUAUACAGUGCAAAAGCAUGAUGUACAUAAAUUAGAAAUUGAAAUAGUAGUUUAGGAGAGAAAUUGAAGUAUUAGUUUAAGAGAAACAUAGUUUAUUUAAAACUUAUUUAACACAUACAAAAUUUCUGAAGUAGGUUAACACAUAUAUACCAUGAAUGUAUGUAUACAACAUAACAGAACAAUUAAAAGCGAAUGAUUAUCAAAUUAAAAAAUUUAAAUACCUUAUUAUUCCAACACGUGUUCUUUUGAGACAUCAAGUAAAAUCAAUUUUUUGUUCGUGCAUGAGCAACCACAAAAUCAAUUUCAUGAACUCCUAGUGAAGAUGAUUUUGCUUUGUAGUAAUAAUCGUCAUAUUUUCUAUAAAAAAAUUAAAUUUGUUAUUAUAAAAAAAAAUAUAGUACAUUCAUUGAGUGAAAUAAUUAAUUUUAAUAUCGAUAAAAACUUACUUUUUAGCAUGAAACUUCAAUAAUCCUUCCUCCACCCACUGUUUGAACUCUUCAAUUACACUGCUUGAUAUAGUGUCAGAUAAUAGGAAACCAUCAAAAGCGAAUUGUUGUUUCUGCUCUUCGAUUUGAUCCUCAAUUGCUUUAGAGCCAGAAGCAUAUUCUGUUGUGUAUGGAGACUUGAAAACUUUGGAUCUCGUCCUGAUUCUCUUAACCAUCUUAGUAGGAGUUUUCGCAGCUUGAUGAGCCGCAACAAUAACAUCAGUAAAAUCAAGAGGAAGCUGACUAUCAGAGAUGUCGUGUUGGUUCACAAUUGGUUCUGCCAGUAGAACUACUUCUAUAGGAACGUCAUCAACUGGUGCUGCAAUAACUUUCAAUAUCGCAUCUAACUCGACUUGAGCCGAUUCAGGAAGUGUACUCGAAUAAUCAACCUAAGAUUAAAUUUGAAGUAUGUAUUGUUAGAUUUGGUUUAAUGCGCACAUAGAAGUAAUGCCAUGUGUGAAAAUUAAGACAUUUAGGGCGUAAAAAAAAAUUGGUGAAGUUACCUGAAUAUUAGAUGUUUCAACAUUAUCAUUAUCAGGUUUCUGAUUUUCUACAGUUGCGACUAGACAUUUCAAUGUGGCAGGCCUAAAAUCAGCACUAACUCCUUCAUCAUCCUUGAAAACAUAACACAAAAUAUAUACAAAAGUAGUUCAUUAUUUAGAUUUAACUAUAAGCAAAAAAAUAGUACAUUUCUUACAUAUUUGGCCAAUGGAUGAAAAAGAAUGGCUUUAUUUAUUUACCAUGUGAUCAUUAUGGACAUGCACAGUAGUAGAUGUUCCAGCAUUGGUGUUGUCAGAAUUGUGAUUUGCUACGGAUUCUACAAGAGCAUCUCGGAUGGCAGUAGCAUUAUCCUCACUGCAUCCUUUGACAUCCUACCAAUCAUAAUGUAAAACAUAUACAUAACUAAGUCAGUUCAAUGUUUUAAUUAUAAACAUUAAAUUCUGAGAUGUUUAACUUGUGAUUGUUGUUGUAUGAGACUGCGAUUUCAAUCAAAGUAGUGGCCAUCCAUUGAAUCAUCAGCAGAGUAUACGUUUGUUGAUUUAUCUGUCUCGUAAAAAAUCUACGAAUAAAAAAUAAUUAUUGCUUUAUAUGUUAAUUGCUUUCAUAAUUUGUGUUGUGUUGCAUAUGUAUAUUAUAAUAAUAUACAUAUAAUAUAAUACGUAUACAUUAUAACGUAAAUAUAACUGUCGUUAAACAACAUUCAAUUUGUACCAAAUUCUAAGCUGGAUAAAAAUCAUAAAAUUAAAGAAGUAACGAAAAAGUAAUAUAUGUAACAAAGUAUGUAUAAUUAUCACUUGUGUGUAAAUACCUUUUUUCCUUUUUUUUUUCAAGGUUUUGAAGAUUUCAAUAUCUUCAACAUAUUCUUUAGAUAGUACGUUUCCUAUUUUUUCUUCUCCCUCUUGCUGAUGGUGUUGAAAUAAGUACAGUAUAUUCUUUAGAAAAAAGUUAAUAACAUUAACGUGAUCUAAUAAUAAUGUAUGUUUAAAAAAGUACCCCUUUUUGUAUGCCUUCAAUAUUCUGCAUGAUAUCCAUCUCGUCUGCUUGAACUUGUGUUGAUUUUUCUCCGACAGUUGAACCAUCCAAAACAUGAACCUUUAUAGUUUGUUGUAGUAGAUAUAUCAGAUACUAUGCCAUUUCAGUCUAAUAUACAUAGAUAUAAAAUACACAUAGUAUAAGUUGAGAUUUUUUUGUGGACUUAACACAAAGCUUUUAUGUAUAUUAGUUAAAAUACAUAUCAUCAUUGUCAGCUAUUAUGCCAAUGCAACUAUCAAUUCGAUGAGAAAUAUAUAAUAUACAUAGCAUGUUGUUGGUAUAUUAUAUACUACAAUGUAACAAUUUAUGUAUGUUAUAUUACAAACAUUAAAUGUAUGUAAUAUACAUAGCUAUACACUACACAUCAUACUUAUGAGUAUAACUUAUUAUUAUAUUGUGUAUUUAACUUAAAAUAGUUAUAUAUAUUAGUUAAUAUACAUACCAUAAUUGGCAGAUACUAUGCCAUUGCAACUGUCAACUCCAUGAGAAAUAGUUAAUAUACAUGGCAUAUUGUUUGUAUAUUAUAUAACACAAAGUAAGCAUUUUAUGUAUGUUAUAAAUCACUGUACAAAUAAUAGUUAAAUAACACGUAAUACAAUUCUAAUUCAGAAUAUGUAUAAACGCACAAAAUUGAAUAAAAAAGAAAUACAAAAUCAUGAAUUGUAUAAGUUAAAUGAUUUUUGGUGUACCUUUUUAUUUUUUUGGCUGUGGUGUUUCAACAAUUGGAUGAGUUCGGCAUGUUGUUUAUCCAUUUUUUCAUUUGAGUCAUUAUGUUGUUUGACUAUUAGAUCAUGAAGACAAUUGAUUUUUGUGUCAACCUGCAUGUCAAAAUGAACUUACAUAAGACUACAUGUUGAUGAAAGUUGAAUUUUGUGUAUACCAGCAUGUCAAAAGCUAAAGAAAGUUGACUAUUAGAUAUGAAUGAACUUACAUAAAAUUACAAAAAUAACUUUAUAUCAUCCCACUUUUCAUCAGAAUUGUCCUGACAAACUGACUUGAGUGACGAUGAUGGAGUUGUCUUUUCGGCAUGAACAUGCUCCGAACCUGAAGAAGCUGUUUUUUGGGUUGGCAUAGUUCUUGUUGAAACAAAAGAUGGUGUUUUCUGACAAACUUUCUCCUCGACAGUUGUGGAAUCAAAACGGACUAUUUUUCGCUUCUUAGACGGAUGAGAUGUUGAAGAAUCAGUAAUCAAACCUGCCUUCUUGAGAAUUUCUGUAGGAGGGACCGUACUAAAUACCUCAAAACCUUGUAUGUCGAGGUCCACUUGGGACUGUACAUCGACAACAGGUUUUUUAUCGAAAUAAUCUACAACAAUUUUUGGAGGAAAUCCACUUUCAACAUCUUUUAAUUGAAAUCCCUCAAUCAUUUGCAAAUCAAGACUUUGUACUUCUUCAUCAGUUGGUCGUAUAUUAUUGUAUACUAACUGUUAAACAAUAAAAAAUAGCAACAUUAAUAGUCUGUUAAAGUAAGCACGUUGAAAAUUAAAACUAAGAUCGAAAUAAUAUACAUCAUACUUACCUUGCUGAACAUACCAGCCAUAAAUUUCUCGUACUUAACUUUGGUUCCAACCACCUGCCAGUUGAAAAUUCGGGGAAUUACAUUUCCCAUCCGCUCGGCUAUUGUACUGUCUACCUCAUAACAACAUUCAUAUAUCCAAACAUUCAGCACGUAAGGCAUUCCCCCCAUCGAGUAUAACUAUUUCGCAACAAAAAAAUCCUGUCUCUACAAUGCGAUAAGUUUUUUAAAUGAACUCUUCUCCCAUAGAAAUUGUUCGUAACUACCAUUCUCAACCAUCACAAAAUUCGAUUUGCUAAUUGUAGAAUCACGUACUUGUGAAUACAGAAAGGUGUGAAUGAAGUAAAUUAUUGACAUAUUCAGAGCAUCAGAAUUAUUUUCAAAGUUGCCCAACUUGAAUUGCUCUAUAAAGACUCCUUUUGACAGAACUCUUAGAACCUGAAAAAUACUUCGUCAUUAAUGCGGACUUUGAUGUAAAAGAAAAGAGGUGCUCCUCGAUGUUUCCUGAACAUUUAAGACCGGAUAUAAUGGCAUACUCAAUAAUGGUAAACUUGAGUGUGGUUCCUGGCACGUAAAAGUGUAUUUCAUCCGGAUUGUCUUGUUCUAUCUCGAGCAUGAGUAAGCAUUUGGAUAAUUGACCCUGAUAAUUAUAAUUCGGGAUGUCUAGGAAUGAACCAAAAAUUAUUUGUCGGAAUAAAUUUACGACUUCUUCACCAAGAUAAUUUUUUAUUUCUUCUCCAAAUUUUCGAUUGCAAUAACUACCGAAAUGCAACGAAUGCGCAGGGACCUUUCUUAUCCUGUAUUUCAUACCCUAUUGAGAAAGAAACAACACAUGAUAUGUGAGCAUGUGUUUUUAAAUGAAAAAACACUAAACUUAUGUAUAUUACUAACAUAUACAUAAAAUUGACUUGUGAGAAGUAUUGAUUCUAAAACACAGAAAAUAAUAUAUCAUUAGUGAUGUAUAUGUCAAUAUAUAUAUAGCUGAUAUCCAUUAUGUAUAUGCAGUUCACAUCACAGUAGUUGUCUACCAACAUAUUGAAGUUUAUGUAUCUAUUAUUCAUAAACACAUGACAUGUUCAGUGCAUCAAACUAAAAUAACAAAACACAAACUAUAUAAAACACUAAAAUAACAAGACAUAUCUAUGUCAAUAUGAGCAUGCGUUGUAAAAUUAAAUACUAAACUUAUGUAUAUUACUAUCAUAUACAUAAAAUUGUAUUGAGAGAAUUAUUGGUUCAAAAACACAACAAAUAAAAUAUCAGAAGUGAUGUAUAUGUCAACAUAUACAUACCUAAUAUCCAUUAUCUUAAAUACCUCUUCAAAAAACAUACACAUAUACACAGAAAAAUAUGAUGUAUAUGCAGUACACAACGCAGUAUUAGGUUUGUAAAAACUAACUUAUGUAUAUGUGCUGAGUAAUGUAUGUGUAACACAUACAUGCGAAUUUACAUAAACCCAAUAUUCAUUUAUGUAUAUGUGCUAAGUAAUGUAUGUGUAACACAUACAUACGAAUUUAUGUAAACCCAAUAUUCAUUUAUGUAUAUUAAAAUAUAUAGAUCACUGUAUUUCAAAUAAAAAGCUCACCACAAAUUUAUCUACCCAACAUAUACAGAAACGAAAAAAUUAUAUAUACCUUAGGAAGACGUGGACGUCCAGAAUCAUCUUUUUUGGAUAAUCUUGAUGAUUUUUCAACUGUUUUUUUCGACUUCUUACCAGCAGUUUUUCUAAUCUCUUUCAUCUUGUUGGGGUUGUUACGAAAUUUAGAUAUGUUUUCAACAAAGUUAGGUUCCUCAUAGUUAAAAACUUCGGGAACGAAUCCAACUACCGCAAUUUUGUUAAAUUAAGACCCCCCAAAACAUACUUAAUAAGAACAUGCAACAAUUUGUUCUUUCGAAAAACCCCAAAAUUGAAUUAAGGAGAAUGCUCCAUUAACAAAGUACUAAGCUGUUAAUAUCGUACUUCAAAUGGACGAUUUCGAAAAUUUUGUUAAAGAAGAAACCCCAAAAAACACUUAAUAAGAACAUGCAACAAUUACUUCAUUCAAAAAUCCCCAAAAAUCGGUUCAGUAAAUGAUGAAAAAAAAAAUACUAACCUCAACACUUAAAAAUCAGAAUAAUCAAUGGAGAUUAAGAUAAAAUUUAGUGCCUUAAGUUGGAGCCAAGUACAGUUGUAUUCAAAAUGGUAACCGAUGCUUGAUUUUAGGAGAGUUUUAAGGAUGAAAAAACGGUAAAAGAAUACAUCUUAUGUAUAUUUGCUUUUAGAGAGAGAAACACCAAAAAUGAGAUUUUUGUAAUAAGUUUGAGAAGUUGGGAUUUUUUAUAAUUAAUGAAAGAUAAGUUGUGUUAUUUUGUAAUUUUUAGUUAAUUAAAUACUACGUUAUACUGAUUUAUUGGUCCACAUUAAUACUGUACCCAAUCCAUAAAUUAGUCGACCUUUCUGAAUUUAUUCAUUUGAUAAUUGUUGAUAUUAGAUUUGUAAGAUUACAUCAUUGUUAAAGCUAAGUAAGAAGCCUUUGUUUAGAAUUGGAGCUAGUUUGCAGAAAUCCAUGCGAGCUUGAAUCAUGUUAAGAGUGUUUUUGGAUUGUUCUUUGAACUAAAAUAGCAAUUAAUUUCAUAUUUCUCAUUUGGAUGAUUUGCACUUUCGCCUCUAUUUUAUACUGAUUUUAAUUUUUGUCUCCUAGGACAAUAGCUUUUUUAUGGGCAUAAAGUUACAUUUCAUAUCAUAAUAUCUCACAAGUCAUGGCGCGCUUUCUUAAAGAACUUAUGCAACUCUAAUGUAGAAAGAUACACAAUUUGAUAGCCUAUUAGUGGAACGCUACGCAUUAGUUUAAUUGCAAACAAUAAAAAGUAAAGACCAACCUAUUUGAAGGGCAACCAUGCGAUCAAACAUUUUUAUGAGAAGCCUUAAAGAGAACAUAAAUUUAUGACUUAGUUAAAGUUAUAAAUUAAAAAAAUUAGCUAUAUGACAUGCUCGUAGGGAUGAGAAGGUGCCUCCUAAGCUGAAAGACAAAUUCUAUAGAGUUGCAAUUCGUCCGGCCAUGCUGUAUGGAGCGGAGUGUUGACCAGUCAAGAACUCUCACAUCCAAAAAUUGAAGGUUGCGGUGGAUGCGUGGACUUACUAAGGGUGGCAGGAUUAGGAAUGAGACUAUUCGGGAGAAGGUAGGAGUGACGUCGGUGGAGGACAAGAUGCGAGAAGUGAGGUUGAGAUGGUUUGGGCAUGUGAUGAGGAGGGGCACUGAUACCCCAGUUAGUAGGUGUGAGAGGUUAGCCUUGAAUGCCUUCAAGAGGAGUAGGGGUAGGUCGAAGAAAUACUGAAGAGAGGCGAUUAGACGUGACAUGAAGCAGUUACAGUUUACUGAGAACAUGAUCUUAGAUAGGAAGGUAUGAAGGAUGCUUAUUAGGAUAGAGGGCUGGUGCGUGUGGACGAGUCGUAGUCGGUAGCUAGGAGUGCUUUGGGGUAGCUUGGAUAGUAGUCGUAGGGCUUUGUACAUAGGUUAGAGCUUCUAGUUAGGAGGGUUGAGAGGAGGUGUGUGUGCCUUUGGUUUGUUACUAUAUAGUAUUUGUUUGUGGGUGUUGUAUCUCUGUUGUUUCAUGUUUUAUGGCGACUUUUUUACUGUCAUUGUGUCCUGAGUCGGGGGUUAUCAGAAACAACCUUUCUACUUUUUUCAGAGGUAGUAAUAUGGACUGCGUAUAUUCUACCCUCCCAACCCUACUAUGUGGGAAUAUAUAUUGGGUUUAUUUGUUGACAUGCUCGUAGGUUGUAAUAUGAGAAGAUUUUUUUUCUUUUACAUAAUUGUAAUUAGUAGGUAAUAAUGAACUACUUUCGUCUCAUAUUAAUUGGUCAUCUUAUUAAAAAUAAAUAUCUCAAAUUAAUUGAUCACCUAUAAAUCAAGACAGAAUUAAGUAAAAUUUUUUUAUUUUUCCCCUAUAAUUAAUAUACUCUUUGAAAGUUUCAACAAAUUAUCUUUAUUUCCAUUAAUAUGUAUAAAGAGUAUACUAGUAAAAUUCGUCAUUCCAUUAAUAAUAUUUUAAGCAAGGUACAAAAUAAAAAGUGCUGAACUAAUAUGAGAGAGAGGGAAGUAGGAAAUAACUUAGUGCGAGAAAGAGAAAACUAAUGCUCUUAGCCUCUUACGAGAAGAUCUAUUUACAUCCCUAGAUCUUCUUUCACAUGGAUCGCAUUCCCUUUGAAUCAACGGGUUAUAUUCAGUUUCCGCCUCUCACAUGGAUCGAUAUUUCUAUCCGUCGAUUAACAAGUAAAUCCCCAAAUAUUUAACGGCUACGAUUUACUCCCCGCCAUAUAGCAAAUUCCCCCCAAAUAUAAAUACCCCACCACCAUCAUCUUCAUUUCUCAUUCAAAUUCAAAACCCUAGAAUCUUCUUCUUCUUCAAAUUUCUCUGUGUGAAAAUGUCAGGCCGUGGAAAGGGAGGCAAGGGAUUGGGAAAGGGAGGAGCCAAGAGGCACAGGAAGGUUCUAAGAGACAACAUCCAGGGAAUUACCAAGCCAGCUAUUCGCAGGCUUGCUCGUAGGGGUGGUGUGAAGCGUAUCUCCGGUCUGAUCUACGAGGAGACCCGUGGAGUUCUCAAGAUCUUUUUGGAGAACGUGAUUCGUGAUUCAGUUACCUACACUGAGCAUGCUAGGAGGAAGACUGUUACUGCUAUGGAUGUUGUUUAUGCCCUCAAGAGGCAGGGAAGGACCCUCUAUGGAUUUGGUGGUUAGAUCAAUUGUUAGGUAGUAGAUGUACAUCUGCUGGAAAUUUCUGUUGUUUCUGUGUUCUUGUUUCGAUCUACUUCUUGGGUUCCAGAUAUUGUAAUUUCUCAUUACAUAUUCAAUGAACAGCUGCUCAGUUUUUAGAAAUUACAAUUAUUGUCUUUUAGCUGAUUGUUAUUGUUGUUUAGUUUUUAAAGUUCUCAUUGCAUAGGUUACGCUUAUAUACAUCACCCAUUUCUGUAACAGGGAUUUAACUGCUAAAAGUUGGGAGAAAUGACGAGAACUGGUAUUGAACUCAUUGUUGCUAAUAGAGUCUGCACUGCGUAUUUCCUAAUGUGCCAAACUGUACUGGUUCUGAAACUUAGUUAAUAGGUCAGGUUGCUCUUGUUGAGACUCUAUUAGAAAAGAUACAUCUUCAGAAAUAGAUGUAUCUUUGAUAGGAAAACUCUACUAUGAAUUCAUACCAAAUAGGACUACAUGAUUUAUGUUUAGGUGUCUUAGGUAGCGAUAAACUUCAGUUGCUCUCAAUCAGCAAUUGUUUGACAUUACACAAGGCGACAACAAAUGUAUAUAAUCAUUGUAAUUGAGUUCACUUGGACUAACUUCUCCACUUAUGUAGUUUGAAACAUGUCUGUGUUUACCAACUAGUAGGCAAUAGCAAAUCUUGUUUGGGCAAGUCAAGUUUGAGGAUCAUUUCUAAGUGAUGCAAGUGUCAUGCCCUCAAGGCCCUUCACAAGGAGCCAAGCCAAGAACUUCAACAACUUCAAGCUUUAUUCAUGCACUUGAAAGUUUGUGAAGGUGUUGUAGAUUCGGCCAAGGGAGGGAAUGCAUUGAUUUGUGAAGAAGGGACUUGAAGAGUCUAUAUUCUACAAGGGGCUAGAUGGACUUUCCACUUUAUAUUCCAACACUCAAGGGUCCCCCCUUCUCUUUAGCUCAUUAAGGGUAGUUUUGUCAAUUGACAUGUAAUUGUAUAAAUAGACAAUUUCUUCACCCUUUCCAAUAGUUUUUGAUGACAUUGGAUAUUACUCAUAGUUUGUAGUUUUAGUCUUCUAAUUAUAGCUCUAAAUCCGAAACUUGGUACCUUGAAUGCAAUUGAAUUGGUUUUCACUUGUAUUGAGUAAUUUGGCAAGAAAGGUGAAAUUGAGGGAGUGUGAGUUCUUUGGUCCACCUAAGAGGAAGUUGUCACGACCCAACUUUUCAGGUCAUGAUGACGCCUACCAUAACCCACCAGUAGACAAGCUAACCUGUAGUCCGGAAUGGCUAGUAACGGACUACUUAAUAACAUAAGAAAAAGAAUGCGGAAUAUAUGAGAUAAAGAUCAAUAUAUAGAUGAAUCCCAAAACCUGGUGGUAGUAGUACAAGAGUUUCUAAACAUAAUAAGAGUACAAAAGUGAGAUAUCAAGGAGAAAUACACUGAUUCAACUUACCUCUGAAUACAACUUAGAGGCUAGUCUAAUACAUAGGAGAGAGAUAAAUAAUACUCCGAACGUCAGGAGCUCACUCUAAGUCUCCGAAUCAGGGUUACUCAUAACUCGUGCUAUGAUUUGCAAGCUGCAGAGGUGUAGAAUGAGUACCAAACGAAUGGUACUCGGUAGGCAACUGCCAACCGAGAUCCAAAGAUAAAGUAGAUAAUACAACAUAUAAACAUAAUGGAAACUACAACCAAAAGUCCAUAAAUCAUAUAAUAAGUCAAUGAGAAUAACAAGGGACAACUAUCAUAUUUAUGUCCAAGAGUCUAAAAUAAGAAGACUAAGGAGUAAUCAAGGUGAACUAUCCUGUUCCGGCUACAUUCAAUAUAUGCCAAUGCUAUACCGUAUAUCCCAGGUCAAUAUACAAGUAAAGAGCGAAAGAAAAAUAGAUUGUAAUAUACAAGGCGAAAGAACGACUAUACAAUAUGAACAAUGAAUGUUAAGAUUGAUAUUGGAUAGAAUGACUUAGUAUUGAAUAUACAUAUAAGUUUGGAGAUUAGAUAGGGUUUUGGACCCGUAGGUUGAAUUACUUAAUACCCUUAUAGAAUCCUAUUGCCUUCUCCCUAGUUUGGGUAAAUUUGUAGCAUGGAUAUGAUAUAAUAUUAUGCUCGGAAUACGGUUUUAGCAUCAUUUGAAGCAUGAUUUGUUUUAGCCUUAUUGGGCUAGUGUGAUAGUUUUGGAACCGUAAGUUUGGUAGAGUUGACUUGAGUACCCUUUUUUCUAGUCCAAGUUACUAUCUUAGGCGUUAAUAUGACUUGCUUGACAUCUAGAGGAUGAACUAGAUAACUUAGCCUAGUUUGUAGCCUAGUUUGGAGCAUAGUAUGCCUAAUUAUGGAAAUUAUGGAUUAGAAGUGGGAUCAUCCGGCCCACUUAGGCCAAGAUUUGUGUUAGCCCUUGUGGGCUUAGUUGCAGAUAGUAGACCUAGUUGAGACUAAUGAGCCUUAUUUAUGAGAAUUACUUGGUGAAUUGAUAAAUUGUGAUGAUUUUCGUCGGAUUAUGAUUAGUGGCCCAUAGAGAUGCAUUUUCUUCUUUAUUAUGAUAUUUGACCCAUAGAGAUGCAUUUUCCUUUUUAUUAUGAUAUUUGUCCCAUAGAGAUGUAUUUUCCUUUUAAUUAUGAUAUUUUGCCUAUAGAGAUGCAUUUUUCCUCUUUAUUAUGAUAUUUGAUCCCUAGAGAUGCAUUUUCCUCUUUAUUAUGAUAUUUGGCCCAUAGAGAUGCAUUUUUCUCUUAAUUAUGAUAUUUUGCCUAUAGAGAUGCAUUUUCCUCUUAGUUAUGAUAUUUUGCUCAUAGAAAUGAUUUUCCUUUUAGUUAUGAUUAUUGAGCCUAUAGAGACAAUUUUCGUCUUGGUCAUGAUGGAUAACCUAUAGAUAUGAGAUAUCUAAUAGAGGCGAUAUGCUUGUUGAUAUUAUGCCUCCUAGAUGUGAGAUGCCUCCUAUAUGUGAGAUGAUUAUAGAUAUGCUACGGUUUAUAAAAUUGAUUAAUGAUAUGAGUCCCGGAUAUGUAUAUGGGCCUAAGGCCAUGAUUAUGAUGUUGUGAUUAUUCUGGAUAAAUUAAUGGGCCUAGGUCCGUGUUAUGGUACUGAUUAAAUAUCCAAGAAGUGUUUAUCAUUGNNNNNNNNNNNNNNNNNNNNNNNNNNNNNNNNNNNNNNNNNNNNNNNNNNNNNNNNNNNNNNNNNNNNNNNNNNNNNNNNNNNNNNNNNNNNNNNNNNNNNNNNNNNNNNNNNNNNNNNNNNNNNNNNNNNNNNNNNNNNNNNNNNNNNNNNNNNNNNNNNNNNNNNNNNNNNNNNNNNNNNNNNNNNNNNNNNNNNNNNNNNNNNNNNNNNNNNNNNNNNNNNNNNNUUAACAAAAAUAGGAUGAAUAGUUGAUAAUAAUGAAUGAUGGAUAAAUGAAGGUUUUAGUCUAAUGAUGAACCUAGACUAGAUGUUAGAUGUUGACUAUUAAAUGAAUAGUGGUUAUUUGUUAUCCCGUGAAUAAGGAUUAUGUGAAGGAUAAUGUUUAGGCUAAUAACUAGAGGUUAUGUGAUGACUAGCGAACUAGCGAUUUAAUAAUAAUAAAUGUUGGUUAGCUAAUAACGAGUAAUUUUAAUGUAUUGAUAAGAUAGAUAUCUUUACGGUUAUGAGUAUAUCGACUUGCGUCUGUGCACCUAUUAUAUGCCUAUAUUUAUGUGUCGAGAGUUAUGAUGAUACAUUGAUACCCAGCAAGGACGGAGGAUAUUAUGAUGAUAUUGAUACCCGGUUCGAGUCCGGAAGAAACUAUUGAGAUGAUAUUGAUACCUGACAAGGCCGGAGGAUAUUAUGAUGAUAUUGAUACCCGGUUCGAGUCCAUAGGAUACUAUUGAGAUGAUAUUAAUACCCGACAAGGCCAGAGGAUAUUAUGAUGAUAUUGAUACCCGGUUCGAGUCCGGAGGAUACUAUUGAGAUGAUAUUGAUACCCGGCAAGACCGAAGGAUAUUCUGAUAAUAUUGAUACCCGGUUCGAGGCCGGAGGAUACUAUUGAGAUGAUAUUGAUACCCGGUAAGGCCGGAGGUUGAUGGCGAUGAUGAUGGUCCUAAUGAGGACAGUUGCAUUGCGUUAUUGAUGGUAUAUUUUGCAUUCAUUCCUGCAUGCGCAUCACCUAUCACCAGUAUGCACCUAUGUCUAUCAGCUGGUAUGGGACGGUUGCAUAGAUAUGGGUGAAAAAUAUGCCUUGUGUUAUUAUAUGUUGAUUGAACCUUCCGAGUCUGGGGUGGUGGGGGUACGCAUAGGCUUCUGAGAUCGUUUCGCUGAAGUUUUGGAUCAGUGGCCAUUUGGAACCAACGAAGACUUCUGAAUAGGGAGUUGACUCUAAAAACCAAACGAAUUGCCCGGUAACCGAACCCCCAGUCCCAGCAAGUCAUAAAUGACUUGGGGUAGCUAUGGAGAAGCUCAAACGGUGAAGAUAAGCAUAAAUAUGGAAAAUGAACUGAAGGGUCAUUGCAAAGGUUUGAGCUUCUAUUGGUGAGGUGUGAUUGAUGGUUUGAUACACCAUCUUUUGUUAAUCACUUGAUAGGAGUAAAGGCCCGUCUUUCUACCUAUCUUUAUUUUCAAGCAUUCUUCUUCAUCCUUUUCUUCUAAGUGUGUUGUUUUCCUUUAGUGGAGCUUGCUGAUUUUUAUUAUUUAGAGUCCAUUUUUGUGUGUUGAUAGUCUUUAGACUAUAAGGAUUACUUCAGAAGGGUGGCUGCAAUUGGUCCAGCUAUAUAAGAACAGCAAAUGUAUAUAUCUACAUUGCAAUAGCCUUUACCAAAGGAUUACUUUGCUAGAUGAAACGGAUUAAAUACAUCUGUUCAAGUUUAUAGAUUUCAAAAGGUUACACAUUUGCAAUAUAUUAAAGAACUGAACACUUGAAAGGAGAAACCCAAAUCAGUAUUAUAUGAGCCCUGACACUUGAGUUAGCAUUCACGCCCCUUCUCUGUGGCUUUGCAAAUUUCAGUAAAUUACAUCCAACAAGCACACAACCCAAAAAGCUGUAAAUAUGCUUCGUGUAGCAGAUUUGAAGAUUUCAAGUUAAAUGGGUCAAACAUCACCACCACCACAACAACAUACCCAUUGUAUUCCCACAUAGUGGAGUCUGGGAAGGGUAAAGUGUACACAGAUCAUACCAUUGACGCAUGUGAAGUAGAGAGGCUGUUAAAUGGAUCAAACAUCACCAUACUACAAAGUAACAAUAUAGUUUUAACCAGAUACAGAAAACAACUUGAAUAAACGAAAAAGUAGACUGCAAUCUGCUUGUAAAACAACUCUAGAAUGAGAGUAAAAGCCAUUAGAUCCACAAUUUUCAAACUAACUGAAACGUCAUUUUUCCCACCAGUAGUCAUCCGCAUGGGCGGACCGACGUGCAAUUUUCGGAUGCUCGAGCACCCACUAAACUCGACGUAGAAGAGGUAUAAUUAUAUAAGAAACAGUGAAAAAAUGGUAAAAUAUAUACAAAAGCACCUAGAGAACAAAAGCAUGGUUGGGUGCUCUGGCGUUAGACAUAACUUUCAUGUCUUCCAUGCUGGGAUCGAAUCCCUGUAGCUGCAUUGUUUAGUAAAUUUUUUUUUUUUAGCACCCACAACCUAAAAAAGCUGGGUCCGCCACUGGUCAUCCGCAGCUAUAAGAAAACUAAAGUUAACUAGAAUUGAUUGUCAAGAAGCUACAUUUCUCGAGACAGAGACAAUUGCAUAGCUGUUGCAGUUGAGGAAAUAUGUUUCUGACAAUUGACUUGCUUGAAGAAAUUAAAAGAUAAACUAAGCAGCAAACGGAGAGGUCAAACAUGUAAAAAGUUCAGCGUCAAUUGCUAUGUUCCAACCUGAAGUAAUAAUAUGUCUUCUAAUCCCAAAAUCAAAAAGAGGAAAAAGAAUAUCACACAACUGUGAAUUAACAUUUUGUAAAGUAUGAACACUGACUCCAUUCAGAAAAUGUGCAUCUUUCAGCAUUUUGAUCAGCAUGAGUAGGCUAUCAAUGACUGCAUUUUCAGCAAUAUUAUCUAUCCCAUCAGUUAGUUGAUCUACAUCUUCCUUCGCUUCGCUUGGGGGCUUCCAUCUUCAUCAUUAUUCUGGUCAUUACCGCCUUCAUCUUGAUCAUGAUUCUGUUCAUUAUCUCCAUCUAGAUCAGCAUUUUGCUCAUUAACGUCCACAUCUUGUUCAUUAGGGACCUGUUCAUUAAAUUCUCCAUCUUGAUCAGCAUUUGGCUCAUUAGCACCUAAAUCUUGUUCAGUAGGAAUCUGUUCGUUAGCAUUUCCAUCUCGAUCAGCAUUUUGCUCAUUACCGCCUAAGACUUGUUCAUCAGGAACCAGUUCAUAAGGGAGUCCUAGUUCCUCGUUUAAAUCACGCAACAAGGGUUCAUUAUCCCAGUAAGUAAGCUUGUGCCUUCCACAAAAUACUCAUUUGUAUAAACCCUUACUAGUCAUACGACAUAUGUGUGCAGUCUCAAUUAGCAAAUUUUGUAGUUAGAAACUUACAAUCUCAUGUAGAAUCUUCCUUGUCUAAUAUAGAUGGAUGGUGAGGGUUGGGGGACUGCAAUCUGGAGAAAUCAUUGAUUCAGUAUCUCAUAACAAGGAACAGCAAAAUGUCUUGUUCAUGAAAAUCAAAUGCUCUUUAAUAAUAGUAUCUUACAAAUUGCCACCCGAGCAGCAUCUCACAUUGGAAGCAGAAAAUAUCGACUAGGGUAUAUCCAUUUAUUACACGAUAAUCAUUUACAUCCUCUGAUACGUCAACAUUAAACCUGCAUAUAUACAAAGGUUUCUAAUACAUAUAUGCCUCAGACCGCAGAAAAAAGUUUAGGCAAAUAACAAAUCCCAAAUUGCUGAAAUCAAAUAAAUUACAGACUUACACUCUAUCAAAGAUCCUUCGUGGAAUGAGGUUUAGCACCUACAAAGUGUACAAGACAAGAAAAUGAGCAUAAUAAGUUGUUCUGUGCUUAGUCAAGAAAUAUAACAUAAAUGCUGAACUAAUCACAAUUCAUGAUACAAAUAGGCUGUUGAAAUUAAGCCAUUAAAUCUUGCAUAUGGUCUUUAUGAAACGAAUAGCAAAAAUCAAAAAGAUAGUACAACAUAGUUUUUCCUAAACGAAUAGCUACGGUAUGAGCAAUUCAGAAUAAAAUUAAUUCAAGAUUGUCCUGAAUUUCGAGGAUCAAAGAAAAUGUCUGUAGCCCACAGAACCAUUUCGCGUGUUCAGAAAUGAUGCAGAGAGAGUGAGAAUCCUUGCGAUCCGAAGGUAAUCCUGGCGGAAUGCAACUCGAGUUCCGCAGCUACGACAUUUGAUUUCAUUGCAUUGAUAUAAAGCUCGUCCACUCAUUGUAUGUAUCAACUUUGUUGAAUCAAGAACCAACUCCUAAUAGAUACGUUUCGCCUGUCACGCAAAGAACAAAGUUGAAGAGAGAUACGAAAGAGGAACUGCUGAAGAAGUCUAAGUUUAUCAAUGGAGAAAAUGACUUUAACUUCUCACCAGAUAACAAAUGCAACAAUGGAGAAAGAGUUGGUGAUCAAUGAGAAUUCAAGAAAAUGAAAAAUGGGUGGGAAUUAUAAGAGUAAAUUUAAUGAGUCUGAGAAUAUUGAUAUAGAAAAGUCACUCACUUCUUGAUUCUUGAAUCCAAGCUCUGUUAACUGAGAGGAGGGAAAUUUGAAAUUGCUUCACACGCACACAAUUGGAUAAAUUUUCCACCUUUAUUAGGAAUAAAAUACCAAAUGUGUUUCCCUUUCUUUUCUUUUCCCUUUUAUAUCUAAUAAAAUGUUGUUGUAUUGAGUGUUUACAUCAAAAUAAUAGAUGUUCAACGUACUAUUUAACUAUGAUUAAUUAAUGCAUAUUUUUAUUACUUAUUACAUGUAACUCACUUAAGAAAAUUACCUUAAGUUGAAAGACUAGGCCCCGUUUGGACAUGCGAUACGAAAUUAUUAUUUGAAAUCAUGUUAUGAAAUUGAAGAUUUUUUUGGACAUAUAAUUUGAAUUUCUUGAAGGGGAGCCUUGGUUAACUAGUAAAGUUGCUCCCAUAUAUUUAAGCCAUGAAAACAACCUCCUGCAGAAAUGCACGGUAAAACUGCAUACAGUAAAUUCUUGUGCACCAGACUUGCAUUAUAUUCAAUUUAGAUUUCUUAAGUUGCAUUUUCUCUUAUAAAAAUGAAAAUCUCACAAGUUGUAUAAACUAUAAAAAUUUCUAAUCCUUAAUCUUACCAAAUAAGCAAAUGAUUGUUCGUAAACAAGAUAUCGGACUAUCAAAAGGUAUCACAUUGUUAAAUCACAUAUCUCCAUUUUUUAAAGAGAAAAUAUAUAAUUACCCCCUGAUCUUGUUCGAGAUUUACAAAAAGACACCUAAACUUUCACUUCGACCUAUUACCCUACAAUUCUUCUUUAUUUCGUUGCAAACACACCAUUUUGACCCUCUGCGUGUAUACACGCGCCACAGGUGCGUGAAAGGGUUCGAAUUUGACUUUUUUGACCAAUUAAAAGCUGUCACGUGUAAAAUAAUUGAUAUAUAAUUUAUAUUCUUUUUUUUAAAAUUAAUAUUUAUUUAUUUUUAAAAAUUAUUUCAUAACCCCCACCCCCGCAACCCCCCAUCCACCAUUGUCUUCUUCCCCAACUUCUUUUUCAUCACCAUCACUCAACAACAUCAAUUACAACACACAACAACAACAUCAAUUAUGCCCACAACAACAACAUCAUCAUCAUCAUCAUCAUCACCAUAACCCCACCCUUUCUUCUUCAACAUAAUGUCAUCAUUAAAGCUCCUCCAUUGAAGUUUUUUUUUUUAAAUCAUAUCAUUAAAGCUCCAUUUUGCAAUUAAAACAUAUCAGUUAACUACCCACCAUUCUUAUUCAACACAAUAUCUUCUUCAACUCCAUUAAAGCUCUUUCAUUGAAGUUUUUUUUUUUAAAGUUCCAUUAAAGCUCAUUAAACUAUCUUUAAAAUUCAAUUCAAUCAUUUAACUAUCCUUAAAACUCAAUUCAAUCAUAAAACUAAUUUUUAAAUUGAUUUGAACAAAGAAAAAAAUUAGACGGGGAGAGUGCUGGACGCGAGGCGGCGAGGGGGAGGGGGAGGGGGAGGUGCUAGACGNNNNNNNNNNNNNNNNNNNNNNNNNNNNNNNNNNNNNNNNNNNNNNNNNNNNNNNNNNNNNNNNNNNNNNNNNNNNNNNNNNNNNNNNNNNNNNNNNNNNNNNNNNNNNNNNNNNNNNNNNNNNNNNNNNNNNNNNNNNNNNNNNNNNNNNNNNNNNNNNNNNNNNNNNNNNNNNNNNNNNNNNNNNNNNNNNNNNNNNNNNNNNNNNNNNNNNNNNNNNNNNNNNNNNNNNNNNNNNNNNNNNNNNNNNNNNNNNNNNNNNNNNNNNNNNNNNNNNNNNNNNNNNNNNNNNNNNNNNNNNNNNNNNNNNNNNNNNNNNNNNNNNNNNNNNNNNNNNNNNNNNNNNNNNNNNNNNNNNNNNNNNNNNNNNNNNNNNNNNNNNNNNNNNNNNNNNNNNNNNNNNNNNNNNNNNNNNNNNNNNNNNNNNNNNNNNNNNNNNNNNNNNNNNNNNNNNNNNNNNNNNNNNNNNNNNNNNNNNNNNNNNNNNNNNNNNNNNNNNNNNNNNNNNNNNNNNNNNNNNNNNNNNNNNNNNNNNNNNNNNNNNNNNNNNNNNNNNNNNNNNNNNNNNNNNNNNNNNNNNNNNNNNNNNNNNNNNNNNNNNNNNNNNNNNNNNNNNNNNNNNNNNNNNNNNNNNNNNNNNNNNNNNNNNNNNNNNNNNNNNNNNNNNNNNNNNNNNNNNNNNNNNNNNNNNNNNNNNNNNNNNNNNNNNNNNNNNNNNNNNNNNNNNNNNNNNNNNNNNNNNNNNNNNNNNNNNNNNNNNNNNNNNNNNNNNNNNNNNNNNNNNNNNNNNNNNNNNNNNNNNNNNNNNNNNNNNNNNNNNNNNNNNNNNNNNNNNNNNNNNNNNNNNNNNNNNNNNNNNNNNNNNNNNNNNNNNNNNNNNNNNNNNNNNNNNNNNNNNNNNNNNNNNNNNNNNNNNNNNNNNNNNNNNNNNNNNNNNNNNNNNNNNNNNNNNNNNNNNNNNNNNNNNNNNNNNNNNNNNNNNNNNNNNNNNNNNNNNNNNNNNNNNNNNNNNNNNNNNNNNNNNNNNNNNNNNNNNNNNNNNNNNNNNNNNNNNNNNNNNNNNNNNNNNNNNNNNNNNNNNNNNNNNNNNNNNNNNNNNNNNNNNNNNNNNNNNNNNNNNNNNNNNNNNNNNNNNNNNNNNNNNNNNNNNNNNNNNNNNNNNNNNNNNNNNNNNNNNNNNNNNNNNNNNNNNNNNNNNNNNNNNNNNNNNNNNNNNNNNNNNNNNNNNNAAAAAAAAUGAAAUUAAACGUAUUUAACAAGUGGCAACACCUGAUUGGUGCGUGUGUUCACUUUCUUUGUUGUGACUGAGAUUCAACUAAAAAUGGUGUAUUUGUAACGAAAUAAAGAAGAAUCAUGGGGUAAUAGGUCGAAGUAAAAGUUUAAGUGUCUUUUUGCAAAACUUAACCAACAUCGAGGGUAAUUAUGUAUUUACAUUUUUGUUAAUAUUAUUCUUUCACAUGGUACAAAUGAUAUCUUCAGGACGAUAAUGAGUCCCUUUAUCUUAUAUUAAAGUUAAAAUGUUUUCGAGUCCCUUUAUUUUUAUAUGAAAGUUAAAAUAUGUCUUUAUAUCGAGUGUUGAACGGCAAGCUAGAUCAAUUACUGUUAGAUAUAGCAAAGUAAAUUCACAUGAGAUUUGAGGAAGAGAGAUAAACAGGCAAACCAAUGUUAAAUUUACAAGUAUUCCAGUAAUGGUUGAUAGGCCACAACACAUCUCAUUCUAAAUAAACAUGGAGCUGAAAUUAUUACAAAGGUUUCGUGGUGUAGUUGGUUAUCACGUCAGUCUAACACACUGAAGGUCUCCGGGCGAAGCCAUUUUCGUGGGUAAUAGGUCGAAGUAAAAGUUUAAGUGUCUUUUUGCAAAACUUGACCAACAUCGGGGUAAUUAUGUAUUUACAUUUUUGUUAAUAUUAUUCUUUCACAUGGUACAAAUGAUAUCUUCAGGACGAUAAUGAAUCCCUUUAUCUUAUAUUAAAGUUAAAAUGUUUUCGAGUCCCUUUAUUUUUAUAUGAAAGUUGAUGACUAGGUUCUGUGGCUAGAAGUUGUGAUAAGCUUUGAUCCAUCUGAUAUAACUAGGCCAAAUACAAUCGAUGUUGGAGAGUUUUAUUUGGAAUUCAGACCCAAUUAGCUUUUGUUAAGAAGGACUAGAAGUUACAAAGAAUGGUUAUACAAAAUUAUGUCGAAGCUUUGGCUUUUUGCUGUCUCUCAUCUCCUUUCUAAGUUCUAGUAUCUCAUUCCCUUCUGAUUACUUUCUACUCUAUUAUUCUCUCCUUAGUUUGUGUUGUUAUUACUUUGUUUUAGGAUUCUAAGUUGUAACUUGUAUUCAGUGAUUAUGAUUUAUUCUGUUUUUGUGUUAAAAAAUUCGACUUGUUACAAAAAUCCAUUAGAUCCACGCACUGAAACAUCAUCUUUCCCCACAAUAGUCAUCCGCAGCUAUACGAAACAAACUAAAGUUCACUAGCAUUAUUGUAUAGCUGUUGCAGCUAAGGAAAUACACCUCUGACAGUUUGACUUGCUUAAAGAAAUUUAAAGAUAAACUAAGCAGCAUAUAGAGAACAAACAUUACAAAAAGCAGUGUGUCAAAUGCUUUAUUCCAACCUGAAGUAAUAAUAUGUACUGUAAUCCUAAAACUGAAAAGAGGAAAAAAAACAAUAUGAACUGUGACUUUAUUAGGAAACUGUCCAUCUUUCAGCAUUUUGAUCAGCGUGAGUAGGCUAUCAAUGUCUGCAUUUUCAUUCAAUAAUAUCUAUUCCACCAGCGAGUUGAUCUACAUCUUCCAUUGUUUCAUUGACGCACGUCCAUCUUCAUCGUGAUUCUGUUCAUUAGCAUAUAGAGAACAAACAUUACAAAAAGCAGUGUGUCAAAUGCUUUAUUCCAACCUGAAGUAAUAAUAUGUACUGUAAUCCUAAAACUGAAAAGAGGAAAAAAAACAAUAUAACUGUGACUUUAUUAGGAAACUGUCCAUCUUUCAGCAUUUUGAUCAGCGUGAGUAGGCUAUCAAUGUCUGCAUUUUCUUUCAAUAAUAUCUAUUCCACCAGCCAGUUGAUCUACAUCUUCCAUUGUUUCAUUGACGCACGUCCAUCUUCAUCGUGAUUCUGUUCAUUAACACCUCCAACUUGAUCAAUAGCGCCUCCAUCUUGCUGAUUAGGAGCCUGUUCAUUAGCUCCUCCAAAGAGAGAAUCAUGCAAUGUUACACCACUCAGGUACAUAAUCUGUUUCCUGCCACAAAAUACUCAUUUGAAUAAACACCUCACAAGUCAUAUCGCAUACGUGUACAGUCAAUAUGCAAAUUUGUAAUUAGAAGCUUACAAUCUCAUAAAGAACCUUCCUACUACAUAGUACUGGGAUGGUUGGGCUACUGCAAUCUGAAGAAAUCAUAAUUAAGAAAAAUAGAGCAACAAAAUCGUCUUGUUCAUGGAAAUCAAAUGCUCUUUAAUAUUAGUAUCUUACAAGUUCCCAGCCAAGCAGAAUACGACAAUUGAUACAGUAAACAUUGGCCAGGGUAUUUCCAUCUACUACACGAAGAUAAUUCACAUUAUUUGGUACAACAACAUGAAAUCUGCAUAUAACACAUAUACGCCUCAGACCUCGGAAAAAAAACUUAGGCAAAUAAAUAAAAUCACAAGAUGCUCAAAUACCUAAUUUUCGAAAUUGCAUGCGACUUACACUUUAUUAAAGUACCCUCCAUACACUAAGUCCUGCGCCUGGACAAUAAAACGAACAUAAUAAGUUGUUCUGUUCUUAGUCAAGAAAUGAAGGAAUUGAAUGUUACAUAUCCACUUUAUGAAAUAAGUAAUAGUUUCAUAAAAAAAUAUACACUAAAAAAAUAAUCCUUACAUUAGGAACGUAAUGCUCGAUGAAUGAAACACGAGUUUCGCAAAAACAGCAAAGGAUGCAACCACGCACAUUGAUUAGAUGAUUUCCAAUUAUAAAGGACAUUGUAUCAAAUGAAAGAACUAUUAUGAUUUUGGAGAGAGAUGCAAAUAAUAAAAUACACUCCUACUAGUACCAAACUCUUGCUAAAAAUAAGAAGCAGACUCCUUAACAAAACAACUAAUUACUCUACGAAAUUAUUUUUUGUUUUGUUUUGCCACUUAAGAAUAUUUUACUACAUUUUACCCUCCUAAACUAUUUUCUUUUUAAUUUGAGGCGCUAGUCAAAUUGACAUUUUAUUUUGCACCCUUGCGCCGACCGUACAGAGAAUAAAAUAAGCACCAGUUGUGUUUCCUUUUCUUUUUCUUUUUCUUUUCCUAUACUUCCUUAAUAAUGUUAUUGUUGGGUAAAUUUCGAUGGUUAAAAUUAGUAAAAACUUAUUUGUAUGGAGUGGUUACGUCAAAUAAUAGAUGUGCGACAUACUAUUUAACGGUGAUUAGUUAAUGCAUAUGUUUUAUUACAUUAAAUCAAACGAAAGCCUUGGAGCAACAGUAAAAUUAUGUCUGUAUACAUUACAUGUUCGAGUUGUGAAAGCAACUGCUAAUACUUGCAUCAUGAUAGACAGGGAUGGAGCUACCGAACCCCCUUCGACAAAAAAUUAUACUAUAUAUAUACAUGGUUAAAAUUAUUUUUUAUGUAUAUAUAUAUUAGAUGUUGAACCCCCUUCGAUAAGUUCAGAUGUUCAUUAUGAACCCUUAGUGAAUAUUCUGGCUCCGCCAAUAAUGAUAGACCGCCUACAUUACACCCACUCGGUACUUGCCCAAGUCUAUCCUUUUUACCAAAAUACGUUAGAAUUUUGUUGGUGUAAACACCAGACAGUAGUGAGGAAAAUAAAGCAUCAUCUUAGAUCUCCAGAUGCUAAAGGCAUUCCUAUAUUGUUAUAUAUACCAUAUAAUUUACGAAAUUGUAACUAAUAUUAAUAAGAAAUUUCAAAUUUUAAACAUUUUCGUUAAUUUAGUUAGAUUGUACACAUGAGUGGUAAAUAACGGUAAAAUUUCUCUCUUAUUAAAUUAACAAAUUAAAAUUUUCAGAGUUAAUAACUCAAGUAAUCACUCAACUAUAAACUUUUAUUCUAAAAAAAUCAUUCAACUUUGUUCUUUACCUUAAAUGUCACUCAGCUAUAAAUUUUUAUUUCAGAAAGUAACACAACUUUGAUCUUUACUUCAAAAGUCACUCCACUAUUAAAUUUUUACUGAGAAAGUCACUCAAUCCAUUUAAUUAUUUUAAAAAAAAUAAAAUUUGCUUAUGUAAAAUUUCUAUUUAAAAAAUAAAUUCUGAAAAAUAAAAAGUUUCCAUUUAAUGACCGUUUUAUUCUUAUUUCCUUAAAUUAAUAUCUCGUCGUCCUCUUUUUUCUUCUUCUCAUAAAUUUUUUCGUGACUCGAAUAUUUACAGUAUAAUUAAAUAGAAAUUUCAUAAAAGCAAAUUUUAUUUUGUAAAAAAUAAUUAAAUAAUUUGAAUGACUUUCUAAUUAAAAAUAUAAUUGUUGAGUGACAUUUAAAAUGGAGAUGAAAAUUGAGUGACUUGAAUGUAUAGACAACUUUGCACCUCGUAUCGGUAGAUUCGAGAAGGCCCCAAGAGGAAUUCUUCUUCACAAUUUCUGGGUUUUAGAAUAAUCAAUGGACCCCUAAAAUAUUCGAUUGAAGGAGUGUAUCGAUCAAGCACUCAUGAAACGUUUUCGUUUUCUGAGAAAAUUAUCAAAUUCCAAUGAAAAACCCUUCAUUGCUGUAUUAGCUUUGGCUGCUGCUGGAUUUUUUUCUAGCAAUGAAACCACCAGUUCAAGAACAUCAAUUUUGGUUUCGUUACCCGAUCCCGAUCCCUUAAAAGACAGACUCGUUCGUUCUGCGGCCGACCAAUCUCAAGUGUAUAUUUUCCCAUCGUGUUUUGCUAGAAGAAUUGGUUUGGACUCACCUGGGAAUGUGAAGAAAGAAGGUUCUGGGGAAGAUGACGACGAUGGUGAGAAGAAACAUAAAUGUUGUAAUUGUUUCGGACGAGAUACUAUUGCCAAUGCAGCUGCCACUGUUGGUCCUGCUGUUGUUAAUAUCUCAGUAUCAAGGAGCUUUCACGGAUUGAGCGCUGGAAGGAGUAUAGGAUCAGGAACUAUAAAAGAUGCUGAUGGCACUAUUUUGACUUGUGCCCAUGUGGUUGAUUUUCAAGGCUUGAGGAUUUCGUCAAAAGGAAAGGUUAUGUGACUUUGCAAGAUGGCCGUGUAUUUGAGGGUACCGUGGUCAAUGCGGAUUUGCAUUCUGAUAUUGCAAUUGUUAAGAUCAAAUCUACAACUCCACUUCCAACUGCAAAACUUGGCACUUCAAACAAGCGGCUUCGCCCUGGGGAUUGGGUGGUGGCUAUGGGUUGCCCCCUUUCUCUCCAAAAUACAAUUACAGCAGGCAUUGUGAGCUGCGUCGAUCGUAAAAGUAGUGAUCUUGGACUUGGAGGCAUGCGGCGAGAGUAUCUGCAGACUGAUUGUGCUAUUAAUGCUUGAAAUUCUGGAGGACCUCUAGUAAAUGUCGAUGGAGAAGUAGUCGGAGUUAAUAUCAUGAAAGUACUGGCAGCUGAUGGUUUGGGCUUUGCCGUACCAAUUGAUUCGGUUACCAAGAUUAUAGACCACUUCAAGAAUAGGGGGAGAGUUAUUCGACCUUGGUUGGGUUUGAAAAUGCUCGAUCUAAAUGAUAUGGUUGUUGCACAGCUUCAGGAAAGAGAUCCAUCUUUCCCAAAAGUCAACAAGGGAGUUCUUGUAUCAAUGGUGACUCCAGGGUCCCCCUGCUGAUCGUGCUGGAUUUCACCCUAGUGACGUGGUUGUUGAAUUUGAUGGAAAUCCUGUUGGGACAAUAAAGGAGAUAAUUGAUAUAAUGGGUGACAACAUUGGGAAACAAUUGAAUGCAGUGGUGAAAAGAGUCAAUGAUGUUACUGCUACGUUGAGGGUAAUUCCAGAAGAAGCUAAUCCUGAUAUGUGAAAUGCAAUGUUUUGUCCUCACAGAAGGAUUAUAUAUUUUUCUGAUUUCAAUCUCAAAAAUCAGAAGCUGAUCAGGUACUGCGUAUUGUGAUUGUCCUAUAUGAACCUAUUACAAACUGAUAAGCAUUUUGUAAAGUAAUAACUACACUGGCUCUAUUUAGAAAGUGUAUCUUUCUGCAUUUUGAUCAGCAUGAAUAGGCUAUCAAUGUCUGCAUUUUCAUCAUUAGUUGGUUCAUAUUAUCUAUUCCAUCAGCCAGUUGAUCUUCAUCUUCAUUCAGUUCAUUGGGGUGCCUGCAUCUUGAUCAUCAUUCUGUUCAUUAGUGUCUUCAUCUUGAUUAGCAUUUUGCUCAGCAGCUCCUAAAUCUUGUUCAUUAGAAACCUGUUCAUUAGCAUCUCCAUAUUGAUCAGCAUUUUGCUCAGUAGCACCCACAUCUUGUUCAUUAGGAACCUGUUCAUCAGUGUCUCCAUCUGGAUCAACACUUUUCUCAUUAGCACCUACAUCUUGCUCAUUAGGACACCGUUCAUUCGCAUUUCCAUCUUGAUCAGCAUUUUACACAGUAGAGCCCACAUCUUAUUCAUUAGGAAUCUCUUCAUUAGUGUUUCCAUCUUGAUCAGAAUUUUUUUCGGUAGCUCCCAUAUCCUGUUCAUUAGUGUUACCAUCCGGAUCAGUAUUUUGCUCAUUAGCACCUACAUCUUGAUCAUUAGGACCGUGUUCAUUAGCGUAUCCAUCUUGAACAGCAUUUUGCUCAGUAGCGCCUAAAUUUUGUUCAUUGGGAACCUGUUCGUUAAUGUCUCCAUCUUGAUCAGCAUUUUGCUCAUUAGCGCCACCAUCUUGAUCAAUAUUGUCUGCAUUCAGAGUAGAGGCUAUCAUUGUCUGCAUUUUCAUCAAUAUUAUCUAUUCUAUCGGCCAGUUGAUCUACAUCUUCUUUCAGUUCAUUGGCGCGCCUCCAUCUUCAUAGAUCAUUUCUAUUCAUUAGCGUCUCCAUUUUGAUCAUCAUCCCAUUCAUUAACACCUCCAUCUUGAUCAGCAUUUUUGCUCAAUAGCGCUUCCAUUUUGAUCAUGAUCCCGUUCAUCUUCACCUCCAUCGUGAUCAUCAGGAGCCUGUCCAUUAGCUCCUCCAAAGAGAAAAUUAAGCAACGUUACAUCAUUCCAGUAAAUAAGCUUGUCCCUGCAGCAAAAUAUUUAUUUGGAUUAACACCUUACAAGUCAUGUGCACAUGUGUUUGUAAUUUUCCGUGUAAAAGUCUACUACCUUUUACUAGGGAUAGAUUUUCCAUUUUUCUUUUCCCCUAAGAAUAUUUUAAAUCACUUUACUUCUACUAAUUUUUAUAAAAAGUUACAUUUGUAAUUUACGGUGAAAAUUGGCUAGAAAGUUCUAGUCAGAUUUUUAUUUGAAACUUAACAAGCUGGAGAAGCCUAUAACUAAUUUUCUUACCUUUUACUCACACCUAUGACAAGUAAAAAGAAAAAACUGGAGAACCCUCUAACACCAAGUUUUCAUAGUGAUAACUCGUGAGAUUAAUUUUAGAAUGAGCUUAUCCCAUGUUUGGUUGGGAUAAAAUGUAUGGGAUAACUCAUCCCGGGAUUGUAGUGCUACUUUUAUCCCACCUUGAGGGUGGAAUAACUAAUCCCGGGAUAACUUGUUAUCUCGACCAAACAACCCUUGAAGUUCUCCGGUUCGAAUCCGGGUGAAGCCAUUCUGAACUAUGUUUUGGAGUUUUCCUUACGUGCCAAAUUGGAGUGCAACUUACUUAAGAAACCAGGAGCCUCUUGUUGAGACUUGCUGUGGUGAAAGGAAAACUCAAUCAGUACCCUCAGGACUACGUUAGGCGUUUAGGCAUUUUAGGCAGCGAUAUACUUUAGUACCCUCAAUCAGUAAUUGCUGUACAUACAGCAACACUACACGAGGCAACAACAAGCAUAUAAUCAUCCCAUUUGAGUUCAUUCUGACUAGCUUCUCCACUUCUGCAGUUUGAAAAAUGUCUGCAUUUACAAACAAAAUAGCGCCUUCUUUAUAUGGAUAAGUUAUCAAGGCCCCAAGGUGUCGCGGUACAGCUGGCUAUCACGUCAGUCUAACACAUAGAAAGCGACACUAUAUACUCUUUUACUAAUUAUUCUUUUGAUUUUUCCUAAUCGUUCUUCUCAAUAGAUGAAGUUUGAGGAUCAUUUCUAAGCCGAACAAGACAGAAGAAAUGGCUAAGAAACAGCAGUUGUACAAAUCUACAUUGCGAUAUCCUCUUGACAAAAGGAAUACAAACGUUUACAUCUGUUCAAGUUCACAGAUUUCAGAAGGUUACUUUUUAGCAAUAUAUUAAACAAUUGAACAGUAGAAAACAGAAACUCAAAUUUGUAUAAAAUAAGCAUUGAGCACUGACGAUUUAGUUGGAAUAUACUGGGUAGUCAAUACUAAAACAGCUUCCUGAAAGCCCCAUGAAUAAACACUCCUGUGUGGCUUUGAAAAUUUCAGUAAAUUACACUCUUACCAAACAGAUUUGGAGAUGUCAAAUGACGAUAUAGUUUUAAACAGACGCAGAAAGCAACAUGAAUAAACAAAAGUAGACUCUGCUAUCUGCUCAUAAAAGAAACAUCAUCAUUCCCCACAGUAGUCACUGCAUUUUUAAAGAAAACAAAACUAAAACUUAUAGCAGUUGCAGUGGACUUGCUUCAAAAUAUUAAAAGAUAAACCAAGCAGCAGACAGAGAACGGUGGUUCAGUGUAUGCAUGUAAAAGGUUCAGUGUCAAUUGCUAGGUUCCAACCUGAAGUAAUAAUACGUAUCCAAUCCCCAAAUCAAAAAGAGGAAAAAGAAUAUCACACAGUUAUGAAUUAGCAUUUUGUAAAGUAUGAACUAUGACUCCAUUCAGAAAAUGUGCAUCUUUCAGCAUUUUGAUCAGCAUGAAUAGGCUAUCAAUGACUGCAUUUUCAUCAAUAUUAUCUAUUCCAUCAGCAAGUUGAUCUACAUCGAUGUCCUCCUUCGCUUCCUUUGCGCGCCUCCAACUUCAUCUUGAUUAGCAUUUUGCUCAUUAGCGACCACAUCUUGUUCAUUAGGAACCUGUUCAUUAGCGUCUUCAUCUUGUUCAGCAUUUUGCUCAUUUGCACCUAAAUCUUGUUCCAUAGGAACCUGUUCAUUAGCGUCUUCAUCUUGAUCAGCAUUUUGCUCAUUAGCGCCUAAAUCUUGUUCCAUAGGAAUCUGUUCAUUAGCAUCUCCAUCUUGAUCAGCAUUUUGCUCAUUGGCGCCACCAUCUUGACCAGCAGGAGCCUGUUCAGUAGCGCCUCCAAUUCCAAGCAGAGAAUUAAACAAUGUUACACCUUUCCAGUCAAUAAGCUCGUUCCUGCCACAAAAUAUUCGAUUGAAUUAACACCUUACAAGACAUAUCGCAUAUGUGUGCAGACCCAAUUUGCAAGUUCUUAAUCAGAAACUUACAAAUCCAUGCUGAAAUGUCCUACUUUAAUAUUCUCUGUUGGUUCGGGGACUGCAAUCUGAGAAAUCAUACAUUCUUUAAUUUAAGAGAAAAAAAAAGAGCAACAAAAUCGUCUUGUUAUCAUGAAUAUCAAAUGAUCUUUAAUGUUAGUAUCUUACAAAUUUCGACCCGAUCAGCAUUUUACAUCCUGAACAGCGAACAUGGGCUAGGGUAUUCCGACCUAUUACUUUGCGAUUUCGCGCAUCCUCUGAAACGUCAACAUCAAUCCUGCAUAUAUGCCCCAGGAAAAAGCUUAGACAAAUAAUAAACAGCGCAAGAUUCUGAAAUUUCAUGAGAUUAUGAGACUUACAUUCUAGUAAAGAUCCCUGCAUCAGCUAAGUCUCUUUUCUGCAAAUUAAAGUGGACAAGACCAUAAAAAAUGAGCAUAAUAAGUUGUGAUGUAGUUAGUCAAGAAAUAUAAUAAUCAUACAUCAUAUCCUCUCUAUGAAAUCAGUAGCAAUUUGGUUAUCAAAGAAAAUAUCUGUAGCCCACAGAGACAUUUGGUGCGCUUACAAACAAAUUGAUACUAUAACAAAUUGCAAGAAAUGAUACAGAAAGAGUGAGAAUCCUUACGUUUAGAAAGUAAUACUUGACGAAUGAAACCGUAGCGUUGCAGCCACGACAAUGGAUGCGAUCUUCAGAAGGGAUUACCAUUGUAUCAACUUUGUGGAAUCAAGAAGCAACUAACUCCUAAUAGAUAUGUUUCACCUGUUACACAACAAAGUGGACGAGAAAUUUUAAAGAUGCAAGACUUUACUGUAUCGAGUUUAUCAAUGGAAAAAGAAGAGAGAGAGAGAGACCAACUUCGAAACAAGAAUAGAGCUCUGAAUUUACUGAGAGAAUUGAAGAAAGUAAAAACAAAUAAUGGGUGGGAAUGUUUCAAGUUAAUGGGACUGAGAAGAGAAUGUUUAUAUAGAAAAUUAAGUCAAUUCUUGAUUCUUGAAUUCAGAGGAGGGAUAUUGUAUCAACUUUGUGAAUCAAGGACCUGUUACGUUGCACAGUAAAUUUUCUUCAACAAAGUGGAAGAGAAAUAUCAAAAUUGAGAAUUCAAGAAAGUGCAAAAUGGAAAUGAGAAGAGAAUGUUAAUAUAUAGAAAAGUUGGUUCUUGAUUCUUGAAUCCAAGUUAUGUAUUUACCGUUGAAUUAAUUCAUAUAGGAGGGAAAUCUUGAAAUUAUUACAUUAAGAAGAUUGUUCAAUUUACCCUCCAAAUUAUAUAGUUUUAAAUUUCUGACAUUAGUGUAUUGACAUUUUACUUUUAAUCACAUAUACUGCAACCGACUUAAAAUUGUAUAGAGAACCGUUGCGUUUCCUUUUCCUUGCGAGUUACGAGAAAUAUAGUUGGAAAUAAUUUUAUUUCUAUUUCACUUUGGGAUAAUACCCACGAAAAUAUUUGAACUUUGAUCGAAUUUUCAGUUGAGCAUACUAAACUUUGCGGGGGUCCUAUNNNNNNNNNNNNNNNNNNNNNNNNNNNNNNNNNNNNNNNNNNNNNNNNNNNNNNNNNNNNNNNNNNNGAAUAUAUAUAUAUAUAUAUAUAUAUAUAUUUAUUUUGUGUCUUUAAAUUGUAAUAUUUAUUCAUUAAUUGCUAAUAAAAUGAUCCAAAAUUCAAUAUAAACUUAAAACCUAAAUUUUUCACUUUUCAUCUUAUAUUUUAGUUUCAAGAGAGUUUUUCGCUCCUCAAUUUUUCAUAAUUGUGAUUUUUUAUUAGCGCAUGGAUGAAAACAUACUUGAUCUAAACUUCAAUCACAAUAUAAUUGUCAAAAAUAAAUAUUAUAAAAAAAAUCUGAGAAAAACAGAAAAAAUCGAAAAAACCAAAAGAACCGACUAAAACCUAAACCGAAAAAAUCGAUUUUAUGUUGGUUUGAUUUGAUUUAUAGUUUUAAUAAACCGACAUAAUUGAUUUGUUUUUUUUCAAUAGAAAACCAAACCAAACCGACCUAUGUACACCCCUAUAUCCAACAAUGGUAUUGUUCUUCUCCAAAAUUAGCAGUAGCAGCAGACCAAAACAAUGGUGUUGUUCUUCUCCAAAACAACAUCAUUACAACCCAAACAUUGACAUCCAACAUCCCAAAACAACCAAAAACUCAGAAAGUUUCAAUCUUUACACUCCCCAAGUUCAAUUUAAUAGAAAAAAUAGCAAAAAUUUGCUUCAGAGAAUUCGAAUCACCAAUCUUGAAAGAAACUUUAAAAUGCAUCAUUUAAAAAAAAGAAUAAAAAAUUCAUAAUUUGAGAAAAUCAUCUUCACAGAUUUCUUGAGAAUUCGAAAUUUCAAUUACUAUCAAGAUUGAAGAAGACCCAUUUGGUGUGUGUAUUGAAAUUGAGUCAAAUUGAUGUAAUUGAAUUGGAUGUGUUAAAGAUAACUAAUUUGAUGCGUGUGUAUGUGAUGAAAUUGUGUUCAAUUCAAUUUGAAAUUGUGUUCAAUUCAAUUCCAAGUCAACCAUGGAACACCCAUGAAACACCAUUGAAGAGAAGAAAGACAUAAAAGAGAAGAAAAAACAGAGCAGAUAUAUAUGAAAAAUAAAUAAAAAAUCAUUUAAUUUAUAAAAAUUAGAAAAUUGAGGGUUGUUUUGACAAAACAGAAAGGUUUUUAAACGAUUUUUAACACUUUCAUACGUCCAAUGCGCGUGAAUUACACGCAAUGAUCCAAGGGGUCUGAUAUAUGUCAUUAAAAUAUAGAAAAAAAGUCUAGGGGGUAAUACAACCCAAGCAAAGUUCAGUAUGCUCAACUGAAAAUCCAGUAAAAGUUUAGGAGUUUUUGUGGGUAUUAUCCCUUUCACUUAAGAAAAAGAGCAAGUGUAUCUUAACAAAUGUUAUUGUUGUGUGAAUUUCGAUCUCAAAAACUUGGAAAGUUCGCUCAAUGAAAGAUUAAGUUUAUGGGUGGAAUUAGAGGGGAUAAAAUUAGUAGAGCCGUCAAUAUGGGGCCAAGGACCAAUGGGUCAGCCAGGCCCGACUUGUAAUUUGAUUGGGUGGGUUUCAAUUUUUGUAGCCCAUUUAAGAACAUAGCUUUUUAGCCUGGCCCGGAUAAGCCCAUGGCCCGUAGGGCUUGAGGAAUGUGGGUUGGGCUAGUCCGUAGGCCGGCCCGUCAGUCAAAUAAUAAAUAAUUUAUAAAUAAAAUAAAAUACUGAAAAAUAAUAAAAGAGUUAAAAAACAUUCAAAUUCAAUGAUGACCAUUGACCAAUUCCAUUAACAAAGAAAAUGGAAACUGGAUAAUUUCCUACUUUCCUAUCUAAUACAUAAUAAAAUAAUUACAUAUCUACCACUAAAACAUAAAGAGUACAUUGUACUCUUCACUUUCCUAAUUUUCUUAGUUCAGCUAGCCGCCGCCUCUUCACUGUAUCUCCCUCAACGCGUCAUCGGCUUUCAACCGUGAUGGUUCUGAUUGAGUAGUGUCACCUCUUCGUUUUCUUCCUACUUUGGGUGAUUCGAGCUCUGGCUCCCUUUUGAUUAACAAACAUUAAUAUUAUGUGUUAUUGUGUGAUAAAUAUUUAUGUUUAUUAACAGUGUAAAAUUAAAUUAUAAAAUAUUAUUUUUUAAGAAGUGGGCUGGCCCGUGAGGCCCGUAGCCCACAGGGUAAUAACGUGGGCUUGGUGUUUUUUGACCCGUCAUUUAAAUGGGCCAGCCCGACCUGACCCAUCAAACUCAAAGCCCGUAUAGGCUGGACCAACCCGUAUUGACAGCUCUAAAAAUUAGCCAAGAAAUAUAACACUCUCACUUCAUUCGAAAUGACCUGCUUCGUACUCCCUCCCUCCGUUCAUUUUUACUUAUCAUAUUUUUAAUUGACACAUUUAUUAAGAAAAAUAAUUAAUAGUAUAGUUAUUUUCUCAUAGUAUUUUUAUUAAAUGAUGUUUACAUUGUGUCUUGAAAAUAAUUUGAAGAAAAAACAAUUAAUACUAAAAGUAAAAUAGAAAAAAAGAAAUUAUUUUUUCUUAUUGACAAUCAAAAGGGAGCGGAGGGAGUAUUAGGUCGACGCAAUUAAAAAUUGGGCCGAUAUGUAGCGCCUUAUGAUGAAUCUUGUCAAAACAUUUUCAAAUAGUAAUAUUUUUUAAUUUAAUAUGUUAUAUACCGUCAUGAUUAAAACAAAUAAUUUUAUAAUGUACUAAAAAUUAUAAAAUAAAAAAAUAAAGCAAUUAAAAUACAAUAUGAAUUGAGCCUGAAUUUUCAUCAUUAAUUGAUGUGUUUGUAUUUAGAGCAAUAUUGCAUCAGCCAGUUGAUGUGCAUCUUCAUUUAGUUCAUUUUGCGCCUCCAUCAUUAAAUUCUUCAUCAAACAUUGAGUCAUUAUUUCAAUAAACAAGCUUGUUCAUGCCACAAGACCAAAAAAAAAAUUCAUGUUAGUACUUUAUAAAUCAUAAUAUCAUAUAGCAUAUGAGUAUGGAGGGGCUGCAAUCUGAACAACUGAAAAGAAAAAAAAAAAACAAUUAAAGCGAAGCUGCAGCAAAUGCUCUUGUUCAUCCUUAGCAACAUUCCACAUUUGAUGCAGUAAGUAUCAGCUAUGGUUUUGUCAUUUACUUGCUUAUGGUGUUUCUGCAUUAACGUAUAAUUUCUAUGCCAACUUGUAAGAAGUCAGGGUGGUAGUAGUACUUCCUUCAUUCUUGUCAAUUAGUACUGGUUCAUUUCCUAGGAUUGGUAAAGUAACGUCUAGCCCUCUUGCUUGUACUUAUCCUUUUUGACGAUAUUUUUGACAAUAGCAACUUGCUAACAGGACUACUUCUCUAAGAAUUAUUUAGUGAAAGUUUAGUCUGGAGCAAGAACAGGAUUUGUUUUAGCUCUUAAGCCUUUAGGCAGCUGUAAACUUCAGUAAAUUAUAGAGCAGUACACAGAACUCCAAACGCUGUAAAUAUGUUUCAUGUAGCCGAUUUUUAGAUGUCAAACUAAAUGAUACACGGAUAGCCUUUUUCUAAGGCCACCCUCCAGUACUAACGUUAGCCACGAGGCAGCAUAGAGAGAAGCCUUUCAGAAUCUCCGAAAUUAUUUGUGCAUCGCCAUAUUACAAGAUAACAAUAUAGUGGAUUGUGCUGUCUGCUCAUAAAUUAACUCGAGGGUGAUAACAAAAGCCAUCAGAUAUACAAUUUUCAAAUAUAUGUGUUAGAGAUUCAACUUUACCACACACUGGAACAUCAUUUUUCCCACAUUUUUAAGGAAAGAAAAAAGUUCACUAGCAUUUACUGUCAAGCAACAUCCAAGGAAGUAUAGUCAAAUGCUUAGAUAGUUGACUUGCUUUAGGAAAUUAAAAGAUAAACUAAGCAGCAAACAGAGAAAGGUAGUACCCGAGCUCAAAUAUGUGACAAGUUCAGUGUCAAUUGCUUUGUUCCAACUUGAAGUAAUAACAUGUACUGUAAUCCUAGAAUCAAAAGAGAAAAAUGAAUAUCACACAAUUAUGAAUUAGCAUUUUGUGAAGUAUGAACUCUAUUCAGAAACUGUGCAUCUUUCUGCAUUUUGAACAGCAUAAGUAGGCUAUCAUUGUCUACAUUUUUAUCAAUAUUAUCAAUUCCACCAGCCAGUUGAUCUACAUCUUCCUUCGUUUCGCUGGCACGCUUCCAUCUUGAUCAUGAUUCCGUUCAUUAGCAUCUGCAUCUUGGUCAGCAUUUUGCUCAUUAGCGCCUCCAUCUUGUUCAUUAGGAUCCUGUUCAUUAAUGCCUCCAACUUGAUCAUUAGGACCUCCAUCUUGUUCAUCAAGAACCUGUUCAUUAAGGCCCCCAUCUUGAUCGUUAGCGCCUCCAUCUUGUUCAUUAGGAACCUGUUCAUUAACACCCCCAUCUUGAUCACUAGCACCUCCAUCUUGAUCAGCAUCAGCGCCUACAACUUGAUCAGCAUUUUGCUCAUUAGGAUCCAGUUCGUUUGCACCUCCAACUUGAUCAUUAGCGCCCCCAUCUUGGACAGCGUUAUCAGGUACAACUUGAUCAGCAUUUUGCUCAUUAGGAGCCUGUGCAUUUGCACCUCCACUUUGAUUAUUAGCUCCUCCACCAUGCUCAGCAUUAGCAGGUACAACUUGAUCAGCAUUUUGCUCAUUAGGAGCCUGUGCAUUUGCACCUCCAUCAUGGUCAGCAUUCUCAGGCACAACUUGAUCAGCAUUUUGCUCAUUAGGAGCCUGUGCAUUUGCACCUCCAAAUUGAUUAUUAGCGCCUCCAUCGUCAGCAUUAGCAGGUACAACUUGAUCAGCAUCGUGCUCAUUAAGAGCCUGUGCAUUCGCACCUCCAACUUGAUUAUUAGCGCCUCCGUCUUGGUCAGCAUUAGCACCUCCAACUGGAUUAUUAGGAGCCUGUACGUUAGCACCUCCAACUUGAUUAUGAGGUGCCUGGGCAAUAAUGUCUCCAAAGAGAUAGUCACUCAACAUCACACGAUUCUGGAACAUAAGCCGGUCCCUGCCACAAAAUGCUCAUCUUAAUAACACCUUAGAAGUCAUACCGGGUGGGUAUAUGUAGUGUCUCAUUUUUUCAAGUUUAUAAUGAGAAACUUACAUUCUCACAGAGAAUCUUCCUAUCAAAUUCUGAGAUGGUUGGGUGUCUACAGUUUGAAGAAAUCACAAAUUCUGUACUUUAAGAAAAAAAGAACAAUAAAAUCGUCUUGUUCAUGAAAAUCAAAUGCUCUUUUCCACCCAAGCCAUUCGUUACACUGCAUACAGCAAGUAACUAAUCUGACUGAUUGGGUAUUUCCAUGUAGUUGAUCAAUCAUUGGUAGUAUUUUAACAUUUCUCCUGCAUAUAAUACACAGACCUCAGAAAAAGAUCUUAGGCAAAUAAUAAAAUCACAAGAUGCUGAAAUCACCCAAUUUUCGAAAUUGCAUGAGACUUACAUUCUAUUAAAGUGCCCUCCCCACACAAAGUCAUCCCGCUGGACAAGAAAACGAACAUAAUGAGUAGUUCUGUGCUUAAUCAAGAAAUAUAACAGAACACGAGUACAAAUAUCUGGGGAUUGAAUCCUCUUUAUGAAAUGAGUAGCGAUUUCAUCAAAAUAUACUUAUGAUUGCAUAGAAUUCAGUUCCUAAAUUGGGGUAUCAAAGAAAACAGUUUAGUGUGUUCAGAAGAAAUGAUGCAGAGAGAUGGAGUGAGAAUCCUUACAUCAGGAAUGAAAUCCUCGACAAAUGCAACUGGAUUAUUGCAAGAACUGCAAUAGAUGUAAUCACGACGAUCGAUACCUUGUGGAUCAACUGGAAAGUUUUCUUCCGUUCUAAUAUAUAUGUUCAACCUGUUAUAGAACAAAUUUUCUUCAACAAAGAACAAGGCGGAAUAGAAAUACCAAAAGAAUCAAUGGAGAAAAAAAAAAUAACUAACUUCGAAUCAGUUUAUGAAUAUAACUUGGAGCGGAGCUGGUAGAAAAAUGCACAACAGUAAGAAGAGAAUGUUAAUAUAGAAAAGCCACUUCUUGAUUCUUUAAUCCAAGCUCUGUAUUGACGGUUACUUCAAAAAGGAGGGAAAUUCAACUAUAUUUUAUUUUAUAUUUUUUCCCUUGACAAGAUUUUACGCUUUACCCUCCACAAUUCUGAAAUUAGUCAGAGUGAAAUUUACAUUUAAAAGAUUUUACAUGUAAAUCAAGUCUCAAUAGUUGAAACAAAAGUAACUUUUUUGCGAGGCAUAAAUUUAUAAAUUUGCAUCAUAAAAUUUCACAUGUUAUGUCUAGUGUCCUUAAAAGAACUUAUGUCCCACUAGGCAUAAGUUUGAUUGCUAAGGACAAAAAUUAAAUAUCAACCAUUUUGAAAGGCAAAGUUGCAAUUACAUAUUUUAGUGAAAAAACUUUCAUAGGAGAAUUAUUUAAAAUUAUAAUUUUAAAAUAUUUAUUGCUACACAAAGACUAUAACACAUUAAAAAAUAAUUUCAUUAAUGAUGCUUUUCGCUGUUAUUAUUAUUUUAUAUAGUUAUUUAUCAAGGUAGAAUGAGAAAAAGUAGUAAAUCUUUUUUAAUUUGCUAAAUAGACAAGUUAAAUGAAACAUCUAUUUUUGGUUUGGAGCCAAGUAAGACGGUAUUUCGUAAUAACGAACUAUGAAAGUUUCAAAUAGCCCAUAAUUUUCUUUUUUCGUAAAAGUUUAAAGGCAGAACCAUCAUUAGACACCUAACGUUAGCACGACUUUUCACUUAAGACACUUCAAGUAAACCUUGUACUUUUACUUAUAGAGUCCUACACAGAACUCAUAUAGCAGAUUUGUAGAUGUCAAACUAAAUGAUCGUAAAUCAACUCCAGGGUGAUCGUAAAAGCCAUCAGAUACACACUUUUCAAAUAUGUGUUGGAAUUUAACUUCACCACUGUGGGCGAUGCAAUUUUGAAUAUUUAAAUCCGUAUAAAAUUUGGAUUAUAUUAAAUUUAAAAUAUAUUAGUCCCAAAUAAAUAUUUUGGAUUAAUAUAAUUGGAUUAAUUAUUUAAGUCCAAACAUAUAUGGAUUUAAUUAAAGUCCAUUUUUUUAUUGGGCUAGCCCAUUGAUUUGGGCUACAAAUGAUGAGUCUACUUUGCUAAGCCCAAUAUAUUGUCAUAUUCUAUAGGCCCAAAUAAAUGUCACGUGUCAAAUGACGUGGCAUGCCAAGUCAAGUGAAGGAGCCAAUAGGACCAUUCCACAUGUCAAAAUAAUGCAGCAACCCAAUAAAAUCAAAGCCCAUAAAGGCGCCACAUCACUUGAAUUUGAUUGGUCAAAGAAAGUCCAUCUUCAUCAUCACUCUUCCUUUUCUACAACUAUAAAUAGGGGUCUCAUAAUUCAGAAAGAGGGACCCCAGAACUCUAACAAGUAGCGAGAGAAAGCUCGUGGAUCAAACGCCACAAUUUCUCUAAAAAGCUCAAGCAUUCAAAUCAAGUUCAUUAAGAUUCAAGAUUAAGACCGCAAUAUUCAAGAACAAGCUCAAAAACCCUUGAAUUCAAGCACAAGUCAAGAUCAAGCCCCUCAAAGCAUUCAAAUCAAGUUCAAAUUCAAGAUCAAGCUUUAAACUCUUGAAUUUAUAUUAGAAAAAGCGAAUCAGAGGAUUCAUAGAGAUUGUAAUAUCACAUAUUAAAAUUAAUAAAUUGAUUUUUACAAUAUAUUUUUCUUGUUUCGAAGUAUUGUUUUUCGAUCUCAAAAACUUUAUUGUCCAACAAAUUCUAGCACACCCAGUGGGACUAUCUCUACCUCUCAUCUCAAAUUUUUCAACUGCAAAGUUAAACAACAUUGAAAUGACUUCCAAGAAGGUUAAAUCUCAAUCAACUGUUUCCAAGGCUGCUGAUUCAAAGUUCUCUGCUGAAGUAGAAAGAAUCUUUGGCGUUACUUUCGAAAGCUUAGGAGUUGUGUAACGCCCCGCAUUUUGGGCUAGAAUAAAAACCAUGAUUUCGAUGCGUUGCUAAUUUUGAAGCCAUAAAAUCCUGUGCCAAUACGGCAUGUUAAUUAUUGUGUAGCAUGUGAAUCCGCUCAAGCUUGAAUUUAGACCAUAGAGGUCCUUCAACUCAAGGACGAGUUGAAACUAUUUCGAUCGACUAAGUUUUAGUAGACGUUGUAAAGUGUGUCAGCUUCCAUCGACCAUAACUCUCUAUGUAUGUUGAAUUAGGAAGCCUACUAUCUGUCAAUGAUAGGUAUUCGAGUUAGCUUUCCAACGAUACUAAUUUGGCUAAAAUUCAACACCCGAGCAAGAAGUUAUGGCCCUUCAAAGUGAUAAGCGAUGCCUAACCAAUCGCCCAUGGCCACUGAAAAGCAUAGGCGAUAGCCUAGGCGGCGCCUAUGUGAAGAUAGGCGAUGGGAUGGGCGGCGCCUAUGUAAGGAAUUCUGGUGAAUUAAACACUCCGUGUUAAGGACAAAGUGGUCCUUUUCCACCCUUACUUAGCCCUAAAAAACUAGAUUUAGUUCCAAAGACCACAAAAUACUUAUUCUUUCAUCAAAAGUGCUCAAGAUUCUCCUUAGGGUUUCAACAUAAAAACCCAAAUAGUUCAAGAUUUGACCGUAGGUUUUCAAAGAUAAUUACAUAUUUGGAAUCACCAAUCCGCAAGCUUCAAGAAACAUCUAUUAUCCUUGGAAAUAGANNNNNNNNNNNNNNNNNNNNNNNNNNNNNNNNNNNNNNNNNNNNNNNNNNNNNNNNNNNNNNNNNNNNNNNNNNNNNNNNNNNNNNNNNNNNNNNNNNNNNNNNNNNNNNNNNNNNNNNNNNNNNNNNNNNNNNNNNNNNNNNNNNNNNNNNNNNNNNNNNNNNNNNNNNNNNNNNNNNNNNNNNNNNNNNNNNNNNNNNNNNNNNNNNNNNNNNNNNNNNNNNNNNNNNNNNNNNNNNNNNNNNNNNNNNNNNNNNNNNNNNNNNNNNNNNNNNNNNNNNNNNNNNNNNNNNNNNNNNNNNNNNNNNNNNNNNNNNNNNNNNNNNNNNNNNNNNNNNNNNNNNNNNNNNNNNNNNNNNNNNNNNNNNNNNNNNNNNNNNNNNNNNNNNNNNNNNNNNNNNNNNNNNNNNNNNNNNNNNNNNNNNNNNNNNNNNNNNNNNNNNNNNNNNNNNNNNNNNNNNNNNNNNNNNNNNNNNNNNNNNNNNNNNNNNNNNNNNNNNNNNNNNNNNNNNNNNNNNNNNNNNNNNNNNNNNNNNNNNNNNNNNNNNNNNNNNNNNNNNNNNNNNNNNNNNNNNNNNNNNNNNNNNNNNNNNNNNNNNNNNNNNNNNNNNNNNNNNNNNNNNNNNNNNNNNNNNNNNNNNNNNNNNNNNNNNNNNNNNNNNNNNNNNNNNNNNNNNNNNNNNNNNNNNNNNNNNNNNNNNNNNNNNNNNNNNNNNNNNNNNNNNNNNNNNNNNNNNNNNNNNNNNNNNNNNNNNNNNNNNNNNNNNNNNNNNNNNNNNNNNNNNNNNNNNNNNNNNNNNNNNNNNNNNNNNNNNNNNNNNNNNNNNNNNNNNNNNNNNNNNNNNNNNNNNNNNNNNNNNNNNNNNNNNNNNNNNNNNNNNNNNNNNNNNNNNNNNNNNNNNNNNNNNNNNNNNNNNNNNNNNNNNNNNNNNNNNNNNNNNNNNNNNNNNNNNNNNNNNNNNNNNNNNNNNNNNNNNNNNNNNNNNNNNNNNNNNNNNNNNNNNNNNNNNNNUGGUGUAAAUUAUGUAGGGUAUUCCACCUAGCUCAGUUGCAUUUCAUUAUUGUUGAGAAAAACUAUUGCAUUACACUCAUGUGUUUUCAAAUGACUUGAUAUGAAAUUUCUUUAUAAUGGCUCUCAACUAUAUUUUGUAAAAAUAUUAUGUUUUGCUUUGAUAUCUCUGCGUACCAGUACUUUUGUGCUGACCCCCUCCCCUCUCCAACCUCCCAGGUUAAGAGGCCCAGUCUAGGGGUCAAGAGAAUCAGUAGAUCAUUCACACAGAGUUGUAGAGACAAGUGGUGAGCCUUCUAUGUUUCGGAAGGUCUUAUGUCCUGCAGUCCUUUUAUCUUAUAUUAGUUUUGGGUCUGCUGGGGGCCCUGUCCCAGUUUUCAGAUAGACAUUGUUUCAGUCAUGUAGUAGAGAUUUUGCAGACGGUUUUAGAGAUGUUGAUUUAGAUUGUGGGACACUAUUCCCCAUUUUCAUUUUCAUAUGAUUCUUGACCAUGUUUCCGUUAUAUUGUGUUUCUUUCGCAUUACUUUGAUCAUAUGAAUUAUGUGCAUGAUUAUCAGACAGAUAGGGGUGUUUUGGGCCUCCAUGGUUUGAAAUACUCAUCACGGCCAGGCCCUAGUUCGAGUCGUGACAAGCUAGCACGAGGAGAAAGACAAGUUUUCUAGGACAACAAAUACUUCUAGUGUCGUCCACGCCAACUCCAGUUUUUGGAUCUUCAACCCCAAAAGGAACGAAGUCCAAUGCAAGUGCUUCAAGGAGGAAGCAGUGUGGCAGAAUCGCUUAAUAAGACUUUAGAUCUACUUGAGCAUUCUGGUUCUAAAUACUCUGGCGCAAAGAGUGAUGUUCGUUCAAGCAACUCAUCAUCUCUGACCACACCGCAUAAGUUGCGCACUUCAAAGAUCAACUUGUGCAAUAAUCCAUGCUACUCUUCAACAUCUUCAGUGAUUACGCUAGCGAUGGUGACUGAUGCCUCGUGUAUGGAGGAACAACUUGUGAAUCUGACAAAGGCAAUUGAGAGCCUGACCAAAUAUAUUCAGAAUCAAGAUGCUCGAAUUGAUAAGAUAGUGGAUAGGGUGAAAUAUCUGAUAGACAAAGAAUCUAGUCAUGCACCUGGAAAAUCUCCAGAGAUUUAUGAGAUAGAAAAUCUUGUGAAACAAACACCACCGACUAAAGAGGUGUAAGUUUCUUCUGAGGAAAUGAUCCUGAUUGGGCAAUUGAGGGAAUUCAUUGAAGGGACCCUCAAAGACAAGUAUGAUGUUGUCACAAAAUCUUUCCUUGUGUAUGUCAAGCCCUACACUGCGAGGAUAAAUAGCCUCAAAAUGUCUGCCGGUUAUCAACCCCCCAAAUUUCAACAAUUUGAAGGCAAAGGGAACCCAAAACAGCAUGUCACACACUUUUGUUGAGACAUGUAACAACGUUGGAAAUUACAGUGACUAUCUUGUCAAAUAGUUUGUUCGUUCCUUAAAGGGAAACACCUUUAAUUGGAAUACGAACCUUGAGCCUAAUUUCAUCGAUAGCUAGGAGCAAUUGGAGCGCGAGUUUCUAAAUCGUUUUUAUAGCACAAGGUGUAUAGUGAUCAUGGUAGAGCUCACAAAUAAUCUCCAAAGAAAGGAUGAACCAGUUAUUGACUUCAUCAAUCGAUGGAUAAAUGCUAGCCUAAACUGCAAAGAUAGGUUCAGUGAAGCUUCUGCAAUAGAGAUGUGUGUCCAAGGAAUGCACUGGGAGCUUCUCUACAUCUUGCAAGACAUUAAGCCUAAAUCCUUUGAAAAGCUAGCUAUCCGUGCUCACGAUAUGAAGUUGAGCAUGUCUUCUGCUGGAAAGGAGGCAGUGCCUAUCCAUGACCCUCGAAGGGGAAAGGAUAAGCAGGAACCCAAAAUAUGGGCCAAGUUUGUCCCCAAAAAUAAAAACAAAGAGUCCAUGAAUGUUGAUGUGUCUCCUAUGAAGGUCACCAUAAAGGUGAGCAAGAAUCAAAGUAUGAAGAAGACUUCUGAAGCACGUCCGAAUCAGAAAACUUUAAAAGAGAUACAAGAAAAGGAAUAUCCCUUCCUUGAUUCUGAUGUUACUGAGAUUUUUGAUGAACUCCUUGAGCAUAAGCUCAUUGAUCUCCCAGAGAUGAAGCAUCCUAAUGAAGCUGGAAGGAGCAAUGGCCCUAAUUAUUGAAAUAUCAUAGGCUCAUAAGUCACCCUCUGAAAAAAUGCUUUGUCUUUAAAGAUAAAGUCAUGCAACUGGCAAAAGAGAAGAAGAUCUUCUUCGACGAUGAGACAGCCAGUUCUCAUUAAAUCUUCAUCACAUUUGGAUCGCUCAAUCCAGUCCAAAUAUGUGUUAAAGAGCAUAAUGAGAAAAUAUUAGAGUCUGAUAGGUCUUCAGUUAACGAAAACGAUGAUGAAGGUUGGACUCUGGUAACCAGGCAUAGACGCAAGAGGAUGAGUCUACAAACGGAGUUAUCCGAGCAUCCAAACAGAAGGACAAUGGUAAAGAAACCAAGGAACAAAAGUUGGUUGAAUUCCCAAAGAAGACGAGGGUGAUGGAGCUCUACCCCGAAAAACCUUAGUGUCCGGUGACUUUAGAGGAAUUGUUACUGAGUUGUUUUCGUGUAAAGAUUGCCCAAGUCAACCUUGAGGCGUCUUGUUUUAAUAUCGCCAAAGAGGGGGCAAAUGGUGAGAAUCUACCCAUGGUAGUUGUUUCAUCUUCCGAAAAGCUUGCUGAAACUCUUGGCGAAGAUGCACAUGUAUGUGAUACAAAAAUCACAUUCACAAAUAACGAUUUUCUGCUUGGUGAGGCCCUACAUAACCGUCCCUUAUACAUGGUGGGUCAAAUUCUAGGAAAGAAGAUCAAUAGAAUCUUGAUAGAUAAGGGAUAUGGAAUCAACAUCCUGCCUAUCCGCACGAUGAAGAAACAUAGCAUCGUUACUAGCGAACUGGAUGAAAGCCGUAUAAUGAUCCAAGGCUUCAACUAAAGGGGCCAGAAGGCUAUGGGUUGUAUUAAGUUGGGGAUUCAUAUGGAUGAUUUUCAAUCCAUUGAUGCAUGUGAUCGAUGCCAAAACUUCAUAUAAUAUAUUGCUUGGUAGGCCUUGGGUGCACGGGAACAAAAUUAUCUCGUCCUCUAACUAUCAAUGCUUGAAGUACCUCAAAGAUGGAAAGGAAAGAAAGAUAGUUGCCGAUGACAAGCCUUUCACUGAAGCUGAGUCAUAUUUUGUUGAUGCAAAAUUCUACUCAAAGAAUUAUGUUGUGGAUGAGAAGAGGGUUGAAGAUGUCACCAAGACCAAGUGUGACGAUCUUGCUUCUAAGAAGGCCGCGGUGACUUUAAAAAAAAGUCACCACCAAGAAGAAUCUCUCCACUUCAAAUAAAGAAAGUGUCGCUUCUAUGAAAAUAAAGGCAACUCCCGUUCUUCACUACGUACCAAAAGUAAAGAAAAAGAAAUAUCACUCAUCGGAUUUCCAAGAUAAUAUACUAAAGGGGCUAACUUUACCUAUCAGGAAGAUUGAUGCAAUAAGUCCAUCCUUAAGACUUCUUGAAGAGUCUGUGGCUCAAAAUAUCCCAUAAGAUAUGACACUCCCUACGAAGUGUACGAAAGAAUGCUUUGACCCAAAUGCAUAUAAGCUAUUUGUAAAGUAUGGAUAUAAUCCUAAUGAGACAUCAAGAUUAGGAAAACUUCCGUCAGAGGGUACAACCAGGCAGGCACGUGAAGGCCUAGGAUACACGCAGCCACCUCCAAUUUGCAUCUCCAUAAGAAGGGCAGACAGUAAUUACAUCAUCGUGGAAGAAAAAUACACUGUUGCUAAUAAAAGACCCUCUAUAUUUGACCGACUUAGAGGGUCAAAUGCAAGAACUUAUGUGUUUGAAAGGUUGGGACCUCUAAAUAAGAAGAAAAGCAACAAGCAUAAGAAGAGUCGUCAAAGCACGAUGAUGCACUCUUCACUUAAAAUACAGAAGGAUUUCCAAAGUUUGAUUUCUUCUAGAAUGAAGUGACAGACAGAAAUGGUAGUUUCAUACAACAAGGUGCUAAAAGCAAAGGCAGAUACUAUGGUUUAUACCAAGCAACACAAAGAAGAUUAAGAGAGUGUUGGCUCCUCAUAUUAUGUUACGAACCAGAACAAGAAAGAUGUCUCAUCUCAAAUAAAGGUUGAUGAAGAGAUAGAAGAUGCCUUUUGGUGUUGUCAUAUAUCUGUCAACAACUAUGAUCUUCAAGAGGAGAAAGAUGUUGGGGAUGUUCCAUCAUAACUUAAAGAAGGAGUAAAGGCCACAAUAGAUCCCUUGAAGGAAGUUAAUCUUAGAAUAGAUGAAAACCCAAGACCAACUUACCUGAGUGCGUUUUUAGAAGUGGAAGAGAAAAUCGCUUAUAUGGACACACUCAAAUAAUAUAUGGAUGUCUUCUCCUAGAGCUAUAAGGAAAUGCCUGGCUUAGAUCCAAAAGUAGCGGUCCAUCAGUUGGCGGUCAAGAAUGGUGCCCGUCCUGUUAAGCAAGCCCAAAGACAUUUUAGGCUGGACUUGGUUUCUUUGAUUGAAAAUAAAGUUAACAAACUCAUUGAAGGGAGAUUUAUUUGCGAAGUCAAAUAUCCCAUAUCGAUUUCAAGUAUUGUUUCAGUAUGGAAAAAGAAUGACCAAAUUCGAGUUUGCGUUGACUUUUGGGCUGCCCUAAGGAUGACUUUCCAAUUCCUAUACCAGAGUUGAUGAUUAAUUCCACCACUGGUUAUGAGGCAAUGUCCUUCAUGGAUGGUUCAUCCGGCUACAAUCAAAUUCGUAUGGUGCCAAAAGAUGAAGAACUCACUGUAUUUUGUAUGCCCAAAGGUAUUUAUUGCUACAAGGUGAUGCCUUUUGGUUUGAAGAACGCUGGUAAUACUUAUCAAAGGGAUAUACAGAACAUCUUUAAUGGCCUGCUCCAUAAAAAUGUUGAAUGCUACAUCGAUGAUCUAGUGGUGAAGUCAAGAAAGAGAGACGACCACUUAAAAGACCUAAGAAUGGUAUUCGAGUUACUUCGAAGAUAUUAACUUAGGAUGAAUCCAUUAAAGUGUGCCUUUGGAGUUACUUCUGGAAAGUUUCUUGGCUUUAUUGUGUGACACCGAGGAAUUGAAAUUGAUCAAGACAAGGUCGAUGCUCAAAAUAUUCAUGAGUUAAAAAGCCUCCAAGGAAGGCUAGCAUAUUUAAGGAGGUUCAUCUCAAACCUGACCAGAAAAUGUCAACCAUUUAGUCAUCUCAUGAAGAAAGACACUCCCUUCGAAUGGGACCAAGCUUGUAGUAAUUCCUUUGAUAGUAUCAAAUCAUAUUUAAUGAAGCCACUAGUUCUUGCGGAAUCCAUACCUAGGAAACCAUUGAUACUUUACAUCGCAGCACAAGAGAGGUCAGUUAGAGCACUACUGGCUCAAGAAAAUAGUGAUGGCAAAGAAAACUCUCUUUACUAUUUGAGUAGAAUGAUGACGCCGAAUGAGCUAAAGUAUUCUCCAAUUGAAAAGUUAUGUUUGGCAUUAGCCUUCUCGAUUCAAAAGAUGAAGCACUACUUUCAGGCUUAUGUUGUUCGUCUUAUGUCUAGGGCAAAUCCCAUAAAGUUUAUAAUGUCAAAAUCAGUCCUUAGUGACCGACUUACAAGAUGUACCUUCAAUUUCAAUAGUUUGAGGUUGUGUACGUUCCCCAAAAGGCUGUAAAGGGACAAGCAUUGGAUGAUUUUUUGGCAGAUCACCCGAUACCUGAUGAUUAGGAAUUGAGUGAUGAACUUCCUGAUGAAGAUGCAAUGGUUAUUGAAGCUAAACCCUCAUGGAAGUUGUACUUUGAUGGUGCCACACAUCGAUAUGGAGAUGGUGCCGGUGUGGUGUUUGUCACUCCACAAGAAGAGGUCAUCCCAUACUCUUUUACCCUUACAAACCAUUUCUCUAAUAAUGUUGUUGAAUAUCAAGCUUUAAUACCUGGACUUGAGAUGACAAUUGACAUAAAACAACUGCAAUUACAAGUCUUUGGUGACUUCCAAUUGGUGAUCAAGCAGCUUUUGGGAAGCUAUAAAGUCAGAAAGCCUGAGCUACGACCAUAUCAUGACUAUGCACAGAAGUUGAUGGGGUGGCUUGGAGAAGUAAUCCUCCAACAUGUACCAAGGAGAGAAAAUAGGCAAGUUGUGCCCUAGCUGCUUUGGCCUCAACCCUGACUCUUCCAAAUCAGACUCAAGUCACUAUACGACAAGAAUGGGUAGUACCGCCAACAACUGAAGAUGAAGAAAAUAAAGUUGAAUACCUUGUUGCCAUAUCUGAAGUUGAAAAAGAAGAUUGGCGACAACUUAUCAUUGAUUACUUAUGUUAUGGGAUACUUCCAGAGGACCCAAAAAGAAGGACAUACAUUCGUCAUCGUGUACCUUACUUACUUUACUAUAAGGACACACUGUACAGAAGAUUAUUUGAAAGAAUACUCUUAUGGUGUCUGGGAGAGAGAAAAUCAAUUCAAGCUUUGCAAGAAGCACACUCGGGAGUGUGUGGAUUAUAUCAAUCUGGACUAAAGCUUCAUUUUCACAUUGAAAGGAUAGGAUACUAUUGGCCAACGAUGGUGAAAGAUUGCUUGGACUAUGCUAGAAGAUGCAAAGCUUUUCAAUUCCAUGCGAAUUACAUUCAUCAACCUGCUGAAGUACUACACCCAACUGUAGCAUCUUGGCCGUUCAAUGCUUGGGGAAUGGAUGUUGUUGGUCCACUACCAAAAUCUUCUGGUGGACACUUAUACAUCUUGGCCGCGACAGAUUACUUCUCAAAGUGGGUCGAAGUUGUUGCUCUUAAAGAAGUAAAGAAAGAAAAUGUUGCAAACUUUAUUCGAGUGAAUAUCAUCUGCCGCUUUGGAAUUUCUCAAUAUAUAAUAGCUAACAAUGGCAAGCCGUUUGAUAACAAACUGAUGAAUAAAAUUUGUGAUCUCUUUGGCUUCAAGCAGCGCAAGUCUUCUAUGUACCAUGCGCCGCCGCCAAUGGUCUAGCUGAAGCCUUCAAUAAAACUUUAUGCAGCUUGUUGAAGAAAGUUGUCUCCAAAUACAAACGAGACUAGCAUGAGCGAAUGAAAGAAGCUUUAUGGGUGUAUAGGAUAACUUAUUAUACGCCAACGCAAGCAACCCCAUACUCGCUUGUUUUUUAAGUCGAAGCAGUCCUGCCACUUGAGCGUCAAAUACCUUCUUUGAGAUUGGCUAUUCAAGAAGGGUUCACUGAUGAAGAAAAUUCUAAGUUGCAUCUUGCGGAAUUAGAAGCUCUUGAUGAGAAGAGGCUGGAGGCUCAACAAAAUCUUGAAUGUUAUCAAGCCCGGUUAUCUCGUUAUUUCAACAGAAGGGUUCGCUUAAGGUGAUUCCAAGUUGGAGAUCAAGUUCUUGCAGUAAGAAGGCUCAUUAUCACUUCUCAUAAGUCUAGGGGAAAAUUCACCCUAAAGUGGGAUGGACCAUAUGUAACGCCCCGCAUUUUGGGCUAGAAUAAAAACCAUGAUUUUGAUGCGUUGCUAAUCCCGAAGCCAUAAAAUCCUAUGCCAAUAUGGCAUGUUAAUUAUUGUAUAGCAUGUGAAUCCGCUCAAGCUUGAAUUUAAACCAUAGAGGUCCUUCAACUCAAGGACGAGUUGAAACUAUUUUGAUCGACUAAGUUUUAGUAGACGUUGUAAAGUGUGUCAACUUCCAUCGACCAUAACUCUCUGUGUAUAUUGAAUUAGAAAGCCUACUAUGUGUCAAAUAAUAGGUAUUCAAGUUAGCUUUCCAACGAUAUAAAUUUGGCUAAAAUCCAACACCCGAGCAAGAAGUUAUGGCCCUUCAAAGUGAUAAGUGACGCCUAACCAAUCGCCCAUGGCCACUGGAAAGCAUAGGCGAUAGCCUAGGCAGCGCCUAUGUGAACAUAGGCGAUAGCCUAGGUGGUGCCUAUGUAAACAUAGGCGAUAGCCUAGGCGGCGCCUAUGUGAAGAUAGGCGAUGGGACAAAGUGGUCCUUUUCCACCCUUACUUAGCCCUAAAACAUGAGAUUUAGUUCCAAGGACCCCAAAAUACAUAUUCUUUCAUCAAAAGUGCUCAAGAUUCUUCUUAGGAUUUCAAAAAUGAAAACCCAAAUAGUUCAAGACUUGACCGUAGGUUUUCAAAGAUAAUUACAUAUUUGGAAUCACCAAUCCGCAAGCUUCAAGAAACAUUUAUUAUCCUUGGAAAUAGAAGUACGUGGGGCUAUCCAAAAAAAUCUCAUGGGUGUAGUUGUUCACCACUUGUACAUGAUGAAGCACCUUGGUUUUUACCUGAUUAUGCAUAUGUGGAUGUGAUAUUGAUAACUUGCAAGUUGGGUAUGACGAUACCCUACAGAAAACGAUAUGCGAUUGAAUAAGAUGAAAUUUGAAUGCAUUGCUUUUACAUUUGAAAGGUGGAUGCCCGAAGAAGGCGUUUGAGACACAAGUGGCUCGUCGCUAAAAGAACGUGUUUGCCGACAUGGAAUAUCGGUACUAUGCUUUGUGGUCUUGCGUACCUGAUAUUAUAUUAUCCCAAAUUGGAAUUAUGGUUAGGAGUCAUGCUUUGUGGUCUUGUGCACUACCAUAUUUGAUUUGGGUCGAAACACCAUGCUUUGUGAUCUUGUGUGUGUCUCCCUCACUUAUACUCUAAUCUCGGCGGCAACCGAGGUUUGACAGUUGGUGUAAAUUAUGUGGGGUAUUCCACCUAGCUCAGUUGCAUUUCAUUAUUGUUGAGAAAAACUAUUGCAUUACACCCAUGUGUUUUCAAAUGAAAAUAUCAUGUUUUGUUUUGAUAUCUCUGCGUGCCAGUACUUUUGUGCUGACCCCCUCUCCUCUCCAACCUCUUAGGUUCAGAGGCCCAGUCUAGGGGUCAAGAGAAUCAGUAGAUCUUUCAAAUAGAGUUGCAGAGACAAGUGGUGAGCCUUCUAUGUUUCGGAAGGUCUUAUGUCCUGCAGUCCUUUUAUCUUAUAUUCAGUUUUGGGGGUCUGCUGGGGGCCUUGUUCCAAUUUUCAGAUAGACAUUAUUUCAGUCAUAAAGUAGAGAUUUCGUAGACGAUUUUAGAGAUGUUGAUUUAGAUUGUGGGACACUAUUCCCCAUUGUCGUUUUCAUAUGAUUCGUGACCAUGUUUCUGUUAUAUUGUGUUUCUUCCGCAUUACUUUGAUCAUAUGAAUUAUAUGCAUGAUUAUCAGACAGAUAGGGGUGUUUUGGGCCUCCAUAGUUUGAAAUGCUCGUCACGGCUAGGCCCUGGUUCGGGUCAUGAGACCAUAUGUUGUAUAAGAGGCAUAUUCAAAUGGUGUUUACUAGCUUGUCGAUGCAGAUGGUGUGAGGGUUGGCCCCAUCAAUGACAAGUUCUUGAAGAAGUACUAUCCUUGAAGGAAGAUGACACUCCUUAAGGCACGAGUAUAAACUGCAUGUACACUCCUUAAGGCACGAGUAUAAAUUGCAUGUCCACUCUUGGCCCGCAAGAGUAUAAACUGUGUACGGCUAAAAAAAAAUAAAAGUCCGCUAGGUUGAAAACCUCGGAAGAGACGACCUAGGCAAAAGUUCGGAAACAAAAAAAACACUCACCCAGAACUACUUUGUGACUUGAUCCUUCAUUGAGGUACGUAGGGGCUUAGAAUUUCAUUCUUAGUUCAGUUGCAUGAGUUUCAAAAAAAAAUAUGUUCCUGCAGUAUCUACUAUAUGGAUACCAAGUAUGAAAAUAUUCUAAUUAAAUUUUGGACUCACUCCACGUAUUAGUGGCUCAAUAGGGGAAAACUCCAAUGAAAUAUGAGCUUCAUUCACAUAAGAUGAAGUCUCCNNNNNNNNNNNNNNNNNNNNNNNNNNNNNNNNNUUGAGAGUGAAAUUUUGACAAAAUUUCCAAGUCUUCAAAUCAAGGCCUCUCGCGGGUUUAUCCUUAAAAUGACCUAAAAAUUUCCAUGCCUUAAGGUGAACAAAAUUUGUCCCUUUGCACCUUAAAUUGGCCUCUCACGGGUUUAUCCUUAAAAGGAUCUCAAAAUUUCUAUGCCUUAAGGUGGACAAAAUUUAUCCCUUUUCACCUUAAGUUGGCCUAUCAAGGGUUUAUCCUUAAAAGGAUAUCAAAAUUUCUAUGCCUUAAGGUGGACAAGAUUUGUCUCUUUGUGCCUUAAACUGGCUUCUAACGAGUUUAUCCUUAAAGUAUAUUGAAAUUUCCAUGCCUUAAGGUGGACAAGAUUUGUCCCUUUGCACCUUAAGUUUAUCCUUAAAAGGGCCCAUAUUUAAAGAAGACCGUUGCAUAAGUGCAUCGAUGAAAGGGCCCAUACUUAGAGAAGACCAUUGCAUAAAUGCAUUAGUAAAGGGCUCAUACUUAAAGAAGACAAUUGCAUAAGUGCAUCGAUGAAAGGGCCCAUACUUAGAGAAGACCAUUGCAUAAAUGCAUUAGUAAAGGGUCCAUACUUAAAGAAGACAAUUGCAUAAGUGCAUCGAUGAAAGGGCCCAUACUUAAAGAAAAUCAUUCUGUCUUCAAGCAAAGUUUUUCGGCCUUAAGGUGACGGAAGCGAAGUUAAACUCUCGCACCUUAAUCCGGUUUUCAAUGUCUUCAAGCAAAGUCUUUCGGUCUUAAGGUGACGGAGAAGAAGUUAAAAUCUCGCACCUUAAGCCGGCCAAUUAUUGCAGUCUUUCGAUCUUAAGGUGAUAGAGGCGAAGUUAAGCUCUCGCCACCUUAAGCUGGCCAAUUAUCACAUAAGUCUUUCGGUAUUAAGGUGACAGAGGCGAAGUUAAACUCUCGUCACCUUAAUCCGUCUAAUUAUUGCAUAAGUCUUUCGGUCUUAAGGUGACAGAGGCGAAGUUAAACUCUCGCCACCUUAAGUCGGCCAAUUGUUGCAUAUUGCUAUUUGGUUCAACCCUGCAAAAAAAAAAAGGAAAAACAAGAAAGAAAGUAAAAAAACACAAACAGAAAGGAUGUUACCUGUUAGAGCAUUGCGAUCUUAAAAGUUGUAUAUCACCAACUUGGAUUGAGAUAAGAUGCCUUGAUGAGAAUAAAGCCCUCAAAAUUGAGUUUGAAGCAAUUAAAACUCCCUUUGAUGGUGAUGGUCCCACAUCAAGAUAUAAAUUAUUUGGUGAGGUGAUGCAAAUCUGUAAUCCUCUGUCGGACAGCAUAUAAAGAUCGACUUCAAAAAGUCAUCUAGAACAAUCCAAAAAGUGUUAAAAUCCAAAAUUUGGAUAUAUUAUACAUGCAUGUUUUCGGGAUUAAGCGGAUCAUAAUUUCAAUACUCUCACAUUGAGAUAUAAUUUUUUUUUGGUGAUGUUGCAUAAAUCUGAAUUGUUGAUGCAUCAAAACUCGAUGUUGAUUUCGGGAUAACACCUGAAAAUAUCUCGAUUUUAUUAAAUUACAAAUUUUGGAUAUGUUAUAUAUCUUUGUUUCUAGUUUCACAAGAAUCAAGCGGCUUGUGAUUUCAUCCUUCCUACUUCAAGAUAUGAAAGUUUUAGUAAAGACGCGUAAAUCUGAAAUUUUCAGCAUGAUAAAAUUCUGGGCUAACUUCAAAAUAUUAUCGAAAAUUAUAUUGAAGGAAUUUAAAGCUGAAUUUUUGAUAUGUUAUAGAUCUCGAAGUCUAGUUUCUGGAAUAUCAAAUAGUUUAUGAUUUCAAUAUUCCUACAAUUAGAUAUAAAUUUUUUUACCACAAAUAUGCUGUGCUGAAAAAAAGUGACGAAAAUAAGAGAAAAGUAGGAGGGAAAGAAAUUCCCUCAAUAUUGUUUAUGGCUUGAAAAUCCUAAAAUCGAUAUUGAGAAAGUGGGGAAACUACCUCCUUUUAUAGAGUUGUAGGAUGGAUGUUUCCUUCUCCAAUAUAAGUUCAGAUUGGAAUAAUUUCUAUCUCCAAAUUCAAAUUGGAGAUUGUUUUCUUCUCCCAUACAAAUUCAAAUUGAAAAUCGCUUCCUUCUGCCAUUCAAAAUUAAAUUGGAGGUUAUUUUCUUCUCCCAUACAAAUUCAAAUUAGAGGUUGAUUUUCUUCUCUCAUACAAAAUUCAAAUUGGAGGUUGUUUUCUUCUCCCAUACAAAUUCAAAUUGGAGGUUCUUUAUUUCUCCAAUCUAAGUUCAAAUUGGAAGAGUUUUAUUCCUGAUUAAGUAAGGUGAUGAAAAAGUCUUCCAAAAUCUGUUUGAAAUUGGAUAUCAUGCCUUACUAACGGGGUCUUAAGUAUAGAGAUUCGUGAAAAAAAAUAAGAGAGUUUUGAGAGGCAAUAUCAAUAUGGUUCGGCUUUAAUUUUUUUGAAUGGGGUAUUCAUACGUAUCAAAAUCGCUGAAGCACGAAGAAAACAUGUUUAAAUAAUCAUACUUCAAGGCUAGUCUCCAAAAUAUUAAAUGUCUCGACAAGUCUUGAAGUAGGGGCCAUUUGUGGCGUUUGUGGGUGAUGCAAUUUUGAAGAUUUAAAUCCAUACAAAAUUCGGAUUAUAUUAAAUUCAAAAUAUAUUAGUCCCAAAUAAAUAUUUCGGAUUAAUAUAAUUGGAUUAAUUAUUUAAGUCCAAACAUAUGGAUUUAAUUAAAGUCCAUUUUUUUUAUUGGGUUAGCCCAUUGAUUUGGGCUACAAAUGAUGAGCCCACUUUGCUAAGCGCAAGAUAUUUUCAUAUUCUACAGGCCCAAAUAAAUGUCACGUGUCAAAUGACGUGGCAUGCCAAGUCAAGUGAAGGAGUGUAACACCGCGUAUUUUUGGGCUAGAAUUUAGACCAUCGUUCCUACGUAUAUAGAUUCGAACUGAAUUAUUCUUUAUUAACAUACGUGUGGUAAACACUCCUAUCGUAAUGCCCCAUAAAAUUCUCGAGUCGAUUUCAUUUUUAGUGUUAUGUUUGAGGGGCUAACAACUAGAAUAUUUUUCUUAGUGUAACGAGAACUUAGAGUCAUUUCAGCUGGCAAUCUUCGGGAUACAACUUUUCAACCUUUUCGACAUUCGUUUUUAGAUUUUCAAGUUGCGUUACGAUCGGGAAAGCUCAUAUUACAUCUCGGAUAAGUUUUGGAAUUUUUCAGAACGCAUAAGUCUGCGUUUCGAUUUCAAAACAGUAGCAAAACGAAUAGCCUAUUGCCCAGUUUUCAGUAUUUCAGGGUCAACUUAAAAUGAUCAUAUCUCUCUGAAUAUAAUGAACUGAGAGAGAUGAUACCUAUAAAAUGAAAUAUCUUUGAGUCUUCUUUCUAAUGCAACUGGUUUCAUCCAAAUCCAACAUCUGAGUAAGGAGUUAUACCCAUUUUACUUUAGCCUGUCAGCUUGUCAACUGAGGGACAGUUUCGAAUUUGUUUGUUUUCUUAGGGGCAUUUUAGUCAUUUCACCUCACCUAAAUUUCGUCUAUAACACCAGAUUUAGCCCCCAAUUCAUCAAAAUAUAAUCCUUUUCUCAAAUUUUCUCUCAAGAACACCCCUUAGGGUUUCAAAAUAAAAACCCCAAUAACUCAAGAUUCAACCAUGGAUUUUCAAAAAAAAUUGAAGAUUUGGAAUCCCCGCAACGUAGGCUUCAAGAAGCACCUAUCAUAUUCGCAUAUAGAGGUACGUGGGGUUAUCUCAAAAAUCUCAUGGGCUUAACAAUUCAUGUUUUAAAAAUGGGGGUUUUGAAAUUAUGAAUAUAAGCAUGUUUCAAGCAUCUUUAUGAUAUUGAUUUGGUCUUUAGGCCUUAUUCCAAAGUGAUUUGAUAUAUGAUAUAUGUAUAUGCAUGUAUUCCAAAAAUAUGUUAACUUGAGAGCAUGAAUGAUAUGUAAUCCCUCUCUUGAUGUGAAUUUAUUUUAAAUGUUCAUAUGAUGUAAAUUGUUUGAAAACAUCUUGAAAAGCAUGACAUGAAAUGUUUUGAGAAUUGAUAUGAUUUUGACUUGAAUAUGAGAGGGCUAUUUGUGUUGAAACAUAUUGAAUACAAUGGUUGAAUGAGAAGAAUGAUGUGAUAUUGAUGGNNNNNNNNNNNNNNNNNNNNNNNNNNNNNNNNNNNNNNNNNNNNNNNNNNNNNNNNNNNNNNNNNNNNNNNNNNNNNNNNNNNNNNNNNNNNNNNNNNNNNNNNNNNNNNNNNNNNNNNNNNNNNNNNNNNNNNNNNNNNNNNNNNNNNNNNNNNNNNNNNNNNNNNNNNNNNNNNNNNNNNNNNNNNNNNNNNNNNNNNNNNNNNNNNNNNNNNNNNNNNNNNNNNNNNNNNNNNNNNNNNNNNNNNNNNNNNNNNNNNNNNNNNNNNNNNNNNNNNNNNNNNNNNNNNNNNNNNNNNNNNNNNNNNNNNNNNNNNNNNNNNNNNNNNNNNNNNNNNNNNNNNNNNNNNNNNNNNNNNNNNNNNNNNNNNNNNNNNNNNNNNNNNNNNNNNNNNNNNNNNNNNNUGCUUUAUAAUGGAUCUCAACUAUAUUUUAUAAAAAUAUUAUGUUUUGUUUUGAUAUCUCUGCGUACCAGUACUUUUGUAUUGACCCCCUUCCCUCCCAGGUUCGGAGGCACAGUCUAGGGGUCCAGAAAAUCAGUAGAUUUCCUCAGACAGAUUCGCAGAGUCACUUGGUGAGCCUUCUAUAUUUCGGAAGGCCUGAUAUCUGGCAGUUUCAUUUAUCAUUUAUUUGUUUUGGGUCUACUGGGGGCCUUGUCCCAGUUUUCAGAUAGAUAUUUGUUUCAGUCAUGUAGUAGAGAUUUCGCAGACGUUAUAGAGAUGUUGAUUGAGAUUGUGGGACAUUAUUCCCCAUUAUUGUUUUCAUAUGAUUCUUGACCAUGUUUCCGUUAUAUAGUGUAUCUUCCGCAUUUUUUUUUCAUAUAAGUCAUGUGCAUGAUUAUCGGAUAGAUAAGGGGUGUUUCGGGCCUUGAUGGUUCGGAAUACUCGUCAUGGCCAGGGCCCCGGUUCGGGUCGUGACAAGGAGCCAAUAGGAUCAUGCCACAUGUCAAAAUAAUGCAGCAGCCUCAAUAAAAUCAAAGCCCAUAAAAGGCGCCAUGUCACUUGAAUUUGAUUGGUCAAAUGAAGUCCAUCUUCAUCAUGACUGUUCCUUUUCCACAACUAUAAAUAGAGUUCUCAUAAUUCAGAAAGAGGAACCCAGAACUCUAACAAGUAGCAAGAGAAAGCUUGUGAAUCAAACGCCACAAUUUCUCUAAAAAGCUCAAGCAUUCAAAUCAAGUUCAUCAAGAUUCAAGAUCAAGACCGCAAUAUUCAAGAACAAGCUCAAAAACCCUUGAAUUCAAGAUCAAGUCCCUCAAACCAUUCAAAUCAAGUUCAAAUUCAAGAUCAAGCUUUAAGCUCUUGAAUUUAUAUUUGAAAAGGCGAAUCAGAGGAUUCAUAGAGAUUGUAAUACUCACAUAUUAAAAUUAAUAAAUUGAUUGUUGCAAUAUAUUUUUCUUAUCUCGAAGUAUUAUUUUUCGAUUUCAAAAAUUUUACUGUCCAACAACCACAUACUGGAACAUCAUCUUUCCCUGUCAUCCACAUUUUUAAGGACAAACAAACUAAAGUUCACUAGCAUUUACUGUCAAGCAACAUCCAAGGAAGUAUAGUCAAAUGUUAAUGAUCAAUAUUUUGAUCAUUAGCGCCUCCAUUUUGAUCAUUAGGAUCCUGUUCAUCACCCCGCCCAUCUAGAUCAUCAUUCUGUUCAUUAGCGCCUUCAUCUUGAUGACCAUUUUGCUCAUUAGUGCCUACAUCUUGUUCAUUAGGAACCUGUUUAUUAACGUCCUCAUCUUGAUCAUUAGCACCUCCAACUUUAUCAUUAGCGCCUCCAUCUUCAUCGUUAUUCUGUUCAGUAGCAUCUUCAUGAUCUUAAUCAACAUUUUGCUUAUUUGUGCCUACAUACUGUUCAUUAAUGCCGCCAUCUUGAUCAUUACCGCCUCCAUCUUGCUCAGUGUUUGCGCCUAAAUAUUGUUCAUUAGGAACCUGCUCAAUAAUGCCCCCAUAUUGAUCAACAUUAGUGCUUCCAUCUUGAUCAGCAUUAGCACCUCCAACUUGAUUAUCAGCGCCUCCAUCUUGGUCAGCAUUAGCGCCUCCAUCUUGAUCAGCAUUAGCGCCUACAGCUAAAUCAUGCUCCUGCCCAUUUACACCUCCAUUCUGAUCAUUAGGAGCCUGUACAUUAGUGACUUCAAAGAGAGCAUCGUGCAACGUUACACCAUUCUGGUACAUAAGCUCGUCCCUGCCACAAAACACUCAUUUGAAUUAACACCUUACAAGUCAUACCUACAGUCUCCAUUUGCAAAUUUAUAAUUAGAAACUUACAAUUUCAUAAAGAAUCUUCCUGCUAUAAAAUACUCAGAUGCUGGGGAGGCUACCCUCCGCAGACCCCAAGUGUGGAAAUUCACUGGAUGUGUUGGUGGUGGUGGGGCGGCUGCCAUCUACUUCUUCAUGUUUCCGUUUGUUUAAUACAAAAACAUGAAACCAGCAUAUAAUACACAUGUCUCAGACCUCAGAAAAAAGCUUAAAUCACAAGAUGCUGAAAUGCUCAAUUUUCGAAAUCAUGAGACUUACAUUCUAUUUAACUAGCCUUCGAACACUAUGUCGUGCAGUGCACCUUCAAAGUGUACAAGACAAGAAAAUGAACAUAAUAAGUUGCUGUGUGCUUAGGCAAGAAAUAUAUCAGAAACAGCGGUGUCGAAAUUAAGGGAUUGAAUCCUCUUUAUGAAAUGAGUAAGAAUUUUCAUCAAAACUAUUAAUUUCCAAACGGAUGAGUAAGUACAAAAUUCAUUCCUAAAUUGGAAUGAAAAUCCUAGACAGCAAUGAAUGGUAUCCAUUGUAUCAACCUGUUGCACAACAAAUUUUCUUAAAAAAGACUAACUGCUGAAAGAAUCAAUGGGGAAAAAAAAGACUAACUGGUGGAAAAUGAGAAUUCAAAAAAGUAGAAAAAUGCAGAAAGAGUGAAUUAAAACUGACAAGAGAAUGUUAAUAUAGAAAAGCAACCUCUGUCUUGACCGUUAAUUCAAACAGGAGGGAAAUUCAACUGUAUUUUUAUUUUUUAUUUUUUCCCUUGGACCAGAUUUUACAAUUUACCCUCCACAACUCUGAAACUAGUCAUAUUGAAAUUUUACUUUAAAAAGAUUUUACAUGUUUGGAUGUAUGUAAACCAAGUCCCACGUUGAUAAUUGGAAAAAAAAAAAAAAUGAUAAGUUAGUUAUAAAUAGUUAUUAAGUGUGAUAGUUUUGGGGGGAAAUUGUUAGGUGGAUCAAAAUUGACAAUAUCACAUCAUUUUAAAAGUAUUUUUAGGCAAUACAAAAUCUAAAGUAGAUAAUCUACUUAGACUUCUCAUUAGGGUCAUUUGCAUUUUUGCUACUAUUUUGAGUUUUUUUUUAAUUUUUGUCUUUUAAGAUACUUUUUUGCAACGUAAAAAUUCAUAUUUUUACAUCAUAAAAUCUCAUAAAUUAUGUUUCAUGUUCUUAAAGAAGUUAUGCCUAGCUAGACAAUAGUUCAGUUGCUCAGGGCAAAAGUUCAAGAUCAAUCAUUUUAAAAGACAAACUUUGCAAUUAAAUAUUUUAGUGAAAACUUUUGUAGGCACACAAAUAUCAUGACUUAUUUAAAAUUAAAAUUUUAAAAAAAUUUAUAGCUACACAAAUAUUAUUACGCAAUUGAUAUUGCCAGUGUCAAUAAUACUUGCUUUUUCUUCUUAAAUAAUCAGCAUCAAAAUCCUUGAAAUACGAAAAUAUAUCCGGAGAGUUAGAGUAACUAUUUCUACAAGUAUUGGAAUAUUUAGUUCACUUACACCUAUUAUAUACAAAUAAGAAAACUGCGGAGACCGUUAACACCAAGGUUUUGUGGUGUAGUUGGUUAUCACGUCAGUCUAACACACUGAAGGUCUCCGGUUCAAGUCCGGGCGAAGCCAUUUUGUUAUCUCAUUCCUUUUUUUUUGGGUGCCAAAAUGUACUGGUGCUGUAAAUAUGCUCCAUAUAUCAGACUUGGAGAUGUCAUGUUAAAUGGAUACCAAAUAAUUACAUAAACACCCAAUAUGGUACCACUACCUAAUAGGCAGAGAGGCUGUUUCAUAUCAGUAAAUUAUAGUACUACUUACACACACAACUCAAAAAGCUGUGAUUUCAAAUUAAACAGAUACCAAGCAUUGCCAUAUUACAAAAGAUAAAAGAAGUGGAUUAUGUUAUCUGCUCUUAAAUCAACUUCAGGAUGAGAGUGAAAACUAAAAAACAUUAGGUCCACAAUUUUCAAACGUAUAUGCUAAUCUAACUUCAUCAUAUAGCAAAACAUCAUCUUUCCCAAUACUAAAAUUCUGUAGCAUUUACUGCCAAGUGUCAAGCAAAAUAUAAGGAAAUAGAUCAGUAAUCUCAUAGUAGCUUUUAACUGGUUAGUAGCUUUUAACUGGUUGAUUAUUCUCAAAUGCUUGACAGAUGGCUAGUAUCAAGAAAUUAAAAACAAACUAAGCAGCAUACAGAGAAUAGUAGUACUGCAAUCCCAAAACGGAAUAUCACACAAUUAUGGAAUUAGCUUUUUGUGUAAUUAUGAAGUCUAGUUACUCUACUCAGAAAGUGUAUAUCUUUCUGCAUUUUGAUCAGCAUGAAUAGGCUAUCAAUGUCUGCAUUUUUCUCAUUAGCACCUACAUCUUGCUCAUUAGGACCCCGUUCAUUUGCAUUUCCAGCUUGAUCAGCAUUUUGCAGAGUAGAGCCCACAUCUUGUUCAUUAGGAAUCUGUUCAUUAGUGUUUCCAUCUUGAUCAGCAUUUUUCUCGGUAGCUCCCAUAUCAUGUUCAUUAGGAACCUGUUCAUUAGUGUCUCCAUCCGGAUCAGUAUUUUGCUCAUUAGCACCUGCAUUUUGAUCAUUAGGACCCUAUUCAUCAGCGUCUCCAUCUUGAACAGCAUUUUGCUCAGUAGCACCUAAAUUUUGUUCAUUGGGAACCUGUCUGUUAAUGUCUCCAUCUUGAUCAGCAUUUUGGUCAUUAGUGCCUCCAUCUUGAUCAGCAUUUUGAUCAUUAGCGCCUCCAUCUUGAUCAUUAGCGCCAUCAUCUUGAUAAGCAUUUUGAUCAUUAGCGCCACCAUCUUGAUCAGCAUUUUGAUCAUUAGCGCCUCCAUCUUGAUCAGCAUUUUGAUCAUUAGCGUCUACUAAACCUUGUUCCCCAUUUAAAAGAAACAACGGUACCCCGCCUAAAAGGAACAACGGUACACCAUUCCAGGAACUACUAGUCAUACUGCAUAUAUAUGUGUAGAGUCUCAAUUUGCAUAAUUUUAUUUAGAAACUUACCAUCUCAGACAGAAUCUUCCUUCUCUAAAUAACAUGAAGUGUUGGGGGACUGCAAUCUGCGGAAAUCAUUAAUUCAGUAUUUAAUAAAAGAAGCAGCAAAUCUGUCUUGUUCAUCAAAAUCAAAUGCUCUUUAAUAUUAGUAUCUUACAAUUUGACACCCGAGCAGCAUUCCACAUUUGGCACAGUUUAUUUCGGCUGUGGUAAGUCCAUGUAUCACAGGAUCAUCAGUCACGUCGUCAGAUACUCUUAAACAUUAAACCUGCAUAUAUAUAAAGGCUAGUGACGUUUGCAAUAAUACAUAUCCAAGUUGCUGAAAUCAUAUGAAAUAUCCAAUUUUCAGAAUCGCAUGAAAUCAUGAAACUUACACUCUAGCAAAGAUCACUUUUGGAAAACGGGAUGGCACCUGCAAAGUGUACAAGACAAGAAAAUUAGCAUAAUAAAAUGUUCUGUGCUUAGUCAAGAAAUAUAACAUAUAUGCUAAAUUAAUUGCAAAAUUCAUGAUACUAUCGUCUUUAUGAAAUCAGAAGUAAUUUCAUCAACAGAUACAACAUGAUUUUUCCUAAACGAAUUUAGAAGAAAUUAAUUCAAGAUUGUCCUGAGAAUUUGUUUGUAUACCAUUUGGUGUAUUCAUAAAUAAAUUGAUUUCUGCGGGAUGCAGAGAGAGUAAGAAUCCUUACUAUAGAGUCGAUAUCCCAGACGAGUGCAGGUUGAUUUUCGCACCGACGACAGUAGAUGCAAUGUCGAGGAGGGAUAUAAUUGCAUGGGUGAAAAAGUCGACUGCUCAUCCUCCUAUCAACUUUGUUGAAUCAAGAAGCAACUCCUAACAGAUAUGUUAUAGAACAAAUUCACUUCAACAAAGAACAGAAAAAUGGCUGGGAAUUACAAAGACUAACUUCAAAAUAUCAGAAAAUCGAAGACAGGCUCACUUCUCACCAGAAAAGAAUUAACGAGAAUCCAAGAACGUGAAAAAUGGCUGGGAAUUAGAAACGCAGAAAGACUGAAUUAACUUUGAAGGAUAAAAUGCAGAGAAGAGGAUGUUAAUAUAGAAAACUCAGUCCUUGAUUCUUGAAUCCAAGCUCUGUAUUUGCCUUUAAUUCAGAAAGGAGGGAAUUUUGAAAGAGAAUUUUUUUUUUCUUUUUUUCUUUACGAGAAAUAUAGUUGAUAUCUUAAUAAUGUUAUUAUUGUGUGAAUUUCUAUGGUAAAAAUGUACUUUUAUCGAGUAUUUAUACCAAACAUAAAUGACUGAUAUAAUAAUUAAUAACGAUUAAUUAAUGUAGAGAGAGACGAAGAUCGACUUACAUAUGAAAAUCUAGGAGAAGUUAGUGAAGAUUUGAGUAAAUCAUUUGGUUUCAUAUCGAAGCGUUCAACUAAAUAAAGAAUUCAUCUUGUAAGGAGAUUAAUCGAGCAAUACAGAGAAAGAAAGUUUGACUUACCUAUGGUGUUCAUCGAUCUAGAAAUAAAACAUAUGAUAAAGUCCUAAAGAGGAUUCUACGGAGAUGUUUGGAGGCUAAAUAUGUAGAUGUAGCUUAUAUUAGGGCGAUAAAAACAGGUAUGUCCGCCUUAAGAUUCAAGUGAAUACAAUUGCAGGAGACUUGAAGCACUCCCCCAUCUUGAUGAUUGUUGCACCACAAUUCAGCUCUUAAUCUGUUUUAAUUUGUCAUGGUGAUGGUCUGAUGGAUGAACCAAUGCGGCAUAUCCAGGGGAAUGCGUCAUGAUGUAUAUUAUUUGCAGAUGAUAUAGUGUUGAUGCGAUAGUCGACAAUUUAAUGAUAGACUGAAUAUUUGGGGACCAACUCUAAAGUCUAAAAGGUUCAAGUUUAGCAGGCUAGAGAUUUGACGGUUCUUUUUAAUGUUCAUACUCUUUCUAUUUCUUAAAGUUAAAUUGUUUGACGAAUACAAUCCUUCUUCUUGGUAAACAAAAUCACUAAACCAAGUUCUUGUGUACUUUUAUUUAUAAAAAUGAAAUAAGAUGUAGAAGUCAACUAAUAGUUUACAUAUUCGAACCGUGAAAGCAAUCACUAAUACUUGCAUCAGGAUAGACUGUCUACAUUAUGUCCCUUAGGUGUGGAACUUUUUUUGGUCAAGCAUUCCUAUAUUGUUAUUUAUAGCAUAUAAUUUACGAAAUUGUAACUAAUAUUAAUAAGAAGUUUCAAAUUUAAACAUUUUCGUUAAUUUAGUUAGGCUGUACAUAUGAAUGGUAAAUAACGAUAAAAUUACUCUCUUAUUAAAUUAAUAAAUUAAAUAGGGUAUUUGCUUCCUCUUCAAUCUAUCUUUCAUCCUCUAUACUCAUUUCUUUUGAAUAUUUUUGAUGAUUUCACAUUUUAUUUCAACUCAAUUUCUCUAAAUUCUCUAUAUCAUUUUGUCAUGUUUGAUUCAUACAUGGAAAAAUGAAUAUUUUUGUGUCUCAUUUUUUUUUUAAAUCGAGAAAUCCCCCUCGACAAGUGGUGCAAGGCAUGAAACUUUGGUAUAUAAUAGGCCCGUUCUAUUACAAACUGAUAAGCAUUUUGUAAAGUAUUAACUAUAUCUUUCUGCAUUUUGAUCGGCAUGAGUAGGCUAUCAUUGUCUGCAUUUUCAUCAAUAUUAUUUAUUCUAUCAGCCAGUUGAUCUACAUCUUCUUUCAGUUCAUUGGUGCGUCUCCAUCUUCAUCGUCAUUUCUAUUCAUUGGCGUCUCCAUUUUGAUCAUGAUCCCGUUCAUUAACACCUACAUCUUGAUCAGCAUUUUGCUCAAUAGCGCUUCCAUUUUGAUCAUGAUCCCGUUCAUUUUCACCUCCAUCGUGAUCAUCAGGAGCCUGUCCAUUAGCGCCUCCAAAGAGAAAAUUAAGCAACGUUACAUCAUUCCAGUAAAUAAGCUUGUCCCUGCAGCAAAAUACUUAUCUGAAUUAACACCUUACAAGUCAUGUGUAGAGUCUCAAUUUGCAAACUCUUAAUUAGAAACUUACAAUCUCAUAUAGAAUCGUCCUUCUCUAUAAUACCUAGACGGUUGGGAAACUACACAAAUAUUAUUACAAAAUAGGUAUCACAAGUGCCAAUAAUCAUUGCUUUUCUUUUCUUAAAUACAUCUUGAUUCAAAGCACAUUCAUAAAAAUUGGAAUUUAUGAAAUAUUUACUUCUCAAAAAGUAGUAAUAUCACCCUUUUCAUGAAUUGGAGCACGAGUGCAUGUUAUUAGAAUGUAGCUAUUUGACAUGAUUGUAAUACCAUGACAAGAUUAAUUUUUUUUCUUUUACAAAAAUAAUACUACUCUGUUUCAUAAUACUUGAUUCUUAUUGAUCCGACACGUCUUUUUAAAAAAAUUUAAUUUGAAGUAUAUUUUAUCAAAAUAACUUUAUUAAUGAUAUUUUAGAACUCUAAAUUUAACUAGUAUUAUUUUAUGUAGUUAUUUAGAACUCUUAAUGUACUAGGAAAGUUUUAACUGACUCAUAAUUUCUUUUUUCAUAAAAGUUUAAAGGUGGAACUCAUCAGCAAACAUCUAAAAUUGACACGAUUUUUCACUUAAAUACCUCAAGUAAGCAUUGCACAUUUUAAACUCCCGUAUAGUAAGGCUCUACUAGCUUGAUGCUGGUCGAGCGAACCCCUUGCCCCACCAUGUCCACUAAAUAAAAUAAUUAGAAUCAAAAUCCUUGAAAUACGACAAUAUAUAUUUGGAGAAUUCAAAUAACUAAUUCUACAAGUGUUGGAAUAUUUGUCUAGUCAACUCACGCUUACACCAAAUAAAUAGGAAAACUGGAGGAACUUCAAGCACCAGGGUUUCGUGGUGUAGUUGGUUAUCACGUCAGUCUAACACACUGAAGGUCUCCGGUUCGAGUCCGGGCGAAGCCAUUUUUCCGAUAUGUUAAAAGGUUACCAAAUAAUUACAUAUACCAAAUGUAUGUAGCUAGUAAACUAGCUCUUAAGCUUUUAGGCAGUAAGUAGUACCUCACUGCUUGUGCACCCUACAUAUUUAUUGGAUCGAUCUCUACCAGAACAAUAACGUAUCUGUAUCUGUAAAUUAUAAUACACUACUAAAUACACACAGCUUUUAUCUCUACCAGAACAAUAACGUAUCUGUAAAUUAUAAUACACUACUAAAUACACACAACUCAAAAAGCUGUGAUUUCAAAUUAAACGGAUACCAAGCAUAGCCAUAUUACAAAAUAACAAGAUGGUUUUAACUUUUUUCUCAAACAUUUGACAAAUCCCAAACAUAAAGAAGAAGUGGAUUAUGUUAUCUGUUGUUAAAUCAACUUCAGGAUUUGAGCGAAAACUGAAAACCAUUACAUCCAAAAAAUUUAAUAGUCUCUGUUAAUCCAACUUCACCAUAUAGCAAAACAUCAUCUUUCCCAAUACUAAAGUUCAGUAGCAUUUACUGCCAAGUGUCAAGCAAAAUAUAAGGAAAUAGAUCAGUAAUCUCAUAGUAGCUUUUAACUGGUUAGUAGCUUUUAACUGAUUGAUUAUUCUCAAAUGCUUGACAGAUGGCUAGUAUCAAGAAAUUAAAAACAAACUAAGCAGCAUACAGAGAAUAGUAGUACUGCAAUCUCAAAACAGAAUAUCACACAAUUAUGGAAUUAGCAUUUUGUGUAAUUAUGAAGUCUAGUUACUCUACUCAGAAAGUGUAUAUCUUUCUGCAUUUUGAUCAGCAUGAAUAGGCUAUCAAUGUCUGCAUUUUCAUCAUUAGUUGGUUCAUAUUAUCUAUUCCAUCAGCCAGUUGAUCAACAUCUUCAUUCAGUUCAUUGGGGUGCCUGCAUCUUGAUCAUCAUUCUGUUCAUUAGCUUCUUCAUGUUGAUUAUCAUUUUGCUCAGCAGCACCUACAUCUUGUUCAUCAUAAACCUGUUCAUUAGCAUCUCCAUAUUGAUCAACAUUUUUCUCAGUAGCAACCACAUCUUGUUCAUUAGGAACCUGUUCAUCAGUGCCUCCAUCUGGAUCAGCAGCACCUACAUCUUGCUCAUUAGGACCCCGUUCAUUCGCAUUUCCAUCUUGAUCAGCAUGUUGCUUGUUAGUGCCUCCAUCUUGAUCAGCAUUUUGAUCAUUAUCGUCUGCUAAACCUUGUUCCCCAUUUAAAAGAAAUAGUGGUACCCCGCAUAAAAGGAACAACGGUACACCAUUCCAGGAACUACUAGUCAUACUGCAUAUAUAUGUGUAGAGUCUCAAUUUGCAUAAUUUUAUUUAGAAACUUACCAUCUCAGACAGAAUCUUCCUUCUCUAAAUAACAUGAAGUGUUGGGGGACUGCAAUCUUCGGAAAUCAUUAAUUCAGAAUUUAAUAAAAAGAAGCAGCAAAUCUGUCUUGUUCAUCAAAAUCAAAUGCUCUUUAAUAUUAGUAUCUUACAAUUUGACACCCGAGCAGCAUUCCACAUUUGGCAGAGUUUAUUUCGGCUGUGGUAAGUCCAUGUAUCACAGGAUCAUCAGUCACGUCGUCAGAUACUCUUAAACAUUAAACCUGCAUAUAUAUAUAAAGGCUAGUAACGUUUGCAAUAAUACAUAUCCAAGUUGCUGAAAUAUUCAAUUUUCAGAAUUGCAUGAAGUCAUGAAACUUACACUCUAGCAAAGACCACUAUUGGAAAACGGGAUAGCACCUGCAAAGUGUACAAGACAAGAAAGUUAGCAUAAUAAAAUGUUCUGUGCUUAGUCAAGAAAUAUAACUAUGCUAAAUUAAUCGCAAUUCAUGAUACUAUCGUCUUUAUGAAAUCAGAAGUAAUUUCAUCAACAGAUAUAUUAUAGAACAAAAAACAGAAAAAUGGCUGGGAAUUAGAAAAGAAAUUAACGAGAAUCCAAGGAAAGUGAAAAAUGGCUGGGAAUUAGAAAUGCAGAGAGACUGAAUUUAAUGGGAUAUUUGAAGGAUAAAAUGCAGAGAAGAGAAUGUUAAUAUAGAAAACUCAGUUCUUGAUUCUUGAAUCCAAGCUCUGUAUUUACCGUUAAAUUCAGAAAGGAGGGAAUUUUGAAAGAUAAAAUUUCUUUUUUAUUUUUCCCCUUAAGAAGAAGUAUUACAACUUACCCUCCAAAAUUAUUUUCUUUUUAACUUUAUCGUGUUUUAAACGUACAUAUAUAGAAUACCAUUAUGUUUCCGUUUCUUUUUUCUUUACUUACGAGAAACACAGUUUAUAUCUUAAUAAUGUUAUUGUUAUGUGAAUUUCUAUGGUAAAACACAGUUUACUGAGCCACCUGAGACUGAAGCUUUAAUUUUAGGAUUUCUUUUAACAAGUCAGGAUCCGAUUCGUUACUCCAGAAAUAUAUUUUCUGCUUCCUCGUUUCCUUGGCCUAACGUUAACAUGAUUUGCUUAUAUCUAGACUGCAGUAGCGACUUUUGCGAAAAGGUAUACCGUGAUAGAAGAAAUGGCUUUCUCUAAGAUAUACAAUAAACAGACUAGCAUUCUCUGUCAAGCAACUAACAAAAACAAUUGCAUAGCAGUAUUCAGUGACUUUUAAACUAUAGAUUAUUGUCGAAUGCUUGAAUGCUUGACAGAUGACUUGCAUCAAGAAAUUAAAGACAAUCUAAGCAGCAUAUAGAGAACAGAAGUGCCUGAGCUCAAACAUGUAAAAGUUCAUAGAAAUUAAAGAAAAACUAAGCAGCAUAUAGAGAACAGAAGUGCCUGAGCUCAAACAUGUAAAAGUUCAUAGAAAUUAAAGAAAAACUAAGCAGCAUAUAGAGAACAGAAGUGCCCGAGCUCAAACAUGUAAAAGUUCAUUGUCAAUCGCUUUUCUCCAAAAUGAAGUAAUAAUAUGUACUAUAAUCCCCAAAACCAAAAAAAAAAUAUCACACUGUUCUGAGUUAAUAUUUGUAUGCAUGAACUCUAGUGACUCUACCAAAUGGAAGUGUAUUCUUCGUAAAUCAUCAUAAGCUGGUUUUGCAGCAUCAGUAGGCUAUCCAUGUCUGCAUUUUCAUCAAUGGUUGGUUCAAAUGUUUUGAUUUAGAUCAAAAUUGUCAAUUCCCUCAGCGAUAUCUACAUCUUGAUUAGGAACUUGUUCAUUAACGCCUCCAUCUUGUUCAUUAGCACCUCCAUCCUGUUCAUUAGCGCCUCCUUCUUGUUCAUUAGGAACCUGUUCAUUAGCUCCUCCAUCUUGAUCAGCAUUUUGCUCAUUAGCACCUAAAUCUUGUUCAUUAGGAACCUGUUCAUGAUCGCCUCCGUCUUGAUCAGCAUUUUGUUCAUUAGCGCCCAAAUCUUGAUCAUUAGAAGCCUCAACUUGUUCCUGGUAACGCUGAAGCAAUGUUACUUCAUCCCAGUAAAUAAGCUCGUUCCUGCCACAAAAUACGAAUCAUUUACAACGUUACGUCUUACAAACCAUAUCACUUAUGCGUAGUUUCCAUUUUGUAAAAUUUUCAGAAACUUACAAUUUCAUCACGAAUCUUCAUUCUUUAUAAAAACCUGGACGGUUGGGUGACAGCAAUCUGGAGAAAGGAUAAAGUCUGUAUAAGCAAAACAAACAAACCAGGAACUGCAAAAUUGUCUUAUUAAUGAGAAUGAAAUGCUCUUUAAUAUUAAUAUCUUACAAGUUUCCACCCAAGCUGGUUUCCACAUUUGACACAGUAAACAUCGGCUCGGGUUUGGCCAUCUAUUACUUCAUGAUACGGCUCUUCCUCAAACAUUAAACCACAGAAAUUCCAAUUUCCAAAAUUGGAUGAAAUCAUGUGACUUACACAUUAUGAAAGAUCCCAUGUAGCACUAAGACCCAUUGUAGCACUAAGGAUGGCAACUGCAAAAUGUACAAGACGAAAAUUAAACAGAGUUGCUGAAUUAAUCACGAAGAGCUGUCGAAAUUAUGGGAUUGAAUCUUACAUCAUAUCCUCUUCAUGAAAUCAGUAGCAUUUCAUCAAAACAUACAAAAUGUUUUUAUGUACGAUUCAGAAAAUUAUCAUUCAAAAUUAUACUAUAUGUGGAAUCACAAGAAAAACUCAGAACAUACAACAUGACAUACUACAAAUGUAGAUUCAGAGAGAGUGAGAAUCCUUACCAAAGUAAGGAUAUUCUCGAUGAAUGCAACUCGAAUUUCGUACCUACGACAAAAGAUGCAAUCAGUAGCCUGGAUUUCGUCGUACUCAAGUAUGAAGGGCCUUCCCAUUGUAUCAACUUUGUGAAUCAAGGCCCUGUUACGUUGCACAAUAAAUUUUCUUCAACAAAGUGCAAGAGAAAUAUCAAAUUUGAGAAUUCAAGAAAGUGCAAAAUGGAAAUGAGAAGAGAAUGUCAAUAUAGAAAAGUUGGUUCUUGAUUCUUGAAUCCAAGUUAUGUAUUUACCGUUAAUUCAUGUAGGAGGGAAAUUUGAAAUAUCUUCACAUUAACCCCUAUUUAACAAUUUCCUUUUUCUAUUUUAUUUUUUACAUAUUGUUCAAUUUACCCUCCACAAAUUAUAUAUUUUUAAAUUGUAGUGUGAAUUUCGAUCUCAAAAAAUCAGAAACUUUGCUCAAUGAAAGAUGAGUAAUGGGUGCAAUUAGAGGUGAUAAAAUUAGCCACGAAAAUAUCACACUCAAUUCAUUCGAAAUGACCCGCUUAGUAGUUAUUAGCUUGGUGCAUUAAAAAUUGAACGACAUGGCCUAAACUAACUCAUGAUAAAUCUUAUCAAAUAUUUUCAAAUAAUAUCUUUUUAAUUGAUGUAUUAUAUACCGUCAUGAUAAAAAAUAAAAAAAAUUAUUAUGUACUAAAAAUUAUAAAAUAAACAAAUAAAGUAAUUAAAACACAGUAUGAAUUGAGCGAAUCGGAUUUUGACCCGAAUUUUAAUCCAUUUCAUUUCCAAGUAACUUUUAAGCGGGUCAAUAACCUACUCAGUUAUUAACUCAAUCUAUUUUAAUCCACUCGAAUUCAGCUAAUCCAUUUGACAACUCUAGAUGCAAACUAGAGACUAACUAGCACAAUGGGGAACUGAGGGUGCAACACUGCAACUUGCCCUUUGUAUCAUAAUGAUAAGGGUGUCAAACGGGCCGGCUUGGCCCAGCCCGACCCGGCCCAUGUAACUAACUCAAGCCGGUUUGACCCGGCCCGAUCAGUCCACGGGCUGUAGGAUACAGGAUACUGGGCUGAGUUAUUUUUUGUUUUGGGCUCGAUUAACCUGGCUCGGACCAAACCCGGUCCGAGCUUGUCGGUUAACCGGCCCGAAACCUUUUUUUUAUAUUAAAAAAAAUGAUUUCUGCAUAUUGGGCCAAUUUGACCGUUGGGCCCAACGGCUAUAUUACCGUUUGGGCCCUAAAAAUGGCUAAUUGGCCUAAUUUAAAAAAAAAUCAAUUAAAAUAUUUUUUAAAACUCAAAAAAAAUCAUAUAAAUACCCUACACUUUCAAAUCAUUCUCCAAACAAUUUUCAUUCUCUCAACUCUCAAUUCUCAAAUAUUCUAUAUAUUUCCUAAAGUUCUUACUUUAAUUUUUAAAUUUUGCGAUUACAAAGUACGAGUAGAAGUUUCUAAAGUCGCAACCUUCAAAUACUUCCAAAAUUUGGUAUUGUCGUUCAUCUCUUACGUUUAAUUUUUAAUUAGUGUAUUAAUUGUUGAAUAUUUAAUUUUAUUAUAUUUGUGUAUUUUGAAUUUUUUUAGUUUAAUUUAUAUUAUGGAUAAAUUAAGAAACCUCGCCACUAAAGGUGUUAAAAUUUUUUGUCUCGGAAGUGGUAGUGGUAGUAAAAAAUGAAUUACUAGCGGUAGAGGUACUUCAAGUAGUAGAUAUACCUGUGUGCCUCUGCCUCCGGUACCGCUUAGUCAACCUUUUGAGGAAGAAAUAGGUGUAGGUGCUCACGAUAUGGAUCAUGUUCAAGCUGGGAAAAAUUAUGGUAUAGAAGAAGAAAAUGAAGUAGAUGCGGUUAAUUUAGAUGAAGAUGAUGAAAAUAUUGGUGAGACACCCACAGUAGGAAAUGCUAACGUUAGAUCUGAAUCGGUUAAUCUCCUUCCCCGUCCUCCCCGUUUCCCAAGAGCUCGUAAAAUAACUAGUAUUGCAUGACAAUUUUUUGAACGUAUAUCAGAUAUUGAGGUGCAAUACAAUAUUUGUCAACAAAUAUAUAAGCAUAAAAAAGGAGGCAAGCAAGGGGGUACGGGUACGUUAAUGAGACAUAUAAGUGAUAAUCACGAUAGAAAGUUAAAAAUUGCACAGGGUGGUGCGCAUGUUGGUGGGCCAACACAAACUAGAAUGGACCCAAAACCGGUCAGGUAAUGAAAAAAUAUAAUAAAUUGAGGGACUGGGAAGAAAUAGCUAAAAUGAUUGUUGUGGGUUGUUUGCCUUUUAGUUUUCCUUCUUCUGAUGUCUUUAUUCAUUAUAUUCAAGUAAUUUAUAAUCCUAUGUUUAAUGGUAUUCCUAGAAGUAUUUGUAGGGCCAAUAUUUUUAGACUUCAUUCACAAUAUUGUUUUUAUUUAUCAACAUUGUUAAAAAAUAUUCAAUGUAGAAUAUCCCUAACUUCUAAUGUUGGCCGUGCUGUAAAUAAAAAUGACUAUUUAACCAUUACUUGUCACUGUAUAGAUAGUAAUUUUGUUAUGCAAAACAUAUUCUUGCUUCUUUAUAUAAUGAAGAUCUUAAACAUACUGGAGAUUUUAUUGCUGAUUUGAUUGCUAAAGUUGCGGAAUUUUACGAUAUUGAAAAUAAAAUCUUAUGUAUUGCUUUUGAUAAUGCUUCUAACAACAAGACCGCUAUAACAAAGUUAAAAUUUAAGUUAUCUCCGUCGUUACCUGAAAUUUUUCAUGUUUUAAGUGUGCUUGUCAUAUAUAUAAUUUAAUUGUAAGAGAUGGUCUUGAGUUUUUUGAGCUUUAUAUUAAAAAAAUUCGGCUUGCCGUUGGUUUUAUUCAAGGAAAUAAUCGUAGAAAAAGAAUUAGAGACUUUAAACUUAAAUGUGAACAAAAUGGACUUGCACCGAUAUUGAUCUCCGAAGAAUGUGAUACUAGAUGGAAUGCUACGUAUGAUUUUUUAAAAACUUGUUAUAAAUAUAGAGUUUCUAUUACACUAUCUUUUAACCAACAUUGUGAUUCGUUUGCUGAUUCUGCCCACUACACGCUACAUGAUUCUGACUAGGCUGUAAUUAAUGAUCUUGUUAAGUUUUUAAAAAAAAAUUAUAUAGCUACGGUUGAAUUUUUCGGUGCUUAUUAUCCUAUUGUUUGUAAUAUUUUGGCAUAUAUAGCCGAUAUUUCUGGUUUUCUCGAAGAAUAUAAAAAUAAAGAAGGUUACAAAUAAGUUGUUGGUGUCAUGUUUGCUAAAUUUAAAAAAUAUUUUUUUCGAUUUCCCCUAUUUACUUGGUUGGUGUUAUACUAAUUCCGUGCAUGAAAUAUAAUACUAUGUGCCGCUUUAGUAUUCUUAUUUAUGCUAACUUAGAGAUAAAUACUAACAAUGAUUCUCGUGAUGAAGAACAAGAACAACCUGAUUUGUGGAUGGCUAUGGGGGAUGCGAAUGCUUACAUAGAUAAAUUAUAUAACCACUAUGCUGAUUUGGUUGAUUUAGCUGUACCGACAAAUAUCACUCCAACUGUCGUUCCUCAUCCUCCCGAGGAGCCAUCAUCUUCUAAAAGGCCGGCACAUAAUGGUAUUCCUGAUUUCUUUUAUGAUUUACCUUGUUGGAACAGUGUUGACGAGGGAGCUUACACAACAACUUGUCGGGAAGAGCUGAAGUAUUAUCUUCGAACACCGAUAGAGGAUCACAGACAACGGAUCAACGCGUUGGAUUGUGGAGGAAUAAUGAAACACAAUAUCCCGUGCUUUCAAGAUUAGCCAGAGAUAUCUUGAAUGUUUCAAUGUCAAUCGUUGCAUCGGAGAGCGCUUUUAGUCAGGGAUGACAGCAGCUUGGAGACAACCAACAUUCAUUGGGAAGUAAUGCAAUGAAUAUUCUAGUUUGCCUUAGAGAUUGGAUUAGAACGGAACGAAGAAAUCAAGGAAUGGAAGCGGAGCCGAACGACGAGCAGAGACUUGAAGAAAUUAUGACUUUACGGGAGAACUCAGCAGAAUCAAGUCCAAUGCAUGGUUUUUUCCCCAUUGACUUUGACUAUCCUAUGCAAGUUCCCGUUAAUAUUAACAUGAAUGAGUUGGAAAAAAUGAUGCAAAAUUUGUAGAUUUUCCAUCCAUGUAAAUUAUAAAUUUUGAAUCAUUUUGCAAUCAAUAAAAUUCAACAUUCAUUCACUCUUUAGUCCUUACUUUGUAAUUUUUUCCAUUUAAUGAUGUAAAUUGAAUUUCUAGUUUAAAUUAAAUACUUAAUUUUAAUAUAUUACUAAUUUACUAUCAAAUAUUAUUAAUUUAUUAUAUUAAGUAGCAUAUGUUUUAUUUAAAGAAGUACAUACAUUGAAUGAUACGUAUACAUGUGUAUAUGUUUUAUAAAUUAGUAUAUAUUUAACGUAUACAUGUGUAUAUGUUUUAUAAAUUAGUAUAUAACUAUAUAUUUAGUGCGUGUAUAUGUUGAAGUAUAUGUUUUAUUUAAAGAAGUACAUACGUUGAAUGGUACGUAUAUAUGUGUAUAUAUUUUCUAAAGAAGUAUAUAUUUAAUGUAUACAUGUGUAUAUGUUUUAAAAAUUAGUAUAUAUAUCAUUAUAUUGUAGUAUAUGUUUUAUUUAGAGUAGUAUAUAUAGUUAACUAACGUAUAGUCGUAUACACGAUUACAUGUGUAAUUACGUAUAUGUAUUAUGUGUAUAUAUUUUUUAAAGUCUAAUGUAGUAUAUACUAUAUAUAUAGUGUAUAUAUAUUGUUUAACAUAUGUAAAAUGUAUAUAGGUGGGUAUAUAUAGUGUAUAUUGGAGAAAAAACUUUUUUUUUGUUGUUUGACCGGUUUUGACCGGGUUUAGAUGGGUUGGACCGGGUUGGGUUAAGUGGGCCAGUUCAGGCUGUUGGCCCCGGAACCGGCCCGGCCCAUUUAACUAGGCCUGGAUCCGGCCCGGCCCACUAACCGGCUGCCGAUUUCGAGUUGACCCGGCCCGACCCACUUAGCACCCUUACAUAAUGACAAUGAGACUCUGUCACAUUUGUUACUAAACUUGCUCCAUCUCAUUGCGUGGUAUAUCAUAAUAGGCCAAUUUUUUCUGUUAGUACUUUACAAAUCAUAUAGCAUAUGCGUAUGGAGGGGCUGCAGCCAAAAGUACAGGAUGUCAUACAGGUUCAUAUAGUACUUUCUUCAUUCUUGUCAAUUAGUAGAGGUUCAUUUCCUUAGGAUUGGCAAGGUAACGCCUAGCCCUCUCUAAGAAUUAUACAGAACUCCAAAAGCAGUAAACUUGAGUGCUUGUGCACCCUUCAUCUUUAUUCUGGAUGUCAUACAGAACUCCAAAAGCUGUAAAUAUGCUUCAUGUAGCAGAUUUUUAGAUGUCAAACUAAAUAAUACACGGAUAGCCUUUUUCUAAGGCCACCCUCCAGUACUAGCGUUAGCCACAAGGCAGCAUAGAGAGAGCCUUUCAGCAUCUCGGAAAUUGUUUGCGCAUCGCCAUAUUACAAGAUAACAAUAUAGUGGAUUGUGCCAUCUGCUCAUAAAUCAACUCCAGGGUGAUAAUACAAGCCAUCAGAUAAACAAUUUUCAAAUAUAUGUGUUGAGAUUGAACUUUACCACAUACUGUAAGAAAAAACAAACUAAAGUUCUCUAGCAUUUACUGUCAAGCAACAUCCAAGGAAGUAUAGUUGACUUGCUUAAGGAAACUAAAAGAUAAACUAAGCAGUAAACAGAGAAAGUAUGAACUCUAUUCAGAAACUGUGCAUCUUUCUGCAUUUUGAACAGCAUAAGUAGGCUAUCAUUGUCUACAUUUUUAUCAAUAUUAUCAAUUCCACCAGCCAGUUGAUCUACAUCUUCCUUCAUUUCGCUGGCACGCUUCCAUCUUGAUCAUGAUUCUGUUCAUUAGCAUCUCCAUCUUGAUCAGCAUUUUGCUCAUUAGCGCCUCCAUCUUGAUCAGCAUUUUGCUCAUUAGCGCCUCCAUCUUGUUCAUUAGGAUCCUGUUCAUUAACGCCUCCAACUUGAUCAUUAGGGCCUCCAUCUUGUUCAUUAAUGCCUCCAACGUGAUCGUUAGGGCCUCCAUCUUGUUCAUUAGGAACCUGUUCAUUAAUGCCCCCAUCUUGAUCAUAAUUCUGUUCAUUAGCAUCUCCAUCUUGAUCAGCAUUUUGCUCGUUGGCGCCACCAUCUUGAUCAGCAUUUUGCUCAUUAGCACCUCCAUCUUGAUCAGCAUUUUGAUCAUUAGCGUCUAAACCUUGUUCCCCGUCUAAAUUAAACAACGGUACCCCAUCUAAAAGAUUCAACGGUGCACCAUUCCAGGAACUAAUCGUGUUCCUGCCACAAUAUACUUAUCUUUAUUAAAACUUACUAGUCAUACUGCAUAAGUGUACAGUUUCAGUUUGCAUAUUUUUAAUUAGAAACUUACAAUCCCAGACAGAAUCUUCCUUCUCUAAAUAACACGAAGUGUUGGGGUACAGCAAUCUGCGGAAAUCAUUAAUUCAGUAUUUAAUAAAAGAAGCAGCAAAUCUGUCUUGUUCAUCAAAAUCAAAUGCUCUUUAAUAUUAGUAUCUUACAAGUCGACACCCGAGCAGCAUUCCACAUUUGGCACAGUUAACUUUGGCUGUGGUAAGUCCAUAUAUCUCAGGAUCAUCAGUCACGUCGUCUGAUAUUCUAACAUUAAACCUGCAUAUAUACAAAGGUUUGUAACGUUUGGGAUAAUACAUACCCAAGUUGCUGAAAUCAUAUGAAAUCAGAAUCGCAUGAAAUCGUGUAACUUACACUCUAGUAAAGACCACUAUUGGAAAACGGAAUAGCACCUGCAAAGUGUACAAGACAAGAAAAUUAGUCAAGAAAUAUAACAUACAUGCUAAAUUAAUUCAAGAUUGUCCUGAAUUUGUUUGUAUACCAUUUGGUGUAUUCAUAAAUAAAUUGAUUUCUGCGCGAAGCAGAGAGAGUGAGAAUCCUUACGAUAAAAUCGAUAUCGUAGACGAGAGCAAUAUGAUUUCUGCACUGACGACAGUAGAUGCAAUAUCGAGGACGGAUAUAAUUGCAUUGAUUAAAAAGUCGACUGCUCAUCGUAUCAACUUUGUUGAAUCAAAAAAAUGGCUGGGAAUUAGAAAGACUAACUUCAAAAUAUCAGAAAAUCGAAGACAGACUAACUUCUCACCAGAAAAGCAUUAACGAGAAUUCAAGAAAGUGAAAAAUGGCUGGGAAUUAGAAAUGCAGAAAGACUGAAUUUAAUGGGAUUUUUGAAGGAUAAAAUGAAGAGAAGAUAAUGUUAAUAUAGAAAACUCAGUUCUUGAUUCUUGAAUCCAAGCUCUGUAUUUACCGUUAAUUAAAAAAGGAGGGAAUUUUGAAAGAUAAAAUUUCUUUUUUAUUUUUCCCCUUAAGAAGAAGUAUUACAAUUUACCCUCCGAAAUUAUUUUCUUUUUAAUUUUAUCCUGAUUUAAACAUAUAUGCACCGACUUAAAAAUUAAAAUUGUAUAGAGAAUAGAAUAUCAUUAUGUUUCCGUUUCUUUUUUCUUUACUUACGAGAAAUAAAGAUUAUAUCUUAAUAAUGUUAUUGUUGUGUGAAUUUUUAUAGUAAAAAAUGUAUUUGUAUCGAGUAUUUAAAUGACUGAUAUAAUAUUUACAACAACAAUAACAUAUUCAGUGUAUUCUCACGUAGUGGGGUCUGGGGAGGGUAAAAUGUACGCAGUCCAUACCAUUACUAGAGAAGUUGUUUCCGAUAGAUCCCCUCGGGACAAAAAGACAGUAAUUAAAGAAGUAAUAAAACAUGAAACAAGGUGAACUAACCAAAAUAAAACACCCACAAAAUAUUACUAUACACUAUCAAACCAAAAUCACGCACCUAACCCAAACCCUCCUAGCUAGAAACUUCAAUCUAUGCACAAAGCCCCAUGAUACUAGCAAGGCUACACCCACACGCAACCCUCUAACCUAAUUUGUAUCCUUCAUACCUUCCUAUCUAGGGUCAAGUUCUCGGUAAGUUGUAACUGCUCCAUGUCACGUCUAAUCACCUCUUCUAGUAUUUCUUCGGUCUACCUCUACCCCACCUAAAAUCAUCCAAUGUUAAUCCCUCACGCCUACGAAUUGGCGUCUCAAUGCCCCUCUUCAUAACAUGUUUGAAUCAUCUCAACCUCACUUCCCGCAUUUUGUCCUCCACCGAAGUCACUCCCACCUUUCCCGAAUAGUCUCAUUCUGAACUCUAUCUCCCCUAGUAAGUUCACGCAUCCAAUACAACAUCCUCAUAUCUGUCACCUUCAACUUUUGGAUGUGCGAGUUCUUGACUGGUCAAUACCCGCUCGAUACAACAUAGUCGGACGGAUUGCCACUCUAUAGAAUUUUUCUUGUAGCUAGGAGGGCAACUUCUUAUCACACAAAACUCUCGACACAAGCCUCCAUUUCAUCUACCUUGUCCUAAUAAAUAAUUUGGUUUCAUAUUGAAGCGUUCAACUAAAUAGGCAAUUCAUCUUGUAAGAAAUUUGAUCGAGCAGUGUAGAGAAAGGAAGAUUGACUUAUAUAUGGUGUUCAUCGACCUAGGAAAAAGCAUACGAUAAUAUCCUUAAUGUACAUGUAACUGUUGGGUUCAAUAUGUAUGAAAAAAGCGUAAAUGGAAAAUUGAGGGACACAACCUUUGAGGAAAAGACAUAUUGUUUUGGAAAAGGGGUGACUAUUCAGAUAGUUGUGUCUGUUCAAAAAAAGACACAAUGUUUCGAAUGAACAGACAUGACUCUUCCAAAGGAUACACCUUUUCAGAUGAACCAUUGCUACCUUUAGGAAGGGGCACUUGAUGGCUAUAUAAACCUGCAUUUAUCCACAGGUUUAGGCAUGAAAAAUUUUCUGAAUAUACAAACUCUUCUUGUCUUUAAAACAUUCUGUGUGAUCAAUCAAACUGUUGAGUGAGUUCGUUGAAUCCAACAAUUUGAGGUACCGCUAUUAUUCGGAUUGAAGGGGAUUUUAUCCUAGGAGGAAGAUUCCAUAACCUCGGGUACAGUGAGGAGAAUUAUUCCUUAAUGACACUCCGUGAAGUCGGGGGACUUGGCCUUACAAAUUCUAUUUCAUCUAUUUUCUGAAAAUAAACACACUUCUUAGAUAGAUUAUUCAUAAUCUAGUGCUGAAGGUGUUAAGUAACUUCAAAAGUGUUCUUGUCUUGGAGUUGAACUAAAGUUGAAGUUGGUGUUACAUGUAUACAGAUUUUUGUACCCAAACACCACAAAACUACAGUAACUUACAUUAAGGCGAUAAAGAUAUGUCUGGUGGAGUCAAGAUCCGAGUGAAUACGAUUGAAGGAGACUCAAAACACUUUCCUAUCUUGAUGGGGUUGCACCACGAUUCAGCUCAUAGUUUGUUUUAAUUUAUUAUGGUGAUGAAUGAACUAAUGUUGCACAUCGGGGAGGGGGGAGUAGCAUGAUGUAUGUUAUUUGCAAAUGAUAUAGUGUUGAUGAGAUUAGCGACAAGUUAACGAUGGACUGAAGAUUUGGAGACCAACUCUAAAAUCUGAAGGGUUCAAAUUUAGCAGACUAGAGAUUUGACAGUUCUUUUUCACGUUCAUACAUUUUCUAUUUUUUAAAGUUAAAUUGGUUGUCGAAUACCAUCCUUCUUCUUGGUAAACAAAAAUCAUUAAACUAAAUUUUUGUGUACUUUAAUUUAUAAUAAUGAAAUAAGAUUUAAAUGUCAAGUGGUAGUAUUACUACUAUUAAUAAGAGUGAAAAACAGGCAGCACUUCGUCAACAUGACUGCUUCUUCACCUGUUUCAGUUGCUUCGUGAUUUUACUAUAUUAUCCCUAAUUAAUUAUUUUAACUUAUUUAUAUAUAAGAAAUAUAAUAAUACUUAAUUAAAAAAAAAAAAAAUAGACAUUUAUGACAUGUUUGUUUCAGCUGCUUUAAUUGUAGUUUUAUUUUAUCACCUCAAAUUAAUUAUUAUUUCUUACGCCCUUUCUGUUAUGUCAUACAUCCCCUUGUUUACUAUUCUUUACAUUGAGUCAGGGGUCUCUCGGAAACAACCUCUCUACUUAUUCGGAGGUAGCAGUAUGGAUUACGUACAUCUUACCCUCCCCAGAUCCUACUUUGUGGGAAUACACUGGGUUUGUUGUUGUUGUUGUUGUUGUAUCCAAGUAUUAAAAAAAUAAUAAUAUUUAAUAAAUAAUAAAAUAAAUAUAAAUGAUAAAUCAAUUCUUGAUGUUUUAAAUUAAUAGGACAUCUUAUAUGAGACUUAUUUUAAAAAAUUCACAAGUAUGUUUGCUCCAUGAUUUUACUAUAUUACCCCUAAUUAAUUAUUGUAAGACAUUUACAUAUAAUAAAAUUAAUAAUAUUUAAUAAAAAAAUAAAAUAGACAUUUAUGACAUGUCUACUUCAGCAGCUUCAACCGUAAUUUUACUAUAUCACCCUUAAUUGAUUAUUAUAAGUCAUUUAUAUAUUUAAAAUUUAAUAAUAUUUAAUAAAAAUAAAAUUGACAUAAAAUGAUAAAUUAAUUCUUGAUGUUUUAAAUUAACAUGACAUCUUAUAUGAGACUCAUUUAAUUUUUUUCACAAAUAUUUUCUCAUAAUAGUUUUUCUAUAUCACCUCUAAUUAGGUAUUAUAAGUUAUUUAGGAUAUAUCCACUUCGGUGCUUCAAUCAUUAAAUUUGGUUGACUCUCGAAUUUAUUUUAGUGCUACUUAAAUUGGAAUAGAAGAAAAAGUAUUAUAAAUCAUAAUAACUAAAAACUUAAAUUAUUUUAAGAAUAUAACUGAAUAUCAAUGCCACAAAAAUUUGAAUAAGGAGAGUAACACAUAUUAUUUGAAAAUUACAUAAAAAAAUAUUAUAAUUUACAAUAGCUAACAAUUUAAAAUAUUUAAAAACACAUUAAGAAUCUUAUUGAUUAUCUAAAUUAUGUUUGUGUCACGUAAAUUCGAGAUAGUCUUGACAUUUUAUAAUUUGCAUGUUUUAUUGUUUUAAUUUAGUAAUUUGUUGAUCCAAAUGAUGUUUUCAAAUUUAACAUGUUUUAAAAAAUUAGUACUUUGUUUAUUUUAAUUUAUUUACUUUAUUUUGGUAAAAUAUUAUAUAUUUAAAAAUUAUGCAAAAAAAAAAUUAUAAGUCAUAACUAUUAACAUCUUAUAAUAUUUUAAAAACAUAUAGUAAAAAAUAUGAUUUACUUUUGAAAUUCUAAUAGUGUCACAUAAGUUGCGAUAAAGCAAGUAAUAUAAAUUAUUUGAAAUUUCAUUAAAACAUACUAAAAUCACAAAGAUUAACAACUUCAAAUAUUUAAAAAAAUAUAUUAGUAAAAAAAAUUGAUUGACUCACUAAAUUCUAAUAUUGGGACAAAGCAAGUAACAUAAAUUACUAAAUUACAUAAAAGAUACUAUAAAUCACAAUGAUUAGCAACUUAAAUUAUUUAAAAAUUUUAUAUUAAUAAAAAUUUGAUUGACACUACUCCAAAAACUAUUUAUAUUAUAUAAAUUGAGAUAACGUAAAUAAUAUAUAUUAGGAGUGGAUGGAAGAAAUGAAGGGUCACCUUUUUUAUUUGAAAUUCUUGUAAUGUGACAAAACAUUUUUUUCCUUUUACUAGAAUACCAACUCUAUCCCGUAUUACUAUAUUGUUUUAUUUCCUAUUACAUAUCUUUUAAAGAAACUAGGAGAUUAUUUUUACCAAUUUAACAUUUAACUCUUUUUAUACUAUAUUAUAUUUACCUUCUUUAUCCAUCAAUAUAAAAAUUAACAAUGAAAAACUUUCUUGAAACUCUGCAUAAUUUUAUCUUAAUUUUGUAAAUUAAUAAAUAAUUUGAAACAUGUCGUAUCACUUGGGAUUUGACUAUCACUGGGGGUUUUUCAGUAAAAUCAUGUAGCACAGCUCUAGAAAGUGCAUACGACGCAAAUUCUCAAAACAAUCUUAUACCCAGAACCUAAUCUCCUUUAUUUGGAUUUGAAAACUUUGGAUCCCUCCGAAAUUAAAAUAUUUUCCGUGGCUCCUGAAUCAUGGACGAAUAACUAACUCUAGCUUGCUAUACCAUAUUAAAGUUGUAGAUUCUCCUAUGUGUAGGCUUUGCAAUACAAUGGCUGAAGAAACAAACGCUCGCCCUUUCGUCCUUUGUCCAAAGGUUGCACCAAUAUGGACUGGGUUUAGUGUCAUGCAUCAGCUGAGCACUCUUGUAUCAACUGAUACUCACCCGUCCCGAUGGUUACAUGAUCUAAUCCACCACUAUUUAAACCCCUCCGAAGGGGUGUGGUUACGCACACCCUCUAAGAUCUACAUGGCUUUUUGCAUCUGGCAUAUCUAACUUGCACGAAAUAAAUUCAUAUUUGAAAGUAUUCUCUUUUUACCGUCUUUAAAGGACGUUUCACAAAUGGCCGAGGAAUUUCGGUUCCUAGUAGGCCUUACGGGGGAAAACUAAGAUUUCAAUGGAUCCGAAGGGGCACACCCCCCCCCCUCCCCCCCCCGCGCGCAAGCAAACUGCAUGCUUAAUACUGAUUGUGCUUCUGAGACCUCAUCUACAAAUCAACAUUAACUCGGCCUAGGUGGUGUUUUCUGGAACUAUAAGGCGGAAUGGGUAUUAGGCUUUCAUGGAACCUGCGCUGUUACAGAUGUCCUGGAAGGAGAAACUUACGCUCUGUUAUUAGGACUCCGGUUUGUUUAUCAGAACAACCUUUUUCCACUGGAAAUUGGGAUAGACUCUCAACAAUUAGUCCGACUACUUGAUUCUAAUACAUAUCCGAAUUUAACUUUGAUAUCUGACUCAACUUUAAUAUCUGAUUAUAGGUACCUCCUGGGCGCACUAGAUAAUCGUCAACUGCACCACUUUUUCAGGGAACAGAAUAGGCUAGCUGACAGAUUGACAAGAUUACCUAGUACAAUCUCUACUACUAUGUUGUUUUGGACUCCACCACAGUCACUCAGUGACAUUUUGUAUGCCGAUAUAAAUGGAGUAUUAUUAGUUAGACAGUUGAACACUUUAACUGUUCACCCAAGCGUGUAUUAUAUUAGUCCCAUACAGGAUUUCAAGGGCUCCUACUUCUACUACCACACUUGUGACUCGAUCACAACUAGACUUGUAAAUGUUUUUGUGUUAUAAAUAAAACUCUGCCUGUUUCACCAAAAAAAAAAUCGUACGAACUAAAAAAUUUCUACGUUGCCUAGACCUAUUAUCAUGGCAAAAUGACCUUCUGGACCCUUGUACUAUGUCGAUUUUGUAAGUUAGAUACUUCUACUUAUAUGUUUGUCAUCUGGACCCCUGAAUCCACUAAAAAACAACAUUUUAAAUCCUUUUUUGGUGAGUGUAAUGCACUCUUUCCACGUCAGCGGCCACGCCUGCCUCAUUUGCCACGUUAUUUAAAAAAAUAAAAAAAUAGAAAGUAUUAUAUUAAAUUUCAAGUCAUUUUUAAAAUGCUAAAUAACAAAUUAAAUAUUAAAAUUAACUUAAUUAAAUAAGAAAAAUUUAUAAUUGUAGAAAAAUUUGAAUAAUCAUGUUUUUAUUUUUGCUCACAAAUUAAACAUCAAAUUCAUUCCAAAUAAUUAAAAUUCUUUUCGAACUAAUUUAAAUUUUGAAUUAUAAAUUCAUAUAUACAAACAUAAUAAAAUUUUGAUUUUUAAAUUUGAAUAUCUUUAAAAAAUUCACAAAAAGUUUAAUUUUUUUCAAGAAAAAUUCACUAAUUUUUUAAAGUAUUCACUAUCACUCAUUUUCAAUUCAAAUUUAAAUUUUAAUAAUAAUAAAAAAGAUUUCAAAUUUAAAUUUUUAUUCAAAAAAAUGAAAAGAAUUGAAUUGAGGGAAAAUUAAAAUAAAAAAUAAAAAGUAAAGAUGGUGGUAGGAAGGGGUGUUGGAAGAGUGUUGGGGUAGGGUGUGGGGUUGAAAAGGACUAGGAUGGGGUGGAGAUAGGGCUAGGAGAAGUUUGGGGGCUGGAGGUGGGGUUGGAAGGGGCUGGACUAAGAUAAUGAGGUGUGUGGGUGGGGAUAGGGCUGGGGUGANNNNNNNNNNNNNNNNNNNNNNNNNNNNNNNNNNNNNGGGGCGGGGAGGAAAAAAAUAAUUUUAUUUUAUUUUAACUUUUAAAAAAUAAUUUUAAAUUAUCUUAAAAUUCUAUUUUUUUAAAAAAAAAUUUAAAAAUAUUUUAAAAUUAUUUUUAAAUUUUUCAAAAUAUUUUUAAAUUAAAAAGGAUGGAGGAAAAAAAAGACCCUUUUUAAUUUUUUUUAAUUUUAAUAUUAUUUUUUAAAAUUAUUUUAAUGUAAAAUUGGCCUCCACUCGCACCAUCAGGCGAGUGGCUACACUCUAUUUGUCAUAGUCACCAUUUCAAUGCCACAUAGGCAAGAUCAACGGUCAAAUAGUGCAAAAUAUUAUGUUUUAAUGGGUACAAGGGUCCAGAUGACAAACAUAUAAGUAGAAGUGUCUAAAUUACAAAAUCGACAUAGUAAAGGAGUCCAAAAAGUGAUUUUGCCUAUUAUAAUCCCUAGAUCUUGUUUCACAUGGAUCCUAUCGCCGUCCAAUCAUAUUCAGUUUCCGGGUCUCACCCGGAUCGAUAUUUCUAUCCGUCGAUUAACAAGUAAAUCCCCAAAUAUUUAACGGCUGCGAUUGACUUCUCCAAAUCCCCCAAUUCAUUUCGAACCGGGAAAUUUACGUCGGCCCAAAUCCCCCAACUAUAAAUUACCCACCACCAUCUGCUUCAUUUCUCAUUCAAAUUCAAAACCCUAGAAUCUUUAUCUUCUUCAAAUUCGUCUCUGUGAAAAUGUCUGGCCGCGGAAAGGGAGGCAAGGGAUUGGGAAAGGGAGGAGCCAAGAGGCACAGGAAGGUUCUUAGAGACAACAUCCAGGGAAUUACCAAGCCAGCUAUUCGUAGGCUUGCUCGCAGGGGUGGUGUGAAGCGUAUCUCUGGUUUGAUCUAUGAGGAGACCCGUGGAGUUCUUAAGAUCUUUUUGGAGAAUGUGAUUCGUGAUUCAGUUACCUACACUGAGCAUGCUAGGAGGAAGACUGUUACUGCUAUGGAUGUUGUUUAUGCCCUCAAGAGGCAGGGAAGGACUCUCUACGGAUUUGGUGGUUAGAUCAGUUGUUAGUUAGUAGAUGUAGAUCUGAUGGAAAUUUCUGCUGUUUCUGUGUUUUAGUUUCUAUUUAGUGUUGUUCUACUUC